RNAcentral lists this long non-coding RNA (97479 nucleotides) under Sorghum bicolor (sorghum). RNAcentral describes it as "long non-coding RNA (SBIC_LNC015136)". The record is from RNAcentral. Lineage: Eukaryota; Viridiplantae; Streptophyta; Magnoliopsida; Poales; Poaceae.
GUGCUCUUGCCUGAUUAAUCGUGGAGUCAAAUUUUUGGCGCUCGUUCUUUAUGUUGUCAUAAUUUUCUUCAUGGGCCUUUUGUAAGACUUCAUUUGUGAGAUCACGUUCUUGUUCUAUCUUUUGUGCAUAGAGAACACGCUGAUCAAAUAACGCUUUGUUCAGCAUGGCAAUCUGUGCUUUCUCCAUAAUUUUGCCUAAGUCAGAAUGCUCUUUCUGUACCGCUUUGUCCAGCAGGGCACGCUGAAGGGAUAUGUACUCGUCAUUUUGAUAUUCCUCUUCUCUCUUGCUGAUUGCAGGUUUGGUACGCUCAAGCUGUAUCUUUAAAUCCAUAUCGUAUAGGUCCUCCUCGGACUCUUCUAGGGAGAUUGGCAAUCCAUAAUUUGGGGAGAAUUUAUAGGUUUUGGAUUUAUUGCAUGGAGAAGAAAGGCUAUUGUAACGGUAAAAUUAUGUAUUUAAUUUUGUGCCAUAUGUUGUUUGUUUGGUCUGAUAUAAUUUUUUUUCUCAAACAAUAUUAUUUGAACAUUUACUGUCAUGGAGAAGAAAAGCUAUUGUAAUGGUAAAUUUAAUUAUAUUGCCCUUUUUUUGUUUAUUCUGUCCUUUUCGAUCUAUAUAUUUUAAUUUGCUUUUAGUUUUAUCGGCUGAUACUUGCUGCAUCAUAUUUUGAGAUCUAUCAGUUGUGUUUCAGGUAUAUCUUAAUUUACCCGCAAGGAUGUGAUGUCUGCAAUCACCUCUCACUCUUUCUUUGUGUUGCCAACCAUGAUAAGCUACUCCCAGGUAGAUGCAUAAUUUGAUGCAUUGUAUUCGACUCACUUCAGUUUGUGACUCCUCUAUAUAUCUUCAAUAUGAUUUGCUUUUGUUCAGGAUGGAAUCACUUUGCGCAAUUUACAAUAGCUGUAAUUAAUAGAGACCCUAAGAAAUCCAAGUAUUCUGGUGAGUUCAAUGAACUAAUAUCUGGCUUCCCUAGUGCCUACAGCUAAAAUAGCUAGCUUUUGUUUGCCUUCUACAACUUUAGUUUACGUAAAGUAGCAUUUCAGAUACACUGCAUCGGUUUCGGAAGAAAGAGCAUGAUUGGGGGUGGAAAAAGUUUAUGGAACUGUCAAAAUUACAUGAUGGCUUUAUUGUUGAGGAUGUUCUUACCAUCAAAGCCCAAGUUCAAGUUAUCAGGUAUCUGUUUUCUUUGCAUCUUACUCUUACAUUCAAUGCUAGCAUCAAUUAUUUUCAAGUGGGAUAGUGGGAAGUAUCUGUUUACUUAGCAUAACCAUGUCUGCUUCUGCAUUCUAAUAUUUGAGGGAGAAGACAGACCGUCCAUUUCGUUCCCUUGAUGGCCAGUACCGAAGGGAACUAAUUAGGGUGUAUCUAUCAAAUGUGGAAAAAAUUUGCCGGCGCUUUAAUGAUGAAAGAAGAAGCAAGCUUAGCAGGUUAAUUGAGGAUAAACUGGGGUGGUCCAGGUUAGAUAAACUUAUGAUUUAUGAACGGUGCAUUAGUGUUUUAUGACCAGUCUCAAUUCCAAGCCAUUUUUUAUUUUUGAUUUUUUUUGGUGUAUUGCAGUUUCUGUGGAUUCUGGCUAGCAAUGGAUCCAAGUGUGCGUCGGCACAUGACAAGGGAAAAGACUGAAACUAUAUUGAAAAAUCUAGUGAAACAAUUCUUUAUACAGAAAGAAAUUACAUCAACCUUGGUAAUUGACUCACUAUAUAGCGGACUUAAGGCACUAGAAUACCAGAGCAGGAACAAAAAGGGGAUACCUAAACUAACAGAGACAGAUGCUCAGAGCACUCCAAUGGUGCAUAUUGAUCAGGACAUGUUUGUUUUGGCUGAUGAUGUGAUACUUUUGCUUGAAAGAGCUGCGUUGGACACACUACCACACCAACCAUUGCCCACACAAGAUGAUGAAGGAUCACAGUACCACACAAAGGUAUGCAUGUUUCUUUGAUCCCUUACACAUUGCUUUAUAAGGUAACGUCUAUCCUAGAUGAUUCCAUCUUGUGGGCAGUUGACUAGAACAACUAUUUGCAGAUGUACGUUUUUUUUUACAUGUUCAAUAUCAAACUGAAAGCAUUUUCAUCAUGGUGUGCAUUUUUUUGUUGUGCAAAGGCCCACAAAUUUUGAAAUUUUAUUCAUAUUACAUUCAAAAUUACUUUCACAUAAUGAAUUCACAUAAUGCCUUUCAGCCGUGAAGCUAUGGAGGAAAUAAAUGUUUAUUUGUACCAUUUUGCUUUGGAAUUGGGCCUGAACCUAUGAGUCAUUUAUGAUUAUUAUCUUCCGUAGUUACAAAAUGAGAUAUACUUAUUCAGCAUCCAUGUUUCCCUAUCCUAACAAAUCCCCUUAUUGUAUGUAGGAUGGCAAGUCAAGCAACAAGUUCGACAAAGAUUCUAUUGAGCGUGAUGAUAGAUGGCUUACAGAGCUAGGCUGGAAGACACUGGAACUUUUUGCCUUAGCUCAUAUAUUCAGGUAAGCAAACUUUUCUAGUUGUUUGUUCCAAUAUUUUGCUUCAUGAAUAGAUAUUAGGUCAGCCACACAUUGUUGAUUCAUGGUUCACUUGAGGUGCAUGCCUUUUUUAUGUUGCUUAUUUUAAUACUUCCCUCCAUUCCAAAUUAUAAUAUUCCUAGAUACAUUGCUUUUACUAAUGUACUUUUACUAAUGUAGAUACAUUGUAAAAGCAAUGUAUCUAGAAAAGCCACUGAGGGAGUGCUAGUGAAGAGUUGCGGAAAUUUUAUGUCCAGUUUGUUUUGUGUCUAAUUGUUUCAUCAGGUUUUGGAAAAAAUAUGUUUUAAAAUUCUUUUACUUGGAGAAACAUAAAUCUUCUGUUGAAAUUCAUAAUUCAAAUCCCACUUCGAUUAUGGUUAUUUUACAUGCUCUUCCUACUCUUGAAACAGUCGAAUAGAAGUGGCAUACCAAGAGGCGAUGGCUUUGAAGCGCCAAGAGGAACUCAUUCUUGAAGAAGCAUCUGAGCGAGCUGGAAUUGAACUUAAGGCAAAGCGUAGUGCUGCUGAUAAGAAAAGGCGUGGCAAGAACAUGUGAAGUGUUAUAUUUUCGAAAAAAAAAGAAACACAGCAAUAUAGGCCUUGUUUAGUUCCGAAAAAAAUUCGGAUUUCGCUACUGUAGCACUUUCGUUUUUAUUUAGCAAAUAUUGUCCAAUCAUGAACUAACUAGGAUCAAAAGAUUCGCCUCGCGAUUUACAGACAAACUGUGUAAUUAGUUUUGUUUUCGUCUAUAUUUAAUGCUUCAUGCAUGUGCUGCAAGAUUCGAUGUGACGAGAAAUCUUGAAAACUUUUUGGAUUUUGGGGUGAACUAAACAAGGCCAUAAUUCAUCAGAUAUGCUAUGCUAUUGCAAUAUGCUGUAAUCCCUCAUUUACCGUGAAUAGACUUAUGCCACCGUUCUUAGAUUCUAAUCUCGUGCAUUCUCUUUGAGAAUAUAGUAAGAACGAGAACAAGAAAGAUUGAAUUGAUUGAUCUCGGGUCGGGUCAGUAAAGCGUAUCCUUGAACGGAUACGUGGCUGUAUCUAAUCAUAUUCACUAAUCUGUAUGGGUCCUGAUCGGAGGGAAGAGAUCAUCCUCCUGUGGUUAGUUCUUAACAUCCCUUUUGAUCAACUUGACAUUAAUCGAUUGCAUUCAAUCUUCCAAAAACCUUACAAGAAAGAUAUGGUGCAAUAAUGUUGAUACGCCAUUAAGCUUCUCAUAAAAAAACCCAUUUCAAAAAUAGGGAGAAACAAUAUUACACAUUUAUGGAUUUCUAUUGUUGUCAGAGCAACUCCAACAGCUUGGCUAUUCUUGUUGUGGAGGUUAUUUUAGAAUUUGCAUAACAAAAAGUAGACUCCAACAGAUGUGAUAUCUAGUUUUGUAAAAUAGAAAGUUGGUUAUUCCUUGAUUUUCGCUGGCCAUAUAUAGCCAACCACUGACACAAGCUAUAUGAUUUUGUAAAAUAGCAAGGCGGUUGCAGAUCUCUUUUUUAAAAAAACUUUUGUACUUUACAAAAUGGCUAAACAAUAUAAUUUGGCUACUAAUUUUAGCCAAGCUCUUGGAGUUGCUCUAAUAAACUUAUGAGAAACUUUAUUGGGAAAAAACACACAAGCAAGUUUAAACAACAGUACAUGUCUUAGAUAUUCCCUAAAAACUCGUAGAGAUAAAGUGAAUAUAAUGCAUUCUUGAGUUAAUAUUGUCUCAGCAAAACCUUAUUAUGCUAGUACAUGUUAUUACUUUUAGAGAGCAUUUACCCAUGUGUUUACAAGUCUCGAAGUCAUGGCAUACUAAUACUAUGAACAAGUUUUUUAGAGCGUACUAUGCGGUAAUGACUUCAUGAAUAAAUCUGCAAGAAUAUUGCAAGACUAUUGUAAAAUGUUAAUUUUUCACUUGAUUAUAAUUCAUGGGAAUGAUAGAAUAACUUAACAUAUUUGCACAUGUGUAACACAAACAACAUUAUACGUACAUAAUUUCUGGCGAUUAAAUAGAGCCAAUACCACUUCAUUGUAAGUAGUUAAUCAUUCUCAGGAAGCCAUACGUGUGAUGUUUUAUAUAGUGCAAUAAUUUUAGAAUGAUUUAUCAAUAUUGCCACUAGAGUCUACUUAGAUGACUUUCAUGAGAUGGUUGUUCCUCCAUAUAAAAAUACAAAGGAUGUUUGGGAUCCUUAUGGAGAUUUAACAUACAUCCAGCAUUAGUAUAUCUAAUCAUGGUUGGGUCUUGGUUUCUUUGGAAAGAUAAUCCAGGAUCUUUAUUUCCCUCCAUGUUCCUAAAGAAAGUCGUUUUGGACAUCGAUAUGGUUCUUAAAAUCAACUUUAACCAUUACUUUUUGCUAUAAAAUAUAUCAAUAUAUACCUUUAUAAAACUAUAUUCCGAGAUGAAUCUACUUACAUUACUUUCAUAUGUUUGACUUAAGAUGACAUCAAAACGACUUUCUUUAGGAACAUGGAUAGAGUAUAUGUUUAGCUCUCAUCCAAUAAUGUUUUAUUGGAGCGGCACUAUGUCUAGCUAGUAAAUUCACUACAAAUGCAAUACCAAGAUUGAUGCAAUUUGCAAGAUACAAAGUGCUACAAUGACAUUGAGAUAUGAAACCUCGGGUCCUAGUAUAUCAAUGUCCUUAUCCCUUGGUCUAAUUAGAUAUUUCUCCAUGUAUAGAAAUUGAACAGCUUGAUUUAGAUGGAUAUGAUUUGUCCAUACUAAAUUUUGUUAGUAUAUUUUCCACAUAUAACUAGAUUGGUGCACUAAAAAUCAUGAGGGGAAGUGCUCAAUUUGUGAACGUAAGGAAAUGGCACUAGGCUAGGGCCAUAUAGUUGUUUUUGGUGGUUGUAUGACAAUAUGAUCAAAUGAACUAGGCAGCCAGCGGACACCGAAAGUGGAGAUCAUUUACAGGCAGACAUGCAAAGUGGAGCCAUUUGCUGGAAAACACUAUCGUUGCUGACAAUUAUGCUACUGCACACCAUGCCUCUUGUUUUAUUCAUUUCCACCAGUUGAGAGAGAUGGUGAGGAAAUGUCAUUCUUCCCCCUGCCUCUUUCUUCUUCCUCUCUCUUUCUUUUUUUCCCUAUGUGGUGUUGCGAGCAGGCAGAGGCGGCUCCGGUGGAUAGUUCCGACCACGUGAGGGCGCGCCGACGGCGGAGCUUCUCCGGAGGGACACACAGGGCCAGGACGCACUAGAGGGACAUGAAGGGCUGGGCUGCACCAUAGGUGAUGCUGCGUCGAUGGCAACAAUGACGACGCUCUGGUGCGGUAGGUGCUCAAAGGGAGCGUGAGAGCAUUGUGCCAUGCCCCAUGCUUGGGUGUGCGAGCUCCAUUUGUCGCAUGUUUGCCACGUGAGGUAGCAUGCAGCCACGAUCGACCACGCCAUGGUCGGCGGUGACCUCGUCGACAACAACAAAUUGAUGAUGGAUGAGUAAAAAAAUAGCACUUGGGCAAUGGGCGAGCCCCUAACAAGUUUGGCCCAGGCAAGUGAAAGGUCCUAAUAUGGCUAGAGGGGGGUGAAGAGCCUAUUUAAAAAUUCUACAAAGUACUAGAGCAAAUGGUUAGUACAACAAAUGGUGUAAUGUAAAUUUGCUCUAGCUCUACAAGAGAUGCAAAUCAUUAUCCAAGCAAGUCUAGUUACUAUAAUCUCUAUGUUCAAACAAUGACUAAGUCUCUACUUACACUAGAGAGCUACCUAAAGUUUCUAAACAAGAUAGAAAGCUACACUAGUUUGCAGAAAUGUAAAAGAGUGAAAUGUAGUCUGUAUACCGUCGAGUAGAGGGGAUGAACCAAUCAUAAUGAUAUAAAAUCCAAUUACCGGGAAAAAUCCAAUGAGCACAAUGGAGACACAAGAUUUUUCUCCUGAGGUUCACAGAGAGAGACCUAAACUCUCUCUACCCCUCAAACUCCACCUUCUUUGCAAAUGUGCCAACACCACCAUGUGUAAACCAUCAUGUGCAUGUGUGUUAGCAUUUUUAAAAUUAUUUUCUUCAAAGGAGUUAAGUUAGCUCACUAGGUUCUAAAUGCAUGCACAAGAACAAUGACACCUAGUGGCACUCGAUAAACCAUGUAUCCAAAAAAAUUUCCCUUUUAUAGUAUGGCUAUCUAUCCUAAGUGUGAUCACACUCUCUACGGUGUUUCGAUCACCAAAACAAAACCAUAAGCAAUACCUUUGCCUUGAUCUCCAUAAAGUUUUGUUUUUCUCUUCCUUAUUUUCAAGUUGAGCACUUGAUCAUCUUGUGGUCACCACCAUUGUCACCAUGAUCCUCUAGCUCCACCACUCAGUGUGGGAAUUUAUCAUUUCAUGUCUACACAUUUAGCACAAUAAUUAGUCCUUAUGUUUUAUUAAUUAUCAAAACCAAACUGGAGCUUUUAGCGAGCCUUCUCAGCAAGUUCAUGAGCAACAAGGGCCCCACAUGAGCGAGCUCAAGCCCCAGCCUCCACGGCAAUGGCGGCAACAACAAGUAUGGGGAGAGAUGCAUUCACCAAAGAUGAGGACCUUUGACAUUUCUAGAUAGGAAAUCAUAGGCGUCCAUGACGCAUUUGUGGAUAAGAGGAAUUGAGGGAGAUGGAGUAGGGUGGGAGAAUUUGGCUAGCGGCAACAGGGGUCCAUGGGGCCAUAUGUUGCAUUCAUUGUGCGCUCACCCACGACCACCACUGCUAUUGUGCGCUUGCCUGAGGGCACCAUGCACGCUCGCAAGGAGAUGAAGGAGCAAGAAAAAAAGAAAUGGAGAGAGGAAAAAUAAAGAGUGAAAGGUUCUAAUAUGGCCAGAAGAAGGGUGAAUAGCGUAUUAAAAAAUUCUACAAAACACUAGAGCAAAGGAUUAGUAAAACAAAUGGUGAAAUAUAAUUUUACUCUAGCUCUACAAGGGUUGGAAGCCACCUAUCAAAUAAUUCUAGUUUUUAUGAUCUGUAGUGAAGCCAAGGCUAUGUCGCUAUGAGCUCUCAUAACUAGCUACACUAAAGAGCUCAACUAGGUGGAAGAACUAAGCUAGCACAAGCAAGACAAGCUCUCAAACUAAAUACAGCAAAGAGCUUGUUACAACUAGUUUGUGGGAAUGUAAAAAAAGAGAUUGUGAUCUUUAUACCGAUAUGUACAAGGGAUGAACCAAUCAAUAUGAAUAUCAAUCAAUCGUUGGGAGAAUACCAAGGAGGCAAGAGACAAUUGAUUUUUCUUCUGAGGUUCAUGUGCUUGCCGACACACUAGUCUCUAUUGUGUCGACCAACACUUGGUGAUUUAGUGGCUAAGAGGUGUUGCACAAGUCUCGUCCACACAAUUAGACACUGUAAGAACCUACCCACAAGUGAGGUAGCUCAAUGACGCAUGCAAUUCACUAGAGUUGCCUUUGGUGCUCCACUGGGAAAGGCACAAGAAGCCCUCACAAGAUCAUCAGAGCUAGAAACAGACAAUCACCAACACAUGCUAGACCUCUUCUGCUGCUCCAAGUUGUCAAGAACUCUGCAUCCACAAUGAUCCCCAAGUGCCACUAGAUACAAUCACUCAUACAAAUACACUUGGAAUCACUCUCAAUCUCAUAAAAAUAGUGAAACUAUGAAGAAGAUGAGUGAAAGGUCUUUGCUUAGGCUCAUAAAGAUGUCAAGAACAUCAAAGUUCUAAGAGAGUGAUCCCAAAGCUAGCCAAACAUUAUUUAUAAGUCCUCAAAAGAAUAGAGUUGUUGGCUCUCUGUUCUCACAAAACUCGGGGCGAUCGGACGCAGACCCCAGCGUCUGGUGCUCGAAUUGCUGCCACAUGUCAACUCCCUUUGAAUGUCACGUAUUAGAUCUCAAGGGUUAAGUUCACACCGAACUCGCUUCAGUAAAUGACCAGACGCUGGAUAUUAUGGUUCGACUGCUACUCAGAGAGGUUCUAGAACACGAUUUCCACUACUGGACGCAUCCGGUGCUUCCUUAGCUUGCAUGUUCUUGCCAUGUCAGCUUGACCAGACAAUGAAUAGUAUUUCCCUAGUGUUCGGUUGCUUGCGUCUGAUACUCUCAAAAAGUGAUCGGACACAUAGGUCCCUGCGUUUUGUACUCAAACCUAGGUUGUAGCCUAUAUGCACUACAAGACAGUAUUGACCGAACGCACACCCAACAUCCAGUGAUCGUGGUGCCAGCAUUCGGUGAGUGUUUCUUAGUGAGAAACACUUCCGCGACUUCAUUGAAUCUUGCCGAGCUCCACUCUUCUCUACCUCUUCAACCCUUGCUCAAAUGUGUGACCACCAAGCGUACCACCCUGUACAUAUGUGUUAGCAUAUUUUCACAAAUAUUUUUCAUGAGUUAUGUUAGCACACUAGGUUCUAAAUAUAUGCACAUGAACAAUGAUACCUAGUGGCACUCGAUAGACCAUUUAGCCAAAGAAUUCCCCUCUUUAUAGUAUGACCAUCUAUCCUAAAUAUAAUCACACCCUCUAUGGUGUCUUGAUCAUCAAAACCAAAAUCCUAUUUAUACCUUUACCUUGAUUUCCAUAGGAUUUUGUUUUCUCUUUAUUUUUUUCAAGUUGAACACUUGAUCAUCUUGUGGUCAUCACCACCAUCACCUGGAUCCUUUAGCUCCACCACUUGGCAUGAGACUUAUCAUUCUAUGUCUACACACUUAGCAUAAUGAUUAGUACCUAGGUUUCAUCAAUUAUCAAAACUAAACUAAUGGUUUAAAAGAGGCAUGGGCAAGAAUGACAUUUCCCCACCUUCCUCUCUUUCAACUAGUGGCAAUGAAUAGAAUAAGGGGUGUGGUGUCCAGUAGCAUAAUUGUUAGCAAUGAGAGUGUCUUCUAGCGAAUGGCUCCACUUUGGAUAUCCGCUAGCAACUGGCCUCCACUUUCAAUUUCCAUUAGCAAAUGUUACCAAUGAACUAAUGUUAUUUACUAGUAUAUAAGGUAUUUAGUCUAUUGGGUGCAAGGAAGGCUUGGACAAAGACAACAUGAAGAUCAAAUGAUCAACACUUCAAAAAAGGACAAGGAAUUAUUGUUAAAGACUUGGAAAACAUGUAAGAAGUUCAAGGCAUUAAGUAGAAAGGAGCCUUGAAAAAAGAUGCAAACAUAAUGCAGCCAAACUGACAUUGCCCAUACUCACACCGAUGGCGCCUUGGUAGAGGCACCAGAGCUUAAGCUCGGGCGAAGAUAGUUCUACAGAGGAUUUACAGUAUGACUAGAAUUCUCUAGUGUUACAUAAUGGGAAGCAUAGGAGAAAGCAGUGCAGCCCUAGAAGAUUUUGCAAAGAAGUUGGAGGCCUCAAUGAAGGCACCAGAAAAGUUCAAUGUUAGGCACCUAAGAAAAAAGCUUUUGGUUCUCAAAACAGAGCUCACCUUCUAGUUCUCAAAAUAGAGCUCCCAGAGUCAUAGGAAAACUCUGGUGAUCCUAAAGAGACCCACCGUAGUUUAGGCUACUCCAAUUGUCAUAGCUGCUAGUCCAACUAUUACCUGACAUAGCAGGCACCAAAUUCCUUAGUGGCCUCACUAAAGCUUUCUGAUGGGCACUACAUGAAGAUAGUCCUUUGGCCAACAAAUCUUUAAGGGGUGAAGGCUAUAUAUAUACCCUCUACGACCAGUCAAUUAAAUGUUGUUUGAGUUAUGGAUUGUUACUAGCAAGUUAAGGCUUAUUUCUAGCUCUCUAACCACCAAAGGUGUUUAGGAAAAAGAUUAGACAAUUAGGGUAGUGCUUUUGCAAAGUGCUUAGGCUAGUUAGAUGAUCAUAUUAGUGUUUUGCUUUAAGCUUAGACUUAGUGUUACUGAGUUUUGCAUACCUCUUGUCACUCGGUGCCUAUACACACCAUUGGAUACUGAGGGCUUUAUAAUCUUGCGAUAUCACACCAAUUAUGUUUGUGGUGUGUCCGUCUAGGUUGUACCAAAGGGAAUGAGACCUCGUAACAUUUGAGCCAAAAGCUUGAUAGUGAAGAUGGUGAAGAGUAGUCCGGGAGAAAUCCGUAUAUGGAAACCCACUUGUGCGUGGAGAUUGUGGGCUCAUGGGAUCCUAAGAGUUAACUAAUUGGGAGCUUGGCCCUUGUGAAAGGAUCCAACAAGGAUUAAGGGGGCGUGAGCUUCUCAAUACCUCGAGUAAAAAUAUAGUCAUGAAUGAGAGUUUGCAUCUCUAUCUCAUUUCAGCUUUUGUACUUUCAUGUUUUUCUAGGUUGUAUAUUUUACAUUUCUAGUUUUGCUUGGUAGGUUAGUGAUAGAACUGAAACCAAGGACACAAAAAAAUUUUACAUCAAAGAUGGUAGUACUUAGCAAAACCACAAUACACAUCUAAACUGAUAUCUUGUAUAGGUUUUCAUAAGUAGAAAAUAGAGCCCUUGUUUUAUGUUGUCUCAUUCACCUCACCUUUUAGGCAUUACGAUCCCUUACAAUCAACUUCAACAAAUUUUGGUUUGGUCCAAAUCCCUCGUCUCAAAAUCUAUCUUUAAAGGAUCACAUGCUUCUUGAUAACACGUGGUUUUCCAAUGAUAUUUAAGUCAUCCACAUAUGCAUAUGUAAUGCAAAUUUCCAUUUGAGAUUUCUUUACGAAAAUACAUGGGUAAUCAUCAUUAUUGGUAUGUUGCUUUAAUAAAAUGAAUCCAAUUAGUCGGCUGUCUUACCUUCGUCCUAAAUCUUUAAAACAUAUAGUGACUUAUUCAAUUUUACAUAAUAUAUGGUGCGAUUUGCAUUAGGGUCGAAAUAUAGAUUCUAACAAGGACCUUCAUAUUAAUGUCCAAAUCAAGUGAACUAUAUAAAUAUGCCAUCAAUGCAUCCAUUAAUGAUAUAGAUAAAUGAUUUUGAACGGAUAAAUGUAUUGAAUAUAGGAAUGUUAUUCCACUCAUAACCAGAGAAUAGGUUUGAUUGAAAUCAAUGUCGAAUUCUAGGUGAACCCUUGUACUAUUAGUCUCGCUUUAUAUCUUAUACCAUCCCAUUAUUUUCAUUCCAUUUCCACAUAACAACUAUUUCAAUCCCACGAAUACGGAACACCCUAAAAAUCACUUUCCUAAUUAGCAAAUAAUUUCCCUUUUUUUAUUCAUUUUUUCUUGAUUUAACAUAGGCCAAAUAAUAUGUUUUUAUGAAACUAAAAUUAAAUAUAAAGCUUAUAAAUAUUUUUCAUGCAUACAAAAUAGUUUUGUACCAAAUUCAACUUUAAACUCGGUAAAAAGAAAAGGAGUUUCUUUACUAUUUUCUCUUUUUUGUUUUUGAAACCAACAAUUAAUCUAGCUCAACUUGUUUUUUUAGCUUAACGUAUUCACUAGCCAUCUUUUUGGUUUUUCCUCUACUCCUUAGGGUCCUGCUGUACAUAGUGGUCCAACAAGCUAGCUAGUUUAUCUGCAUGUGUAUCUUUUGUUUUUUCUCGCACUCUUCAACUUGGUCUUCUUUCCUGGUCACUCCUAUGCUCUCCACCUAAGCCCAGCAGCGGCCCAACAAACUAGCCAGUUAAAAAAAAUUAAGUCGGUCGCUAGUAGCCUGGCCACACCUGUAAGCCUCCUCGCCACUUAUUUUCCACCUCUUGCGGUUAUUUCAAGCGACAGUGGUGAUAUCAUUAUAAUGGGUUCUUAUAUGUAUUGAAAAUGCAACAACAAUGACAGAGUAACCCAUAGUGUAUCUCCCUCCUCCGCUGAUAUAUAUAUAUAUAUAUAUAUAUAUAUAUAUAUAUAUAUAUAUAUAUAUAUAUAUAUAUAUAUAUAUAUAUAUAUAUAUAUAUAUAUAUAUAUAUAUAUAGCCAUAGCUUCGUGCCGCGUUGCUUCUUUUCUUAAAACCCUAGUAGUGCUGUCACCAUAGCACUCCACCGCUUCCCAUGUUUAAAUAGUCAUGUAUGUGUCUUGUUAACAGCUUCAUUCUCAAAAGGAUUUGGAAGUUCUUGCUGACUACUGAGUGGUGAUUGAUUUCCUCCGGUAAAAUUGUUUUCUUCACUAAUCAAAAGCCUCAAUGUCUGUGAACUUGGUGGCUCUUGAUUUGAAGAUAUUGUGUCGCCAAAUCAUAGUUUUGAGUUAUUCUAACUAUUUCCCCUCUUGUAGCAUGAAUAAUUUUUAGCAAUGCGUAAGAGAAUGAUGUUGUUUUCCUGUCUACUAAGUCUUUUGACUAUAGAUUGCUUAAAGAUUUUAAUGAUAUAGACUAGAUUCUAGAUAAUAUCUGUAAAAUCUAGCUAUAGCUAAAUAAGAUAUGUUUGGAUCUUGGAUUAUAAGUGAUUGAGAUGUUUUAUGCCUAUUAUCUUUAAAUAGUAGACCAGAUGCCGGUAACUGAAUUCUCAUAAUUUGGUGAUUAGGUUAUAUAAGAGUCCCCUUGAAUUCAUAUGUUUAGAUCUCCUUUUUAUUUCUUUCAGCUCAAUACCAUAAUUUAGGAGAUCUAAAUAAGCUCUCUCAUCGAUGAUGAUUUACUCUACAAUUUUAUGCACUAAAUAACUUGUUGCACGGGAUAACAUUUUAGCUCCAAUAUGUGUUCUCUUAUUGACAUUCAUUCCACAACAAUUUAAGCUAACACGUGUUGUGCUCUACAACUACAACCACGUGACAUUAACGCCCUACAACCGUUUUAACGGCCUUUUACCACACGGUCUAACAUAUUGUUUGGUUAGUUCUAUAGUAACAUAAAUGUAAAGAAAAUUAGUUCCAUCGUAUCUCUGAUUGGUAACGUCCGCAAGUUUAAAUCAUUUAUGUUUGCGUUGCCAAUAGUAGAGUCAAACAGCUGUGUUUGUAUCAAUAUACAUUAAUCUAUUUUUCUCUGGAUAUAUAGCUAUUCAUCGUUGACUCGUUGCAAAAGAAGUAAUCUACCACCAUAAACAACUUCUAAAGAUACAACCAUCAUCAUAAAUCAUGGCCAAACCGUGAGAUAGAUAAUUAUCGAUGGCCGCAAAUGACUGCCAAAAUGUAAAAAACCGUGGAAUAUUAGCCAAGACAAAGAAACGAGCCAAACGUAGAGGGACGGAAGGAGAAGGAAAGCAGAGCACAGGAGAGAGGAGAGGGAAGGGGAGCUAAACCUAAACCCGAUCCGAUUAUUCAACAGCCACCCUCCCCCGACUCCAUUUCACCACACCUCUUCCCCCCCUCGCCCCCCUCUCCGACUCGACUAGGGCGCUCGCGCACGCCGCCGCCCCCCCUCCGCCGCCGCCGCCGACGACGACGACGACGACGGGCGGAAGGGAAAGAGGGAGAGCUCUCGAUCUCCGGCGCGGGCCGUGGGGGCGCACGCACGGCGCGCGUGGCGGCCUCCCCGGUCGGGGGUCAGAUCCGAGCUGAAUCGGGGAGAUUUCCCGGCCAGGUGAGCAUUGCGGCGCGGCUCCUCCCGAUCUAGAGACGGCUCGUUCGGUCUGGUAGGCUGCGUUCCCUCGCGAGAACGGGUCCGGCGCGCGCUUGGAUUGGAUUGGAUUGGGCUGGGGUAGUCGGGCCCUGUUCCAGACUCCCAGUCAAUUCGUUCGUUCAUUCUGUGGUGGUUUCGGAGGCAGCUGCAGUAUAUUAUUCUUGCGGUUUCGGAAAGUAAUCCAGCUCCGAUUUAUGAUUUAUUAUGUAUGGGUUGAUCCCGCGGAGGCUUUCAGUUUUUAUUUAUGUAUAUGGUUUGAUCCCCUGGAGGCUUUCAGCUCUUUUGACGCUAGAUUUAUUAUUGCUUUCGGAUAAGACCAGUUACUUCCUCUUGAAAUUUGAGGAGGUUUUGCGGUCAGGAAUGGCGUUACGGGGAUUAGAAAGCGUUCCUGAUAUCGUGCGACAUGACUUCACUCUUUUGGAUGUCACUUUUGCUUCGAGGUUAUGUGAUUCCAGGGGUUCGAUUGCCAUUUCCUUAUGGUUGUCCCAUUGUCUGCAAUGCCUGCUUGGAACCAUGCAUGCUUCUGCGGCCACUAGGCACGAGAUGCACGCGGGAUGAGUUAUGUAGAGUGGCUAGUUAGCAAUUGUUUAUACUGUCGUUUUUUAGGGCAAAAACUGUGGGGGAGAUCCCCACAGCACAUUUCUAAUUUUAAUUAAGCAAUUGUUUGUACUGUCUACAAGGCUUAUUACUUUUGGCAUCUUUCUCUGUAGACUCACUUUUGGAUUCCUCUUCUUUUGUAUCUCUGGUCGUCUAGUGAAACGGAUACUUACCAUUCUUGUUUCUUGAAACGGCAGGAACGAAAACGACAAGUGCAACGAAGCUGUACUUGUUCAGGUGACAGGAUAAUGGCUGGCACUUUGACUGAGGACAAUGGUGCGGAUGCUAGAUCCUCAUCAACUGAAGAGAUGCCAAGUGAUCAACAGAGUCAUUCUGGGGAUUCUUUAGCUGAGUGGAGGUCGAGUGAGCAAGUUGAGAAUGGAACACCAUCCACUUCACCAGCGUACUCAGACACUGAUGAUGACGACUGUGGUAUGUUUUCCAACUCUUCUCACAUUUGUCAGCAUCUCUUCCUUGCAAAUGCUUUUAGCUAGAUCUUUGUAAUCUUCCUUCUGAUGUUAUGAUAAUAUGUGGACCAGCUAGAUUUAUCUAUGCCUAGGUAAUUUGUUCCAUGAGGAGUCUCAACUAAUUUGGUUAAGGUACUACUUAACCCAUUUAGGUAUGAUUCAGUGCAGUCUAAAUGUCUAAUUAAUUGCCCAUGCAAUAAGAUGCUACCUUUAGAUACUUGUAUUGCCUUUAGGAUGUUUAGUUUUUCACUGCAGUUGUUUGGGUCAUUUUUUUAGGUUUACGAUAACUAACUUCUUGAGGAAUCAGGAGCAUUGCUGGAGUAUUACCAAUGGAUCAUUCAUUGGUUUCGCAUGGGCAAGAACAACAAAUGUAGAGAUGUACUAAAAAGAUGAUAGCUGUGAUACUUGUCAUGAUUGGUCUAAAUAUAGGGAGACUGUCCUGACUUGUGACUUGUUUGGUCGUGGGAUCUGUCUGUGGUAGAUAAAUCUUGAUCACGAAAUGCCUUUUCUUACCAAUUUAAAUAGUCCUGCUGCAGGAGACUUUGAAGUCCAGUUGAUUUUUUUCCCAGCAGCAAGCUAAGUACAAUCCACUGAACUAUUGUGGCAGAGUUAGGUCUGUAGUAUCAAGUUGCUUUGUCAAGCCAACUUAAUCCUCUGCACUACAACUAUAAGCUAGUGUAACAUAAAAGGCUGCAUUGUGAGUUGCAGUACCAAAAGCUAUGUCUAGUGUGCAAGAGAUUUCCAGCAAUCCCAAUAUUCAGUUAUUUAGAUCAAGUACACUCAAGCCUGAGGUCCCUUUUGGGCCUAAGUAGUUAAGCUGCUUUGAAACUUGUCACAUGUAACUUUUUUAGAGCACCAGAAGUUGCAUUCAAGAACAUUUAUCAUUGUAGUUCACUGUUCUAAAAGGUUGGCGCUUAGGUGCUUGUACUUGUACUAGAAAACUAUAGGGUUUCAUUAUAUAACAACUACCUACAGUCACAAAUAAGUAACAUUUUUGUGUUUUCCCAAGUCAACUAUUGCAAACUUAAACUUUCUGUUAUUAUGCACAACAAAAAAUUAUUGGAAAUACAUAUUUUUCAAAACAAAUCUACUUAUAUCACUUCCAAACAUUCAAAGGCACCCCUUAUUUGUAACGGGAGCGAGUAUUCAGCUUCUUGUGUUUUGCGUGAACAUUGUUGAGUUGGACAUGUUCUUUUCUUAAAAUUGGCUUGUAAUUAUGAGAUGAUGAUUACCUAGUUUUUAUCCUACUGGAUGACAUGUUUCUGAUAAGCUGGUUUAUAUGAUCUGUGCAUUUCAACCUUUUGCAAUAUUAAAUAUUUUGGCAUCUGGUGCUUGACCUAGUAAUUCCAUUGUCUAUUUGUCUUGUAUAGGACCUAGGCCUUCUGAGCUAUAUGGGAAGUUUACAUGGAGAAUUGAUAAUUUCUCCCAAAUCAACAAGAGAGAGCUAAGAAGUAAUUCCUUUGAUGUUGGUGGAUUUAAGUGGUAUGGUCUUAUUGCCAUUAAUUGGAUCAUUUCCUUUUUAGAUUUUUGGUUCCACAAACAUGUUUCUACUGUGCACCUGGGCUUCUUACUUGCCUGCUAUUUGUGAUUUGGCUAUUGCUCCCACUGUACCUGAAAGAAAAUCAUUCUAUAUCGUCUCAAGUCAAAUAUCUAUUGAUCAAGUUUGUAGAGAAGUGUAUCUACAUUUGUGACACCAAAUAGGCAUACCACGAAAAUAUAUGUCAUGAUAUAUCUUAGAACACUUAUUUGGUACUAUAAAUAUAGGUAUUUUUCUGUUGUAUAAAUUUGGUCAAACUUAAGAUGAUUUGGUCUAGGAAAAAAAUAGAAUGACUUUCUUUUAUGGAUGGAGGGAGUAGUUUUUACUUUUUAGUGUCUUUGCAAGGAGAUAGCUGUUAAUUAGAGACGGUGUAAACACAAUCACUGUGUUUAAUUUUCAGCACAGUUUCUACUGUUUGCAUGUUUUAUUUGAACUAUAAAUUCUGAAGGUUGACCAUCCAUUUGAAAAGUGAUCGAACAGCUUAUGUUGAAAAGAAACUAGUACCAAGCACAGGUAACCUUGUGAGCUGCCUGAUUGUUGAAUAGGCUCAUUGGGUGUCACAGACUGCAGCUGUCAACAGUUGAACUCACUGGCAGCUGUUCAAUUAAGCUGUAAUUUGUGUUCUGCCUUCUCAUGGUGAUAUGCAUUUUGCCAGCAAAUCGUAAUCUUAGCAUUUGUAUUCAUGGAGAAGGAAUACCAUUGUUAUAGUUAAAGUAGCAUUUUCUCUAUUGUUGUCCAUUUCUGUUGACAUGUUUCCUAUGUGAAUAUUUUUCUUGGAGUCCUGAGCAUACAGUGUUCUGUUUCCUUCUCAGUUUCUGUUUACAAAGUUCGUUUUCAUGUUACCUUAGUUCUUACAUACUGAAGAACAAAAAGAAGAACUGUUCUUUGUCUUAUUUUUAUAUUUGAUUACACAUGGAAUAAGCCAAUUGGGGGACAUGAGCGGUUAUGCAUAUAAUUUUGUUGCCAUUUUUUGUUUGGUACAUCUUUUUCAAUUUGAUAUUUUAAUUUGCUUAUGUUUUUUAUGCUUAUAUAGUUUCUGCAUCAUAUUUUGAGAUCUAUCAGGUGAUUUUCAGGUAUAUCUUAAUUUACCCACAAGGAUGUGAUGUCUGCAAUCACCUCUCACUCUUUCUUUGUGUUGCCAACCAUGAUAAGCUACUCCCAGGUAGAUGCAUAAUUUGAUUGUAUUUGACUCACUUCAGUCUGUGACUACUCUAUAUAUCUUCAAUAUGAUUUGCUUUUACUCAGGAUGGAGUCACUUUGCGCAAUUUACAAUAGCUGUAAUUAAUAGAGACCCUAAGAAAUCGAAGUAUUCUGGUGAGUCCAAUGAACUACUAUCUCGCUUUCCUAGUGCCUAGAGCUAAAAAAGCAAGCUUUUGCUUGCCAUCUGCAAGUGUAGUUUAUGGAAAGUAGCAUUUCAGAUACACUGCAUCGGUUUUGGAAGAAAGAGCAUGAUUGGGGGUGGAAAAAGUUUAUGGAGCUGUCAAAAUUACAUGAUGGCUUUAUUGUUGAGGAUGUUCUUACCAUCAAAGCCCAAGUUCAAGUUAUCAGGUAUCUGUUUUCUUUGCGUCUUGCAUUCAAUGCAAGCAUCAAUUAUUUUCAAGUGGGAGGUAUCUGUUUGCUUUGCAUAACCAUUUCUGCUUCUGCAUUAUAAUAUUCGAGGGAGAAGACAGACCGUCCAUUUCGUUGCCUUGAUGGGCAGUACCGAAGGGAACUAAUUAGGGUGUAUCUAUCAAAUGUGGAACAAAUUUGCCGGCGCUUUAUUGAUGAAAGAAGAAGCAAGCUUAGCAGGUUGAUUGAGGAUAAACUGGGGUGGUCCAGGUUAGAUAAACUUCUAACCGACACAUUAGUGUUUUACAACCAGUCUCAUUUCCAAGCCUUUUUUUUUUAAAAAAAAAUUGUUUGUUUUUGGUGUUUUGCAGUUUCAAUGGAUUCUGGCUAGCAAUGGAUCCAAGUGUGCGUCGACACAUGACAAGGGAAAAGACUGAAACUAUAUUGAAAGUUCUAGUGAAACAAUUCUUUAUAGAGAAAGAAGUUACAUCAACCUUGGUAAUUGACUCACUAUAUAGCGGACUUAAGGCACUUGAAUACCAGAGCAAGAACAAAAAGGCGAUACCUAAACUAACAGAGACAGAUGCUCGGAGCACUCCAAUGGUACUUAUUGAUCAGGACAUGUUUGUUUUGGCUGAUGAUGUGAUACUUCUGCUUGAAAGAGCUGCAUUGGACACACUGCCACACCAACCAUUGCCUACAAAGGAUGAUAAAAGUUCACAAAACCGCACGAAGGUAGGCUUGUUUCUUUGACCCCUUUUUUACACGUUCAAUAUCAAACUUGACAGCAGUUUUAUCAUGGCGUGCAUUUUAUGUUGUGCAGACCGCAAAGGUCCACAGUUUUUCAGAUGUUGUUCAUAUUAAAUUGAAAAUCGUUUCACAAAACGAACUUAACAUUUCCGCACCUUCCAGCCAUGGUGUGUAUCUGCGUUUACUGAUUGAGUUGCUGCUGCUGUUGUGUGUGUUUUCCGGCUUUGUUUUUGCAUUGGUGUUUUCUUCCUUGAUAUAAUGACAGGCAGCUGUUGUGUGUGUUUUCCGGCUUUGUUUUUGCAUUGGUGUUUUCUUCCUUGAUAUAAUGACAGGCAGCUCUUCUGCCUAUUCGAGAAAAAAACACUUCUUUGCUGUAUUGCUCUGAAGUGGGGCCAGGACUUAGGAAUAGUCUAUUAUUUGUAUCUUAACGUGUUAUGAACUGAAAAAGAAGAGUAUUCAUAAUGUCCAUUUCCUUACCCAAUUUAUCUCUCCAUGAAGUUUAUCCUACUGAUGUAUAGAGCCCUAACAGAUGCUCUUGUAUAGGAUGGCAACUCAGGUGAGGAGUUCAGCAAAGAUUCUAUUGAGCGUGAUGAUAGACGGCUUAUAGAGCUAGGCUGGAAGACAUUGGAGCUUUUUGCCUUGGCUCAUAUAUUCAGGUAAGCAAACUUUUCUAGAUGAUUUGUUCCAAUAUUUGGUGCACAAAUGCAUACUCAGAUCAUAUGUUGAUGUCAGCAACAUAAAUUGUUGAUUCUUAGUGAUGCAUGGUUUGUUUGAGAUGCCUUUUUUUUUAUGUUGCUUGUUUUAUGUGUUAGCAGAUAGCUGCAGAAGUUCUAUCUCUUGUUUAUGUAAAGUAAAUUGCUGUAUCAGGUUAUGAUAGUAUGUAUUAACAUUAUUUUUCUUGGGUAAAGAUAAUUCUUCUUGAUGAAAUCUGUGAAUUCAAAUCCCACUCCAGUUAUGGUUAUGCAUAUCUUACUUUAUGAAGUUUUGAAACAGCCGAAUAGAAGUGGCACAUCAAGAGGCUGUGGCUUUGAAGCGCCAAGAGGAACUCAUUCGUGAAGAGGAAGCAGCUGGACUAGCUGAAAUUGAACUUAAGGCAAAGCGUAAUGCUGCUGAAAAGGAAAAACGUGCCAAGAAAAAACAGGUUAGAUUUAUUUUCUGGGGCAAGCAUGUCAUGCCCAUCCUAUUAAUAAUACUAUUUUUCUGCUUUCUUUUCUGGCAUGUUUCAUUUAUUUUGUAUGUGAAAUUAGUGAUUGCUCUGUUCCUAGUCCUAACUGUUCUCUUUAGUUUGUUUUUUGAAUGUACUAUGAUUAGUUAUUUAGCAUCCUUUUUGUAUUUGUUGAGGAGUUUUAUAAUGUUCUGUAUCUCUCUAGGCGAAACAGAAGAAAAAUAGUCGAAAAAGUAAUAAGGGGAAAAGUGGCAAGUCCGACAUCAAUAAGGAAAUACUUAUGGACAGCAGUCCUUCAGAUGAUAGAAUCCUGGAUGAUUUUUCUGGACAAACGGAAGAAAUGUCCUCAAAUGCUGACAACCCUGAAGAAGUUUCUGAUAUAUCUGACAGCAGAGACGAUAAUUCAGAUGUGCUUCAUGUUGAUAUUGAAGACCGUGAAUCUAGUCCUGUUAAUUGGGAGACAGAUGCAGAAACACAAGCUACUGUUCCUGGAAGUAGUGAGGUGCAAAAUGACCAUGCAGGGAAGAGGACCUCUACUGUGGAUGAUAGCUCAUCAACUUGUUCAUCAGACUCGGUCCCUUCAGCUACCGUGAACGGAUCAUAUACAGGAGGUGCCUGGACAAGCGUGAGAUCCUCAUCCAAUAGGUAAAUCUUCUUGAGCUCCUCAAUCUUACUAUAGGUUGGUAUUGGUCAUGCUGUAGUAUUGAUCAUGCUGUAUUGUGAUUCAGGGGAAACAACCGGAGGAAUAAGGAUACUGAAGCACGGGCAGGAUUUGCACAAGGUGGAUCAAGUUCAGCGCAUAAUGGUUUUAUAGGAUCUGGCAGCAAUGCCUCUAGCCACUCAAAGGAAAGACACGAACCUGAGGUAUACAUCUCUUGGAUAUCUCAGAUAAUGGUCGCUAUUCGUCGAUUCGUCGAGGAUUUAUAAUGUGCCAUGAAGCAACCCCCCCCCCCCUAAAUCUUAAGAUAAUCUUGUGUUGUAGUAAAGUCUUCUCUUCCUUUUUUUUUGUCUUCAUCUAUUUGUGUUCAACUUGGUUCAAUAACCAUACAAAUUAAUUCCUUGCAGGAUGAUAAAGUUGUCUUGCAGAGGAAGCAACAUGCACAACGGCACAUUGAUGUCAUUAGCCCCUCUAAGUCAAGAAUGGCGGAGUCUUCAUUUUCUUCUGUGAGCCCUGUUAAGAAGCAACCUAACAUGUCUCAUCAACCAAAAUUUUUGCUAGAAAGCACCAAUAGUUUGAAUCACCGUGCAAGCGAAGUUUCAGGCGCUGUGACUGCCACUACAACAGCAGGUGCCUCUUCAACCCCGGCAGCUCAGUUAGUUUCGAAUAAAGGACCUGUAUCCAGUGCUGCAACCCAGAAUGAGAAGCCAGUUCUAGUUACAAGUAGACCCCUGCAGGUUCUUUUACCAUCCAAAUCUGAAGCGCAGAAACAGGCUUCCGUAACUGGCAGUGCAAAUACUCAGGACAUUUCAGUAUCAAGGCCCUUGAGUGCCCCACAAGUCCCUGCGGCGAAACAAAGUGCACCAGUCACUUCAACAGCUCCGAAUGCACCUCUUCUUUCUCGUUCAAUGAGUGCUGUUGGGCGGUUGGGAAAUGAACCCUCUGCCAGUGCUCCUAGUUUCAUUCCCCGGUCACGAACAUAUCGCAAUGCCAUGAUGGAGAAAAGUUCUGGUGGUGGAAGCAGUUUCACACAUCAGCAAGGUUCGUCCGAGCAAGCAGUUACACCAUUGCAAUCGAUUUUUACAUCGCAACCUUCCAUUCCGUCAUCAGAGACCUUGUCUAGGAAAGAGGAAACAUCAUUGAGACCUGGGUUUACAUUUGGAACUGUAAAGCCCGAGUCACUGAACCCAUAUCAGGGCAGAGAAGAGACCUCACAACAAGCGAGCAGCAGCAGCAGCAGCAGUAGUGAUUGUAUGCCAUCGAAUUCGAACAUCAGAAGCGAGAUUGCGAAGCUCAAUUUGAAUGGAAGAUCACGAAGCAAGCAACUGUUGUCAGAAAUUUCUACCAGAUUUACUCCCUAUCAGCCACAAGGCUUGGUCGCUGAUGAGUUCCCACACCUAGACAUCAUCAACGACUUGUUGGAUGAGGAGCAGAGUGACAGGAGAAGGGUUCUUCAACCUGGUUUUGUUCAACAAUUCUCUAUGCCUAAUGGUGCCAGCACACCUGAGUAUGGUUUGUUUAGUGAGCCAUACCUGUUUGACCAGUCUGAGCAAUACUUUGACGAGGAGCCUCCAAGGUUUUAUAGUCCAUUGAGCAGUGCUCCUCGGAGGCUGAGGGACCGGAGCUAUUCACACUUUGAUCUCCCAUCAUACUCCAGCAGCAGCCAGUUUGAUGAUCUGAUGAUGAGUCAGUGGCCAUACAGCCGCACUGACAUCUCCAUGCCUAGUUUUGAGUCAGACACAAGUGGCUACCCUUAUCAGGCGCAGGAUUUCCCGAGUUCAGCUAAUAGAGCAAGCAGGUACCCAUCGUAUCGCCCUGCCAAUGGGCAUUGAGAGUUUUAAUGGUUGCAUUGAUAAUAAUGUGUGGUCGAGUCCAUGCUGUUCGCUUCUGAGCUGAGUGUAAUUGUAAUAGUUCCCCAUAGCAGUGAUAUAAAGAAUGGUUCCUCAGUUUCCUUGUUAAAUCAAUAGUUACAUCUUUUUCCCCCUUUUCUAUAGUUCAGUUUUGCCCAAUGGUAAUAAAUCUAAGUCGGUUAAAAUGAUCUGGCUAAUCUAGUCAAUGGUGUUCUGAAAUGUGUAUGAUGCAAGCAAAUGGUAGGUGUUUUUAAGCCAUGCCAGUGCUUCAGCUGAUGUUUCAUUGACUGGGAGUAUUUCUUGUUUCUUCCUCUGACGAGUAAAUUCUGGAAAUAGCCCAUGGACAUAAACUAAUUGUUUGCUGCACACUAUGAACUUUUGGAGGUAUAGUUGAUUAUUUCCAUGGAUGGAUAAGCUAUAAAGUAAAAUGCGAUAGGGUCAACUGCAUUUUGUGCCAUUUUUUUUCUCGAACUGUGCCAUCUUUUUUUUUUCUGAACGAUCAUGUCAUCUUUGUUUUUGUACAAUGUACAGAUUCUUUUUUUUUGCUGUAACAAGCACGACGCUUAAUUCAUAAUUUCUGUUCCAAUUUAGAAAGAAUUAUUAUCGCUUGCAUAUCCAAAUCUUGUGUAGGGUGCAAUUGGUGUUGCUGAUGCUUUGUAUGUUCCACAUAAACUGAGAGCAACACCAGCCACCCAGGAAUAGCGGAGAAAUUCCCAUUAUCAGGCUUAAAAUAGUGACUGUAAUUGAUUUUUGUAACUAGAUCGGCAAGACGGGGAAAAUGACCUACAUUGAGCUUGAAGCAAAGGAUCUGCUGCGGAUAUAAAAAGAAUGCGUGGUGAAUCUAAAGAAGAAAAAGUACUGCAGCAGGCUCCUCUUUUGCUAGUAGCAAGUAGAUUAGAGUUAGAGACCUACACUCAGGAGAAGUACCACACUCGUCAAAUUGCCUCUCAAUCCGAUCGACUUCCAUCUCGCAUCUCGUGUUCGUGUCCUCACAAGCAAAUGAAGCAAUGAGGGCCUUGCAUUGUACCUGAGCACAAUAAUAUCAAAUGGAAAUUUUCCUGUAGUGAAAAUUCUUUACAUGCAAUUGGCAUGAACCUAAAUCCCUUAUUGACCACCUAAAACAAUGUGAUUCUCAUAUAAGCAUAUGAACAUCUAGAUGUUAGUAUUGUUCAUACUAGUUAUCGUCAAAUGGUAGAGGUGAUCAACAAUAAGCGGAUGUACGGCUCGGCAAGGAAGAAGAUGGUGGUGGAGAUGGAUCUUUGAUAGAGGAACAGAUGGUCCAUGCAGUUGGCUAUACAAGUUGCUCAGUGUAAGGGCGAUGUGGACUGUACCUGGUGUGCUGGUUCGUUUGUGCUCGUUCUACUGCUUGAUUACGAAUAUGGCAAUGGUUGUGGAGGGUAAGGCCGCCAGAUACUAGUACAAUAAUUUAUAUCAUGUGUUUAGUUGGAAGGCAAAAUGGUAUUUUUGAUAUGUCUAUUACCAAAAAUAUCUGUAUGUCACCAACAAUAUCGAGAAAAGGAUUAAAAUAUCGGAAAUGCUAAAAUAAAAACACAUUGGAUUUGAAGAUGAGCCCGCACACCCGGCUCGCAGUCCCGCAUAUCCUGAAUGGACGCACCUCUCUCUCUUUCUCUUCGGCAGCCUCCUCCCCGCGCCCGCGCCUCACCACCCGUAGCCAUGGCGGAUCUAGCAGUAGUGGCACCAGAUCUACGGCAAGUAGACCUCGUACUUCUGGAUCUGCUUUCUAGGGUUCCGACAAGCUCCCCCUUAUCUACUCCAACGGGCUAUAGAAUGGAUGGCGCGGGGGGGGGGGGGGGAGCAGGUAGGCCAGACGGUGGAGAUGGUCAAUGGCUCGAUGGGCAGUUUAGGAGAGCUAGCGGUGGCAGGAGUGGUCGAACCAGGUUGGGGUGGGGGCGAGGGUGCCAGAGUUAGAGAAGAAGAGUUGUUAUGUUUUUUUACUAAAAUGUUGUGCGGAGUUAUGUGCGCAGAAGCUCUAAAUCGUGCAUGUACAUAAAGUCCUUAAAACAUGCAUAUAGUGAUAUUGACAAGAUUUGGGUUUUUAUUAGGCGGUAGAUAAGGAUAAAAGUUCGAUGCCAUAUACAAAAAUUGGGAACAGAUAAACCAACCAAAGUUCUAUUUAUUUUUUUUAAAAAAGGAGAAAAAUCAACCAAAGAUUAGUUUGAGCCGAGAACCAAAGAGAAUUUUGAUGCUUGGCACGGAGUUACCCAACACAAGUUGGGUACCCAAAAAGCCUAACUCCAUCGAUGGCAAAUCGGGAAAUGACCCAGCGAUCCGCAGCCCGGAGGCCCCGGCUUUGACGUAAAUGCCCCUCCCCCGUCCGGUCUCAUCUCCUCCCCUCUCGCCGCCCCCGUCUUCCACCAUUGCCCCUCGCCUCGUCUCCCCCAAUUUCUUUCCACGCCUCUUCCUCUCUUUGCCCUCGAGCCGCGCUCCCUCUCCCUGCCCCUGCCCCUGCCCCUGCCCCCGCGCGGCCUUCAAAUCCACCCGCUGUUUCCCCGCCCUCCCCUUGGCGCGCAGCUCCGGAGCGCCGGGCGCCGCGGCGCCGUGCGGUGGGUAGGCUCUGCUUCUUGGAUCUCGGGCGGGACUGACUGGCCCGUCGGUCCCGGCGCUCUCGUGGCGAUUCCGAAUUUCCGAUUGCUUCCUUGCUGAUGGCUGUGGCUAGUCCCGCUGCGAUGGCUGUGUGAAGGUUGGAUUGGGUCUGUCGGCGACGGGAUUGGAUCUUGGCGAGGUUUCCAGAAGCCCGAAUUGCUCUGCCGCUGUGUCUGUCGGGACUGAUAUCCGCCGGCGCCGCUGCGAUUUCUUUUCCGGUGAGCUUUCGCUACGCUCCUCCUGCCUUUGUUCCUGGAUCUUGUCCGUGUGAUUUGCUGCUGCUUGUCCAUGGGUUUCGUCACUGAUUCCUUUCAAUUCAACUCAUUUGGUUGAUGCUCUCUGCUCUCUCUCUCUCUCUCUCUCUCUCUCUCUCUCAGGCACUCUGUUUCUUGGCGCGGUGAUAGGCAGCGAUGGCGAGCCACGAGCUGGUCCUUGGGCACGGGCAGGACGCGGAGCUGGCGUUGGGGCCGAACCACCACGACUUCGGCCAGGACCACGGGCUGGGACUCGGCCACAGCCACGAGCUCGACCUCGGCGGCCACGCGCACGACCAUGAGCUCGUCCUGGGCCAGUCGCACGAGCACGACCACCAGCUCGUCCUCGGCCACCACCACGAUGACGACCACCAGCUGGUCCUCGGGCACGACCAUCACCACCACGGCCACCACGUCGGCGAGCUGGCUCUGAGGCAGGGCCAUGAGGGGGACUCUGGGGCACUGGAACUGGAAGUGCAGGGCCACCACCAUGACGAGCUUGACUUGUCGGAGAGCCACGAGCUGACGCUUGCCGAGACGCACCACCUGGGUGUUGAUGAGAAUCUCGAUCAGCUCUCGCUCGAGCAGGCUCAUGAGCUCGCACUGCAGCCACAUGAUCUCUCCCAGGGUCCUCUUGCUGUCGCUCCUGUUGUCCAGUCACGGACCAUGGUUGUGAGCCCUGAGUUCCAGCUCCAAGUGGGGCAGGAGUUUCCCGACGUUAUGAGCUGCCGCAGGGCCAUCCGCAACACCGCCAUCGCCUGCCACUUUGAGAUACAGACGGUGAAGUCUGACAAGUCCCGGUUCACUGCUAAAUGUGCUGCCGAGGCCUGCCCAUGGCGCAUACAUGCAGCAAAGCUCCCCGGUGUGCCCACCUUCUCCAUCAGAACCAUUCAUGACAACCACAGCUGUGUCGGGAUCAACCAUCUUGGCCAUCAGCAGGCAUCUGUUCAGUGGGUUGCAAACACUGUCGAAGAGAGGCUACGUGAGAACCCACAAUGCAAGCCCAAAGAAAUUUUGGAAGAAAUCCACAAGGCCCAUGGGAUCACCCUAUCCUACAAGCAAGCUUGGAGAGGUAAGGAGCGGAUCAUGGCUGCGGUUCGAGGGUCUUUUGAGGAAGGAUACCGUCUCCUGCCUGAGUACUGUAGGCAGGUGGAAAGAACAAAUCCAGGAAGUAUAGCUCGAGUCUAUGGAAACCCAGAUGACAAUUGCUUUCGGCGACUCUUCAUAUCAUUCAAUGCAUCAAUAUUUGGUUUCGUCAAUGCAUGCCGUCCACUCAUUGGGCUUGAUAGGACCCUUCUGAAAAACAAGUAUCUUGGCACCUUGUUCCUUGCCACUGGUUUUGAUGGAGAUGGUGCUCUCUUUCCUUUGGCAUUUGGCGUGGUUGAUGAGGAAACUGAUGAGAACUGGGUGUGGUUCUUGUCUGAGUUGCACGAGUUGCUAGAGAAGAACACAGAGAACAUGCCAAGGCUCACCAUCCUGUCAGAUAGACGGAAGGGCAUUACUGAUGGAGUUGAAUUCAACUUCCCAACUGCAUUCCAUGGGUACUGUAUGCGUCAUGUUAGUGAAACCUUCAAAAAGGAGUUCAACAAUCCAGUGCUUGUCAACCUUCUCUGGGAAGCUGCUCAUGCACUGACUGUGAUAGAGUUUGAAACUAAGCUGCUGGAGAUAGAGGACACAUCAUCAGAAGCUGUUGUCUGGAUAAGGCACCUACCUCCUCGUCUUUGGGCCACCGCUUACUUUGAGGGGACAAGGUACGGUCAUCUAACAGCAAACAUCACGGAGUCGCUAAAUUCCUGGAUACUGGAUGCCUCUGGCCUUCCUAUAAUUCAGAUGAUGGAAUGCAUCCGUCGCCAGCUGAUGACUUGGUUCAACGAGCGUCGCGAAGCAAGCAUGCAGUGGAACACAAUCCUCGUGCCUGCAGCCGAGCGCCGUGUGCAAGAGGCCAUUGAGCGUGCACGGGGCUACCAGGUGGCCCGAGCCAAUGAGGCAGAAUUCGAGGUCAUCUCAGCUCACGAGGGAACAAACAUUGUGGACAUCCGCAACAGGUGCUGUUUGUGCCGGGGGUGGCAGCUCUAUGGUGUGCCGUGUGCUCAUGGUGUGGCGGCACUCCUCUCCUGUAGGCAGAACGUCCACCGCUACACCGAGAGCUGUUUCACGGUGGCAACAUACCGCAAGACUUACUCGCAAACCAUACACCCAAUCCCAGACAAGACCCUCUGGAAUGAAACAGCAGAUCAUGAAGUAGCAGAUCAAGGACAGGCUGAAGAGACCAAGAUGGAGAUGGUCAUCAACCCACCAAAGUCGCUGAGGCCUCCAGGACGUCCGAGGAAGAAGAGGAUACGAGCAGAGGACCGAGGGCGAGUCAAGCGGGUCGUUCACUGCAGCCGCUGCAACCAGACUGGACACUUCAGAACCACAUGUGCUGCUCCAAUAUGAACAAUGGCAUAAUGAUGGUGUAAAAUACGCUGCAACCACUUCAGAACUUCUUUUUUAUUAAUUAUAGCUGCAGUAUUUCUGUGACAAGUUAGUGUCUACUUGUGCAAGCUUCUUGCUUGCAGAUGGUCUUUGGUUAUUAUACUUGGACACUGCUCUUGUUCUAGCAUUAGUAGUUAAAUAAUGUCAAUUUCAAGUUUGUAUCAUAGCACUAUAAUUCUGGAAAUCUUCAAUGUUUUUUUCUUAAAAAAAACCAUCAAAAGAAACUGUGUAAAAUACUGGUCCAAAGAUGGCAUUGUCUUCAAUUUAGCAAACCCCUUGAAUUUUGGCGGCCUGGUAUAAAUAACAAAUAAGGCGAAAGAAUUGCUGCUUGUUCUUCUAAUUUUGUCACCAAAUUUCUUUUGCUCAGAUGUUUCAAAUAGCUGUGGUUACUGUUAUGCUGUAUUUAAUCCAUGACGAGAAAACUUCAGACAAAAAGUAAGCGCAGCAACAUUAGAUUCUGACAAAAUUCCUACAUCGAUGAUACAUGUACAUUAUGCAUGUUACAAUAUAAAAGUUCCUUGUAACAACCAAAAAAAAGGAGAAAACAAAAUCAGCUCAUCAUUUACAAACUACAUCAACGACCAGUACAAAAUCAUUCAUAUGCUCGGCGUCAGUUGAGCUUCCGCUACUUGUGGUGUCUGACUGUCUAACCCGGGAAACUGGCCGAUAUCAUGCCCUUCAACUGCAUUUAGGUCCUCGUGCAGACCAAUCGCAAACUCUUCAGGUCGAUCUCCGUUGCUCACAAAGUAGUCAGCUAUCUGAAUUAUCAUCGCAAAAGAGAAAGCUAUCUGCAUUAGCAACUGAACUAAAAUUUAUUUUCUUUUAGUCAACUAUAAUAAGCUUCUUAUAAGCUACAAAGAUGUGCUGUAGUAUGUUAUAAAAUAGCAAAGGAUAUCUGAAUUUUACAUGGUUUGCGAGUGACAUCCCACUUAAAACAGCCGCUUCUAUGCUUGAACCAGUAAGCCAGUCACCGCAGAUGCCUGCUCGCCCUAGGGGAUCAAAUAUGCAUGAUACUCCUGGAGUGUUCAUCGGCAGAGCUGCACCCCUGUGAUUUCAACACUAAUUUGUACUCAUGUUUUAACUCAGUGGAGAAAUAGAAUUAUAAAAGAUACAAGGAAUGGAUUUGUUAUACCAUAACUGCACUCUUGUGUAAAUUGGUUGCUGAAGAGAUCCUUUUGAUAACCCUAAAGCAUGUUCUACUCCUCCAAGCAUGUCUUCCUUCACCUUUUCUGCCGUGACUUUUGGGAUAUUUUCCUGAAAUUAACAGCUUAACCCAUUUGAGACACCAACUGAUAAAGCUGAAGUAACUUGGAAUCUUUAUUGUCUGUCAAGCAAUCAAUACUGGGGGGGGUGUAACAAAAUGAUACAAGGAAAAUUGAAAAAAUUCAGCAAACAGGACCUGUGGGACUUUGUUUCUUUUUCCAUAAGCAGCAGUACUGAAAAAUGUCCAGCACUCGGGUGUGCCUGUCUGCAUUGGAAAAAGUUUGCGGGUAUUGUUGCCCAUCCAAGAGAGAGAAUCGACAUCUCUCACAAAUGCUCCUUCAAAUGCUCCACGUGAAUCAAUACAUGGAACCGGAAGAGGAGCUUCAAAUGCCGCAAGGAGUGCCCAGACAGAACUGAGCUCUAGUCUCUGAUCAUUGAUUGAAUGAACUUGGUAAGAAAUAGGAAUUAAAGGAUAUAAGUCCCAUGUGUUCAAAAUUAUUGAAAUAGUAAAACCAUGAAACCUUCAUUUGUUUUGUUAGUAAUGGCAGUCCUGAUGUAGAAAGCAGACGGUUGGCACAUUUCCCUGAUCAAUGUGUAACAGAAGGAUCAGCUAGGAAUAUGAUGUCACUUAGAAUGUUUCGGUGAAUGAACAAAUAUGGACGUGUCGCCAAAAAAAAAAGGUUAUCAUACAAAAUGUGAUAAUUAAGCAAUAUUUAUUUACCAUUUGUGCUAAUUUAUUCAAUAAUGUAGGCCAUCAGGGUUGCAUAAAACAUGUAGUAGAGAAAUAAGAUAAUUGGAAAGUCUGAACUUUAGAAAUUUACUGUCUAAAUUCCAAAAACUGAAGAAAAAAUAUGUAAUCAUGCUUUGCCUACAGAAACAGUAUUUUUCCUAUUAAAGAAGUUUGUACUGACCAUUAUGAGCUAUCACAAUGGCAUCAUAUUCACCAUGGGGCUUUUCAUUCUCAAACAAGCGCCACAAGCCAUUGAAGGGCUCAAGUUUGCUUAUCCAACAAGGCCUCAAAACUUUAAUCAUAUCAGUCUGCAAAAUGAGCCAUCAGCCAAGUAAAGAACUGAAUAGAACUCAAAGGUUCAGCAAACCAUUGAGUUAUAACUUCAUGCUACUUGGAUUGAACUCUGAGAACAAAAUCAGGGUAAGUCUCUAGAGCAGGCUAUGGUGUGGAAUGUUUGGUGAAUUCAUGGUGAUGUGCAAGUAACUGGAUAGCAGUUAAUACGGAUAACUUCAUACUACUACACUUCCAUGGAGCUUGAAUAAGGUGGAGCUAAUCAGAUAUACCUCAGGCAGCAUUGCAUCUGCAAGUGGGCGCAUCCCAUUCACACCGAUGUACCUCGGCGUCAACGAAGGUAUGGCCCUGAAACGGCCGCCAGCUUCGAGCUCGCCGACCAAGCCACUCCACUCACGGACCAGCCCUCUGUCGAGCCACUCGUCGACCAUGCUCUGGAACCUCUCGUCGCUCGCGGUGAAGAACUGCGCCGCGUGGUCGAACACCAGCUGCUCGCCGCCGUCGACGAACCUAGUCGCCAUCCUGCCGCCUAGGCCGUGCAUUCCCUGCAUCAGCCAGUAGCGAGCCUGUGCGGUGAGCCUCCCUCCCGCGCUAGUGGCUGGUGUGGAGGGGAGGGGAGGGGAGGCAAAGUGGGGAGCGAUACGAACCGUGUCGAAGACGACGGAGCGGACGCCGCGCGCGGCGAGGGCAGACGCGCAGGAGAGGCCGGAAGCGCCGCCUCCGAUGACGGCGACGGUGGGGUCGGCGGGGACCGGGGUGGAGAACACGACCUGUUCCUGGUGGAAGCUCUUCUUGAUUGCCGAACGCCGCGAGAACCCGGGCUUGCCGCGCCGCCCCCGACGAGGGGCCGUCCUCGGCGGAUUCGCGCCUCCGUUUCCGGAAGCGGCCACCACCCUGGCGAGGUGGGCAGCCGGGAGCGCGGUGGCAGCGGCGGCGAUGGGAGGCGGCGGCAUCACACUGCUCGACGGAAUGCGGGAGCGCUAUUGCGGGAACGGCGAACCUGACCGUUAUCUGUUUAUUACGGGGUUGGAUUUCUCCUCUUCUUCAAUAACAGAUCACAGUGAACCAUCCGAUUGUAAUCUAACGGUCUAAAACAGAUAAAUGAUAUCAUCCAUUCACUCGGUGCCAGAAUAAUUACACUUCUACUUCUAAUACUAGCAUUAUUAACAAUAAAAAUUAUCUCAUAAUAAAAGUACCUUUAGUUUAUAGAUCACCUAAUGCCAGUAAGGUUUACUACUCUCUACUGUGUAAUAAUCAUUAUGUAUUGCUAAUACUUUUGAUGGGUAUAUUUGAAAUUUCAUAGUUGUAUUGAUAUUUCUCCCACGUUUCUAAAUGUGUAUUUAUUUUAAGAUGGAGAGCAUUUUUUUGAUAGGAUGGAGAGCAUUUUUUCAGUAUAUUUGAAAUUUCAUAGUAGUAUUGAUAUUUCUCCCACGUUUCUAAAAGUGUAUUUAUUUUAGGAUGGAGAGCAUUUUUAUAGGAUGGAGAGAAUUCUUUUGCUAGCUUUCUUUGGUCUUGAGUCAUGACUCCUGUCUUUGCCACCUGGUUCAAAUUGUCCUCAAUUCGACUUGGAUGCUUAUUUCUUUUUUUAUAACUAAUAAAAAUCACAUAAUUUCUCUUAGUUUAACCUGUAUUCUUUUUGCAAUGUUAAAUAUAUUUUCCUCUUUAGGAUAUGCUCCAUCAUUGUGCUACAUCUAUUCGCAAAAAAUUUAAGUCUAAAUGUAUUCUUAGUUAAAGUACCUAAAGUUUGACCAAAUAUAUAAAAAUAGUAAUGUUUAUAAUACGAAAUAAGUAUAUCUAGAAAUUUGUUUCACAUGAAUCUAAUGAUAUUUAUCUAGUAUAAUAUAUAUUUAGAUUUUUAAUAAAAAUUUAGUUAAACUUAUCAUACUUUAAUGUCUAAAAUUAUUUUGUUUUUAGAGCGGAGGGAGUAUAUGAUCAACCUCUCUAAUUUAAUACAAUAUAUAGCUUACAGAGUUGAUAUGCUUUGAUCUCUGUUACCACAUUCGGCAUACAUAUGGCACAUCACAAUAUAUUUCUAGGAUUUACUCCCUUUAUCCCUAAAUAUUUGUCACACACGAUUUAUUUGUCGAUAACUUCGACUCGAUUUAUAGAAAAUACGUGUAUAUUUCUAUCUCUAAAUAAAUUUAUUAAUAAAAACUAGAUUCAAAUAUCUAUCUAAUAAUACUAAUGAUGUAUCAUAAAUAUUAUUAUUUUUUAAUAUAUAUUUAGUUGUUACUGGAGAAAGCGAAAACAAUAGAUAUUUAUGGACGGAGGCAGUAUAGUUGAGAAUGUUGUGUUAACUGUAAGACUCUAAAGUUGCCUAGAAGUUAUUUGAGAUGUGGAUGCUAAUUUUAGCUUCUCUAACAUAACAAGCUAGUGGUCGACUUCUUUCGGCGCUUUUUUUUAAUACAAUGAUACGGAAAUCGUGUGAUGAUUUUAACAACAAAGCAUAAUAGAGAUUCUACUGUAGCAGUUGACAAUCUAACUAGCUAAGCUCAAUUAAUAAGCAAAGAAAUGCUUAGCCGUUGGGUUUUCAUUCAUGAUUCAUGACCUAACCCGGAUUGAUGUGCUUCAACAGUCGUGCUGAUCAUCGCAGCUAUAAGCCGAAGAUCCAGCGGCCCAGGGCCACGAGCGCCGGCUCCUCGUCGCCCUCAGCGCGGCGCGGCGCCUCCGGCGUGUCCCAGGGCUCGUCGCGCCGGUUGCCCUGGCUCCAGCGCCAGCUCCACCGCCGAGAGAGAGACGACGCCGACUUGACCACCGCCGCGGCCUCCGGAUCCCACCGCGUCGAGUCGUCGUGCCGGCGGUCAAGGCUCAGCCGCCCGCUGACGUGGUCGAGGUACUCGCCCAGCCACCCGCGGGAGCCCACCGCCUCCGCCAGAGCUGCUUCGCCGGGGGCUGCGGUUGCCGGCGCUGGCCUCGGCCUCGCCGCUGCUGCCGUGGGGCGCACGAUGCGGGACACGAUGGCCUCGACCUCCUCUUCGACGCGGUAGUCGAAGGAGCCGCCGAGCGAGUAUGUGCGCCGCUCGUCGCCGCCCGCGGCGGAGGAGCGUCGGUUGCUGACGCUGCCGAGCUCGACACGGAAGCUCCUGCAGCUCGUCCGCGUGCCGAGGGGCUCCUGGUCGACGGGGAAGGGCGUGAGAAGCGGGGGCGAGACGGUGCUGCGGCAGAUCGGGCAGACCGGGUUGGUGCGGAGCCACGCGUCGAUGCAGGCGGCGUGGAACGCGUGGCGGCACGCUGGGAGCAGCCGGAGCUCGGCGCUGGCGUCGAACGGCGAGAGGCAGACGGCGCAGUCCGGGGAGUUCUUCGGCAGCGCCGCCAGCGCCGACGCCAUGGUGAACAAGGGCAGCGACGCGAUGAACCGCUCCGUGUCGUCGUCCGUGCCUGCUGCCUCCGGCUCCGCCUGCUCCCUCGCCGGAUGCACCUCCCCUGCCUCCUCCUCCUCCGCCACGGCGAUCAUCCUCGCUGCCUCCGCCUCCACAAGCCGCCUCCCCGCCGCACCUGCGUCGGCCUGAUCACCCCUCUCCGCCGGGACGCCCGGCCGCCUCGCCGUCGCCCCUCCCGCGCGUCGUGGAUGCGCAUGCGACGACAACGACGACGAUGCGGACCAGCGGCGGAGGAGGCAGCGGAGCAGCAGGAUCGCCGCGACGGCAAGCACCAGCAAGGCAAAGACGACGAGCAGCGCGGACUUGAGCGAAGGCGACGCCGUCGGAACGGUCGCGCGGUCGGCGGCGGCUGGUAGCGGCGCGGGCGGCGACGCCAUUGUGCCGAGAAGGAAUUGGCGGAAGCGAAUGGGAAUAGGAAUGCCGGAAAGGGACUUAAAUUUCAAACGCCGCGGCUUGAGCCCGCCGCACCGGGCCCGUGCCACAUUUGGUUUGGAAAGUAAAAUUUCAGAUUCCAAUCGAAAAUUACCUACUGCUAAUAUAGCACAAAUUUAGUUCAAUUAAUUCUAGUGGUUCUGCUCACCGCCCACAUUCUGCAGGUAACAAGAAAUAGCUCAUCAUUUACCUCUUGCAUAUGCAGAGGGCUGAAAAAUGUCGAGCACUCAGGUGUGAAGGUCUGUUUGGGGAAAAAAAUUUGCAGGAAUUGUUUCCCACCAAAAUGCUCCUUUCAAAUACAGCAAGGAGUGCCUACACUAAACUAAGUUCUAGUCUCAGAUCAUGGAGCAAGGAAUUGGAGUGCCUACAACAUGUGUUUUGUUAAAUGUUUGACUCAUAAGAUAGGAGUGACAUUGGGAAGUAAAGAUCACACCUGCUGAUGCCUGGAAUGCUGUUGAGAGUUGAGACUGCUAGAUGCAGAAUGUGUUCGGGAGUGGUCUGUUUGACCUCACCAUUGCACUCUUUAUUUUAUUAGUGAAAUGGAACACAGCUCUCAAAACUUUGUUUGAGGAAAAAAGUAUAUCUGUUUAUUUGAACCAAAACUUUUUUUUAAAAAAAAAAACUUCAGUCACCACUUACUUACAUUCUGCUUGUUAAACCAUAGAGCAGCGCUACAAGUUGAAACUAUAUCUAUGAUAUCAUUACAGGCACACAUAACAAGUUGUGUGCUUGUAAAUAGUUACUCCAGUUUAUUACAAGAGCCUAGGCAGGCUGCUAUCACUGUAUGUAUCACACAAACCUCAACUAAAGAUUGAUCAGGACCGAUGUCCAAUUUUAUUAUAAGAGCCUAGCCCACACAAACCUCAACUAAAGAUCGAGGGGGGGGGGGGGGGGGGGGGCGUCUUGUUUAGAUUCAUUUUUUUUGAAUUUUGACACUGUAGCACUUUCGUUUUUAUUUAACAAACAUUGUCUAAUCAUGGAGUAACUAGGCUUAAAAGAUUCGUCUCGCGAUUUACAUGCAAACUGUGCAAUUAGUUUUUGUUUUCAUCUAUAUUUAAUGUUCCAUGCAUAUACCAUAAGAAUCCCUCCAUCAGAACGUGGCACUGCAGAACUUGGCAGAUCCUAGGUACAUAAGGUGGGAAAGAGUGUACUUUUUGUGCUAGUCAGCAUUCUCAGUCACAAUAAAUUGAAGGUGUUGCGGAUGCUAAUGUCAUCCACCACCAGAUGCACCGGCCGCCGGAAACUCAUCAUCAAUGUUGACCUGCGUUGAGGGAGGCUACAGCUAGAUUAUUGUCCUCGAAUAGAAAAAAAAUAAACAAGCUGCAAGGAAAAAGAAGAGUACCGGGAUAGAUCGUAUUAGAUAGAUCCCAUCGAGGCUUUGUUUAGUUGCGAAAUUUUUUUAUUUCGCUAUUGUAGCAUUUUCGUUUUUAUUUGACAAACAUUGUCUAAUCAUGGAGUAACUAGGCUUAAAAGAUUCGUCUCGUGAUUUACAGAUAAACUGUGCAAUUAGUUUUUAUUUUCAUCUAUAUUUAAUACUCCAUGUAUGUGUCGUAAGAUUCGAUGUGACGUGAAAUAUCUUAAAAAGUUUUUGGUUUUUGGUGGGAACUAAACAAGGCACGAGUCCCCAAAGCAAAUAGGCCGUGUUUAGUUCCUUAUGAAAAAGGUUUCGCGACACUAUAGUAUUUUCGUUUUUUUUAAUUAAUGUCUAACCAUGGACUAACUAGGCUAUGUCUAUAUUUAAUAUUCCAUGCAUGCGUCAAAGAUUCGAUGUGACGGGAAAUCUUGAAAAAUUUUGGGUUUUUGGUAGGCCUUGUUUACUUCCACCCAAAAUUCAAAAACUUUUCAAAAUUCUCCGUCACAUCGAAUCUUUAGACGCAUACAUGGAGUAUUAAAUGUAAACGAAAAUAAAAACUAAUUGCACAGUUUGGUUGAAAUUUACGAGACGAAUCUUUUGAGCCUAGUUAGUCUAUAAUUGAACAAUAAUUAUUACAAACAAACGAAAGUGCUACAAUGUCACGAAAACAUUUCGGCAAAAAACUAAACAAAGCCUAAACAAGGACAAAGGGGUAAAGGUUCGGAUAGGGAGACGAGGGGUGGGACAGAAUUCGAAUCGAACCUGUGAAGGUGUGGGUUUGCACCAGCCACUCACCUCACACACGAAGCCGCCACGCUGGGCAGGAGGGCACUUCACGUCGCAAGGAGCUGCCGCCGGUGGGCCCCCACUAGAUGUAGGACGAAGCCAGAAAAAAAAUAGGAAGGGCUGAACAAAAAUAAUACAACGACUCAGGGCUUGUUUAGAUGCAAAAACUUUUUUGGAUUUUAACACUGUAGCACUUUUGUUUUUAUUAUUUGACAAACAUUGUCCAAUCAUGGAGUAACCAGGCUUAAAAGAUUCGUCUCGCAAUUUACAGACAAACUGUGUAAUUAGUUUUUAUUUUUAUCUACAUUUAAUACUCCAUGCAUGUGCCGUAAGAUUCUUGUAAAGUUUUGGGUGCAUCUAAACAAGGCCUUAACUCUACUAUGAUCCAUCACAAUAGACAAAUAUGAUAACCAAAAGUAGUUUUAUUAUAUUAAAAAUAUUGGUUAACGACGAAAUUCACAAAAUACAUCAUGAAAAAUAAAGGAUGCAGUUCAUUUAUACGGAAAGGCCAAAUUACGAAACUUAUAGGCGCGCUUGAUGUUGACAUAUAUCAAUCAUCCGAAGUAGCAAUCUAUACAAAUAAAUAUAUUUGAUUAGUCAUACAUAUAUGGACCUCCAAAUUAUGAAUUUAGAAGAGAAUAGAACAUACCACUAAUUUUUUAGGCAAUAACAUACUAGGAAAUUGAAAUUCACGCUCAAAGCAUAUGCUCUCUUUACUUGGUCUCUAAUUUCAGUUUCAUAAUCAUCAAUUGGUUUGCAUUUUCAAGGUCCGCAAUCAUAUGUGAUUGAAACUCUGCUCUAGGUUUCUUUGGUUGAGUUGUACUCUCAUUACUCAUUAGUAUGUGGAGUCGAUGAACCACUACCAUUAGAAUUUGAAAAGUAAUUGUGCAGAGUCACUGACUGAAGUCGACCGCCCUGCUGCUGGCACCCAGGACGGCGCUGUGGGUACGUGAGUCCCUUCUCUUGCUCUGAGGAAUUCCACAGCACCUAAACUCUAAAAAAUAUGAUGAAGUAGUGCUUGUUGAUCUAUCAAAUUAUCUUGACAAUUUUUUAAAUUAAAAAAAACUAUCUUGCCAGUCCUGGCAAAUCACCGAAAAUCAUAAGAUAACUGCCAUCUCAUAUUGGAUGAAUCUGAUUCAUAUACAAUGCUCCUUACAUCUCUGAGGACAUUUCCAGUGAAUUGUUCACCUAUUAAGCACACUACGAUGAAGGCAUCCAGACCGUGUUGCCUCGCGGAAACAGAUGGUCCAGAUCAUCCAGAUGACAGCUUUAUUCCUAAACCCUGAUGAAUGGUGGUUUUAUAUGCAGGCCUGGUGCAGGGAAGAUGAUGCCAAUGCUGUGCAGCUUAUUGUUGGAAAUAACAUUAGGCGUUUGUUUUGGCACCGGAUGACUUGAUUCCUCCAAACGCUCACAAGUCACUCCAGCGACAGCUUAGCCAUUGUCAAGGCUAGAACCUUCACCCCAUUCGCCAUGUCCUCCGGUGAUGCAUACUCCUCCGGCUUGUGGCUGUAACCUGAAAGGGACAGAAGGUUUCAGUAGCCAUUCAUUUGCAAGUAGUUGCUGAGGUAAAAUUGAAAUGUUUUUACUCCUACAUCACUAUAAUUGAAACGUUAUUGCUCCUACAUCACCUAAAGGAACACAAUAUUUCUAGGAUAUAUUUUUUAUUUAACACCUUCAAUUGUGAUAGGCAUGUAUGCUAUUAUUUUGAGAGAUUGAAAAUAAGAUGGAGCACAAACCUUUGUAACAGGGAAUGAAGAUCAUACCCAUUGGUGAUACUCUGCAGAUCAAAGACAUAAUUAGACAUGACAGUUGAUUAAUUGCUAGUACAAUGAUGCAAAUCAGAAAGAUAUGUAACCUAGAUUGCCAAAAAAAAGUUGGCAACUCCUACAUAACAUCUCAACACUAACAAGCUGAAUCUCUUAACAUUAAGCUGGCCUACAUUGGGGAAUCUCAAUUGUUUGCCUGUGAGUACAGUGUUCAUCACAAGUGUGUGUGUGUGUGUGUGUGUUUUGCAUAGAAGUGAACAAGAAUACUUAGAUCAUGAGAAAACUGAACUGCCAAACUAAGAUAUCAUAGUUAUUUGAACCAAUAUUUUCAAAAUUCCCCCUGGUUUGGAUUGCAAGAUCAACAAUCGUGAUCAAAUAUUUUUCAAAACUGAACUCUGCUUCCUCGUUGCUCCCUCCCACCUAUCUUCCACCUCCCAACGCGGGAGUCCACCUCCACCGCACCUCGCCACACAGUUGGCCAUCCCCUGCGCUCUCCUCUGUAUUCUGCAAUGAGGAAUGGAGCCACAGGUGCAAUUUGUUGCAUCCAAUUGCCAUGUUUGCGACUGUACCACCUCCUGAUGGUGCGCCCGCAACAGCCACUUCCCUGUUGCCUUGGCAACCCCUACACCAACUUCCUGGUGAGGCCCAAUAUUUGUACCCCUGCCUGUUGCCAACACUUUAUGGCUUCUACACUUCCAAGGCACAAGACAGUGCAGUGGAUGCCACAAUCAAGCUGAGGUGUGUUUGUAGGUUAUUCACAUUGCCAUCACCAACAAGAGAACGUUCUAGCAUUGCAAUAUGGCUCACUAGCCUCUACUCAGCUCAUCGUCAUGUUUUUGUCAAAUUUCUAUACUUUUUGGACGAAUUUUUUCUGUAAUCCAUUCCGUUGUGACAGGGAUGGGAUGAGAAGGAAUUCAUGAUCUGUUACUUGAAUAAGGUAGUCCCUAGGACAGUUGUAUGAUUGUUCUCAAACAGAAAAAGGAAACAAUUGCAAGAAACAUGGGUUCAAGCUAUCCUGAACUGAUAUAAACUUUUUCCAGUGAGAUAUAAAGUUGAAAUUACAAGACAAAUUCCAGAAGGAAUAACCAGAAUAGUGCGAUAGAUAGUUCAGAGAAGUAUGCCAAGUGUUUACUUUCUGCAUGAGUGUUGGAAUCGUAAUCUAGUAUUCUGAAUCUUUUGUGAUUGUUCAGUUCCAUACCGUCACUUAACUUGUUAUGUAUAAAAGAGCUACUCUAAUUCUAUUUCCUGUGAAGCCACAGCUUUCAACAGUUUGUGACUGGAAUUCUGUUUGAAAUGAUGGUGGCCCUGUCUUGGUUGGACAGUUGAGGGGUCAAUAAAAUCAGAAAAUAGAGCACUGACACAUUCCGAGGUAGUUCAUCUUCUAAAAAUUUAUCUUUCUUUCAUGAUGAAAGAAUCAGUAUUUAUUUUCCCAUUUUGUUAUGUUAACAUGGAGACCUAAAACAUCUAGUACUGUAGUACAUACAGAGAUUUCAACGCAGAAACUGACAGUUAUUUUUGAAAGGAAUAUUUAAUGAUAAUGUUCCAGUUUGAAAUAAAAACAAGAACAAUUCAGCAAUCGGAAACAUCAGAGCUGGGACCAGUAAUUCACCUGGCCAUGAAGAGUGAAUCGUGGUAAGCUCUGCUAAUCAUCUUUUUGUACUCCAGGUUCAACUGUUUUGCAGCAAAUUCCAUUGCAUCAACAACUGAUUUGUCAGAUAGAGCAGGUGGGUCCUGGUUGAUGAUCUUAAAUUCUGAAAGCUCUACUCCACGGUUCUUUGAAAUCUGUGUUGCAGACCGGCGAAUCUUCUCAAUGACAUCAUUCCUUCUCUUCUCAUCAAUAUCUCUUACAUCUGCAUCAAGGAUACCAUGACUUUAUUAGUUGGAAAAUCAUCAUAUUUUCCUGAGAACAAUCAUAUUUUGUUUAAAAGGAUGUAGGCUCAUACCAAUUUCUAGGUGUGAUUUGCUUGGGAUGCUAUUGAUUGCUCCUGGAUGUAACUGCAGAAUACCUGAAGAAGAAUAGUUUAGUCAAAUUAAUCCUGAGGUGACCAUAUCUUGACAGUCUGCUUUCAAAUGUUCAACUUUGCUUUUUUGAAAGAAUCUGUCUUCGUAUGCUGUUAAUAAUUAUCUCCACAAAUAUAUAUUUACAAUUUGAAAUAGGAGUCAAGUUGUCUAAUUGAGUAUCUAGCCUACAAUGGUAUAAAAUAAAACGUUAGAAAUUAUAAAAUCAUGCUUAACAGACUCUUCACUAGCUAAAGAGCAGAAUACCAAAGUUGCAUGUCUAUUGACUUGGCUAAAUAUGAUAUGUUUUCUUUGGCAUGGAGAGAAGAUAUAAUCCAACAAGAUGGCCACAGAUUAAAGUGCAGCAGGAAAACCACACACUUCAUGUGGAAAACAAUGUGCUGAGAUGGUCCAAAUGUAUUACAUGAUAUUAUGAUGUCACAAACAUGAUGGAUUCGAUGUAAAAAGCAAAAUAUGGUUUAUAAAACAUACCAACGGUGCCAACGGUAUCAAUUGAUCCUGAUUCCAGGACAUGUUUCUCGACUGCUAAUGCUAAUUCAGCUGCUGCCAGACCAGCAUCAUUUCUGUAGAAUACUCCUUUUACAAGAAGAUCCUUCACAAGAAUGUAAAUCACAAUAAAAUGAAUGAACAUGCUAACCUUGCAGGCAUAAGCACUGCUCCAGCAUGACCCCCAUUCCCUUCAAAGUCCACCUUAAGACUUGCAGGAGCAGCAAUAGCAGUAACAAUGCCAAUAGGGAUACCUAUUGUAAGAGAAGACUUGUAUACCAUCAAUUUGAAACCGCAAGCAUGUUAAUUUACUGGGAACCUACCUUCCUUUUCUAAGAUGGGACCCUGCUCAAUGUGCAGUUCUAUAAAAGCAGAGUAGCUGUCUUUCUUUAAAAAUACGCUAUGCAAGUCCUCUAGAUGCAAUUUAUAGCCAGCAGAUCCUGCAGCAUCCGAAAAUGACACAUUCUGAUUGUCAACAACAUUUCUGAGGGAUUGAGCUAGUUCUUCAAUCCCUGCCAUUAAGCGGCUGCAUGUUUUCAAAGGAUGAAAAAGAUGAGAAGCAACAAAUUAGAGCAAUGCAGCCAUUAGCUCAAGCGGAACUAAUCUUAUUGCUUAAUGGUCAACCUUCCCAAGCAGCUAAUUCCGAAUCGUGUAGGCUCCUCUGAUGUAAACAUGAUAACCUCCAAAGACCUUUUUGGAAGGAAAGCAGACCUGUAUGACACAUGCAGGCCAAACAGGUAAGGUUUGUCUCAAGAUGAAAACCAAAGUUAAGUCCAAUAUUCAUAUAGCCCAUAUCAUGACCUCAAAAUGUGUGACAACUGACAACAUAGGAAGUGAAUAAUACAGCUUGGUCAACCUCUUUUUUUAUCAAACAGCAAAAGCUUUGCUGGUUCUAUUGAUCAGGCAACAAUGUACUGAGUCUCUACAAGGAUCCAAAGUAAAUCAGUACAUUGUCUAAUAUUUACAUAGCCUGACAUUCCUCAACUCUUUUGUUAAAAUUCAGAGUGAUGUAAUGAUGCCAAUGUUGAAUAGAAAGGUAGUUCACCGGUUUCUGAUUAUGCUUUGAACUAAAUAUUUCAAGUCUAAAGCACAUGUCUAAUGUACAUGAGAAUGAGAUGAAGCACACAACUUUUCUUUUGCCAUUUUCAUUAAGUAUUAAUCAUUUAAUUGUAUGCUUCCCGAUAUUUGGUUGCAUCCCACAACUGGCAGAAGUGGGUCUUCAGUUGUCUACCAGACGGUUACAAGAAAGAACUAGUCAAUAAGCAGUUCUAUAAUUUCAUCAAAUUAACAACCCUAUAAUAGCUGAUUAAGCACAGUUCAUCUGAUUUCAAUUACAUCAGCCCUAGAAACAUGAUUAUAUAUAAGAUGUAUAAUGGUAAACAAACACUCAGGCCAGAAAAAGAGGGGAAAAACAACCACGUUACAUAUGGACAACACUACAACAUUAAAAGAAUGCAAUACAAAGGAUCAUCCUUGGUGCUCCAGGAAUGGUGAAAACACUUAUAGGCAGACAGAACUGUUACCUUUUCAGCAAACUAAUCGCCUCAAGAGCACCCAGAACUCCAACAACACCGUCAAAUUUUCCUGAGAAUGGAAUGGCAUCAACAUGAGAUCCAGUUGCAACUGCCCCUAGUUCAGGCUCAGAACCCUCCCUGCAGAAGGUUGCCAUGUUCAAUGGGCAUGAGAAUUCCACUACAUAGUAAAUUUAACAAAAUCAAGAGACAUUUCAGCGAGAUAUAUAUUAUUAGAGCAGAAUCCUUGUAUGCUUCCUAAAUCCAAGAAAUGAACCAAGAGCAGAGAAUCCGAGGGCUAUCAAAGGCCAACUCACCAGCGGCCAAAUAUGUUACCAACAGCAUCUUCCCGAACGGCAAGGCCAAGUUGAUUCAUUAUCCCUUUUAUAUACCUAGACAUCAUCAGAAGCACAAUCCAACAAUCAGCAAAGGGGGGCAUGGAUGUGUGUUAUAAUUGCAGCUCAACUGUGGCUAUAAAUAUCACAACAGAAAUAAGGAUGUCCACUUUGUCAAAUAAAUCAACUACUAUCUGAACCCAGAAUAAUGCAAACUGAAGUCGGUCGAUCAUUGCUGUGCACAUCAAAGGUCUCUCAAGCGUGACACAUUCAACGGCCUUCAGAGACUAAUGCCGAAUCGUUCUUUCGUUCACUCCCUUGCUCUCACCACAACGGAUAAUCUCAACUGGGUUACCUUCGAGCCUGCACAUCCUUGUCGGUGUACAGAACGCGGGUGACGGACGGCGCGGGCGAGUCGGAGAACGAGGCCAGCUCAUCAAUCUGAGAAAGAAAAAAAAGCACACGCCGUUGGAAACCAACAACACCUCACUUCACAGCCAUAGCCUGCACAUCACGAACGCACCUGCCGCUGGAGGCCCUCGGAGUCGACGUGGAAGUCGCUGGAAGGGCCGCCGUCGCCGUCGCCUGAGGCGGCGGCGAAGCCGGCGAACUGCUCCAUCGUCCGCCGCGCCGCCGCGUCAUCGUGGCCCGCGGCGGCGCUGAUGGUGCCGAGGAGGAACGCGAGGAGGACGAGGCGCCACGCGGCGUUCGGCUUCGACGGCAUGCUUCGUUCUUCGGCUGGCUGCUCUGUUGCUGGGUUCGAUGGGACAGACAGGGGACUAGGGGAGGGGGCUACUCCGUGGGGCUAGGGAGAUUUGAACGGCGGGCGGGGAGGUGGGAGUGGGAGACGACGCGACGGCACUACCACUGAUGCUGUUGGAGUGUUUGGUGGUGUCACCUGACUGCUGCGUGCUGACGAGGAAGACGACACGGCGGCGGUGGCUGCUUCCUCACGAUCACGAGCAAUAUCCUAUUUUAUUUUCCAAAAAGAAAAACAGAUUCACGAGUGGAGCUGCGGCGCGGGCUAGUCCGGAUUCUCUGCGGAUGAUCGCCUGCGUGUGCAACUGCAACCCUGUGCGUGAUGAUAUUAAUCUGGGAAUCCGAUGGAGCAGAGGAUCCUUCGGCCCCUCCAGGAUCCGGUUCCGUGGGACCCGCGUAUCAGUGUGUGGCCCAAUAACGGCCUGUGGAGAGAAACGCUAAGGGCACUCCCAAUGCAAAACUCUAUCAUAGAGUUUAAAACAAUUAAUUACAUAUUAUUUAUGGUAUUUUGCUGAUGUGGCAGCAUAUUUAUUAAAAAAAGAGGUAGAAAAAAUAAGACUCCAAGUCUUAUUUAGACUCCAAGUCCACAUUGUUCGAGGUAAUAAAUAACUUUAGACUCUAUCAUAGAGUUUGCAUUGUGAGUGCCCUAAGGCCUUGUUUAGUUCCCAAAAUUUUUCAAGAUUUUCUGUCACAUCGAAUCUUGCGACACAUGCAUAAAACAUUAAAUAUAGACGAAAACAAAAACUAAUUACACAGUUUGCCUGUAAAUCGUGAGACGAAUUUUUUAAUUCUAGUUAAUCUAUGAUUGGAUAAUAUUUACCACAAACAAACGAAAAUGCUACAGUAGAACCAGGCCUAAGAAGAGCCCAAGUAUUUUCGGCCCAUGGGCCGCACGCACGGCAGGACACGUAAACGCAAGGCCCCGCGGCCAGCUUAAAAUCAAAACCGAGCCGCACGAGCACACACUCGCGUUUCCGGACAAGUCCCGUGCUCUCCCGUCUCAAAACCCUCCCCUCCUCCUCCGGGCGGCGGUGGUGGCGGCGGCCGGGCGUCUUCUCCGGCAAGGUCUCCCCCUACUCACGAGGUUCGCGCUCACUCUUCCUCCUAACCCCUUCGCUUUUCAUCCGUACGCGGUCGCGUGCUCCCGUGGCAGCCCUAGGGUGCGGUGAAGAGCUCAGAGGCGAGCGACUAGGGUUUGAGUUCGCGCGCAGUAUCCUUGUGCUCGUGCGCUUAGUGCGGCCUGCUUGAUGGACGAGUAUGCGUCUGGCCGUUUGGAUCGAUUUGUGAGCGCCCGUUUGGGCGCUCGUGGUCUGAGCUCACUGCUCUGCUGCUGAUUUAGGGUUUACUGUCUGUGCUAGUUGUCGAGGCGUUCGGGUUUGCGCUGUUCCGUGAUUGGGAUAGGUGGAUCUGCGGGGUGAAUGUGUUUUGUGGUGUGCGGGCGACGAGCUCUAUCAAUUUGGGUACUAAAAUUGUGUGGUUGUUAGUUCAGCUGGUUUUGUGUGGUGCCUGUGCUGCCUUAGCCUUUUUCUCCCCCUCUUUCGACUUCUGUAGAGCUCAUAUGUACUAUGCAUCUUUGUAAUUAACUUGAGCUAGGUUGCUUGUUUGUUUCCAGAAAAUAUGGAUGGACCUGUUGAUGACCCUGUGGAGAACAACCUCACCGGAGGUCCUAGUAUCCUUGGCAAUGAGGAAGAAGCCAAUACUUAUGCUGAUGUGCAAGUCAAGGAAGAACCAGAAAAGCUCUAUGACGAGGAAUCCAAGGACCUAAUGCAAGAUGAGUUGGGUAACCAAGAGCAUGCGAACAUGAACAAUGAAGAUGUGGGAGGUCAGAACAAAGAGGACCAAGCUACCCCCACAGACCACGGUGUGGAAGCUGGGGUGAAGCAGCAGGAUGCUACAGUUCCUGAUGACAAGAAGUGGCCUGGAUGGCCUGGAGAGAGUGUUUUCCGUAUACUGGUUCCUACCACAAAGGUUGGUGCCGUCAUUGGGCGCAAAGGGGAUUUCAUCAAGAAAAUGUGUGAGGAAUCAAGAGCUCGCAUCAAGGUUCUUGAGGGACCACCAGCUGUGCCAGAAAGAGUGGUGAGUCUUUCACUCUCUUCUUUAACUGGUUGCAUUGCUAUUACAAAUGAUUUCUUGUUCAGUGUGACCAGUAAUAGCCCUCUCUAGGCAUGUUAGUGUUCAUGUGCGAAGAUGGCUUGUUGCCUACACCGAUAAGUAUGCUAUAAUGUAUUAAUGUUACUUUAAAAUACCUAGAUUAGACAUGUGUAUAGUUUGUAGCAUAUCUUUUAGACAUGUUGAAGAUUGAAUCAGCUAGGAAACGUUUCCAAGCAUAUAAAUUGCUGUUAUAUUUCCCUGACCACUGAUGAUAUGCAUUCUAUCAAUUGAUGCUUUGUGAACAUGGUUAUUUAUCGAUCUGCAAUAGUUUAGUCGUUAGUGUGGUGGGUAUUAUCUGGAAGUUCUUGAGUUGACUUUAACAAUGUAAACUGUUAUUUAGUCGUGAAAGCCUUGUUGAAUAUGGAAAACUUGCUGCAAGUUGUAGAAAUGAACAGGAACUAGUAAUUGAAAUUUUGUACUGUACAAUGUAAUUUGACAUACAUCUGCAGCUGCAGAUUAUUGCCUCCUUUCUGAAAUGCUCUUCUAAACAUUUUCUUAGAUGUUCAAGCUGUUUAGCUUAGCGAUCAGGUGCAUAUAGUGCUCCUGAUAAUUGGACUCGUCAUAUUAACUCCAGUGCAAUUUUAUAUUAAGAUGAGAUUUGAUCAUCCAAGUUACUACACAGAAAGUUGUAUACUAGUAACAAUGAGUAGCUGCCUAUAGAGAAUGGCUAUGUCUAUGUGCUUGGAAAAAAAUAGUUUAUAAAAAAACUGAACAUAGAUUUAAAGAUAAUAAGUGAAAUCCGUUUUAAAGUUUGCAGUGGAAAUAAUUAUGCAUGAUUUUGGAUCUUUUACAAUGAUCACAAAACUAUUGGAUGCAACCAAAUGAAAGGAAAUAGAAUCUCUCUUCUGUAAGAAGUAUGACUAUCAAUGACAAUCAGACAGAAAUAGUAGCUUUGCCAAAUUAUACAUCAUUUUAAAGAUAUAUAUUGUGUACGCUAGUGAGUUGUCAAUAAUGUUCGAUGUCUACAUGGAUCAAAUAGUAACUUUGACAAAUUAUACAUCAUUCUAAAGAUAUAUAUAUUGUGUACGCUAGUGAAUUAUCAAUAAUGUUCGAAGAUAUAUAUUGUGUACACUAGUGAAUUAUCAAUAAUGUUCGAUGUCUACAUGGAUCAAACAGUUAUGAUUGCAUACAUGCAUGACCUUCAUUCUAAAAUAAGAUUGGGUCAGUUAUCAAAUGGUACACUGAUUUUGACCAACUCAGUAGUUAUUUAUGUGAAUGCGGACUAAAAUAAAAUACUAUGACAUGGUUCUUUGGUUAACUGUGUAUUAUGAGGCCUGUUAACACAUAUUCUUGCUGCUAACCCUAAAAGUUAGUCCACAAAUAAAGGCACUCAAACUAACAAGGAACAGAUUAUCAGCAAAAUGGCUUCAAGCACAGAACAUAAUAGUUUUUUCAAAAAUAACAAAGUAAUCUUUGCAGGUUCUUACUGCUGUCUAAGGCCUCAAGUUGAGUCGUUUGUGUAUCCAAAUUCCAAAAUAGACGUACACUCAUGGUUACCAAAGUACAGUCUUGUGCUCCUCUGCUGCACAUGUGAUUUAAGUCUUUUGAAUAUUGGAUGAAGAUCCCUGUGAAGAAGCUGCAUAUAUUGUCGGGUAAUUCCAUGACCUGUUUGCUCUGACCAAAAAGGCAUCAGUUAAUUAAUAAUGGAAGACUAAAAUAUUGCACAGAACCUUGAUUUUAAGUCCUAAUCAUUUCCUAAUUAAUGCUCUAAUGCUUCUAUAAAGAAAUGAGAACUGCAAACAAAGAAUAUGAAUAUAUUUCUCAACUUGAUGCUUCCUUAUGGGGGAGUUGGUUUUGCUGAACCAAUAUUGUAACACAACAUUAUCAAUUGUUAAUGUCAUCAAACAAUACGCUGUACUGACUAAAUAGAUCUAUUGUUUUUGCUUUUGGAGAUUAAUAAUCGCAUAUAUGAUAAAAUGAACAUUCAAUUUGAGAGUAGAUCGCCUGUAUGGCUGUAUCCGAAAUUCCAUUAUACAUCCCAUAGAAGUAACAUUCUUGAUACAUGUACAAUAGUUAAGGAAAACUAUUGAUGCAGUUAAGGACAUGUCUGUUGCUUUAAUCAGGGGGCAUUGCAUCAGUUAUCUUGGUGAGUAACUGCAUGCAAAUAUGUAUGUUUGUCUGAGAAAUUGUAGUUGAAUCCCACCUACCGCAGGAUGGAAAUACUGUGCUUGUACCAUUAUUUCCUUUCAUAAGUCUUUGUGCAUGUUGCUAUAAACUAAUCUUUGUCUGCCUAACAUACUUUUGUUCCUACUUGCUGAUAUCUUUUGAUACUGCUUUGCUGUUUGAAGGUAAUGAUUUCAGCAAAGGAUGAACUAGACACAGUGCUACCUCCAGCUGUUGAUGGGCUGCUUAGAGUUCAUAAAAGGAUAACAGAUGGUUUAGAUGGUGAAACUGAUCAGCCUCAACGAGCUACUGUCACCGCUGGGCCCACAAGGCUACUGGUCCCAGCUUCCCAAGCUGGCAGCCUGAUUGGGAAGCAAGGAGCAACUAUUAAAUCAAUACAGGAUGCUUCAAAGUGUGUUCUCCGGAUUGUUGGUAAGGUUUACAUUUUUCCCUGCAUUGACUUUGUUACGGCAAGGCUUUAUGAUCUCAUGUCCUGGCAGUCCUGCUGAUAAUGCGGAUUUCUGUAUUUGCAAUUCCUUUUGAUAACCAAGGAUCAAUCCGUAGAUGGCAAAUGUGUGUAGGUUAUUUGGUCUAGGAGCAUUGUCUGCUUUUUUUCGCACAUAUUGAUUUGUGCACUUAGUUACGAGAUAUUUUUGUUUUGGUGAUCUUUGAUAAGCGGACUUGACAAGAUUGACCAAUUUAGUUCUGUUACAUUUCUGCAUGCAUGUCUCUGACAGAAGUCAUCCUUAGAAUUCCACUCUUCUGAAAUGAUAGAUGUUAUGUGGAGUAUGAUUUAAUUAACCACAUCCAAAUGGCAUUUGCCGCUCCCCUUUGCUUUAUAGGUUAUCUAAUCUUUUCUUUAUAUUUUUAGUAUUAUUUCUGGAUCAUGUUUGAUCAUUUGUACUUUCUACCCUUAUUUCUGCAAGUAAUUUCACUGGAAGCCCCACAUUGCAUAUUGUAUAUAUUUGCAUGGUACAUCAGCCAUUUCACUAAUGUACUAUUUUUCCAAAUCACAGAGAAUGUUCCACCUGUUGCAUUGAAUGAUGACAGAGUUGUAGAGAUACAGGGUGAACCUCUUGAUGCUCACAAAGCCGUGGAGCUGAUUGCAAGUCAUUUAAGAAAAUUUCUUGUUGACCGUAGUGUCCUCCCUUUGUUUGAAACACAGGCAAGUUGUAUUCUACUAUGCAAUAUAUUGGUUACUUACAUGAAGUAUUUGGUAAUCAUAUAAAACAUAAAUUUCCUUGACAGAUGAAAGUGCACAGUGUGCACAGAGAGCAACCUAUGCCUCCUCCACAGGCAUGGGGUCCCCCUCCACCCUCACCCUGGGGUCAUCCACCACCAAACCUUCCUCCUCCUGGUGGCCCAGGUUAUGGUGGGAACCCACAGUACAUGCCUCCACCUCCACGGCCACAAGAGAGCUAUUAUCCUCCGCCUGAUGUGCCCCCUGUAGAAAAGCAACCACACUAUGGAAUUUCUUCAUAUGGACGCGAUGCACCUCCGAGUGUUCCCCCAGGGAAUCAAAACCAAGCACAUGGGUCUUCUCAGGUUAGUUUCUACACAUUUGACUGUUAUUAAUAUGAUGAAUUAUUUGCAUGCCUAUCUCAUGUUCAUUUGUACUUAACUUAUUUUUUUUGUGAUUUUAUAUGACAGGUGACACACAGCAUGCAAGUUCCUCUUUCCUAUGCUGAUGCUGUGAUAGGAUCAGCCGGUGCCAGUAUCAGCUACAUCCGCAGGCAUAGUGGAGCAACUAUAAGUAUUCAAGAAGGUGCUCCUGGGGAGAUGACAGUGGAGAUAACAGGAAGUGCUUCACAAGUACAGACUGCUCAACAGCUAAUCAAGGUACUUUUCCUUCUUAUUAAACUGCAUCAGCAAUUUGGUUAACACAUAUGAUAUUGCUAUAAUCCAUUUCCGACUUUCUCAUAUCGUUGCACUUCACUAAAUCAAUGCCACCUCUCCAACCAAAGUAUACUCUGCCUCUAGCUGGAUGCUUCCUGGAUUGGUACAAUGCUUGUGGUAAUACACAACUAUCGCAUGAAUUGGACUAUAUGUACCAUAUGUUACAUAUAGUUGAUUGUGAAAAGACCUGGCAUCAUAUCUUGUUACUUAACCAGCAUAGAUGCAUCUUGUCAUUUUCCAAGGUCAAUAAUCUUCACAUGUCACUGGCUUAAUCUGCCAUCACGUCACUGGCUGCUAGUUACCAUGCUGUGCCCCUAUACUGGGAGUACUUAGCAUAGAUGACCUUUUCAUUUGGUUGGCAUGUUCUCUGUCCAUCGCACUCUUAUGUUUUCCAUUAUAUAACUAAUGAACAGUGAUAAUAUCCUCUUCCAGAACUUCAUGGCUGAAGCUUCCCCCCAGGGACCACCGGCUCCAGCUCCACCCGCUCAACCAGUGGACACAGGUUACAGCUCGUAUCCACCUUACGGUGGAGCAUCAUAUGGAUCUCCUCCUGGCGCCCCAGCUCCAGCUCCUCACAACGGCGGAAGCUAUGGCGCGUACCCACCGAGCUAUGGAUACUAAUCCGGAGCAGGAGCUGGAUUCAGACUUAGGGAAGGAGGGUUAUGUUAUGGGUUCGCUUGUCUGUUCAUCUUUUGAGAACUCAACCUCGUUAGGACUUCUGAACUUACUUUUGGUGUUGUAAGCUGCUUUCUUAUGCCACAUGCCAGUGCCGAUUCUUCUCUUGAUACUCUCUCUGCUCUAUGGUUGCUGAGUUUAUCUUUAACCCUGUAUUUUUAAUAUUCAAGAGAAAAACAAAAAAAAAUAUUAAGAACUCCAAUGUUAACUUUUCCCUACCUGUACGAGGAUUGAAAAAAUUUGCUAGCUUUGCUAGUGGUGUUGGCAUGUUGGCAUGUUGCCUGCCACUUGUCAGUCUGCCCUUUUAUGAGCGCAUCAAUAUGCGAGAACGUGUGAUGAGAUCAAUGCUAUUCGAGAACGUGUAAUGAGGAUUUAGUUCAAAAAAAUGUCAAACUAUUUUGGAAUGAUUGAAUAUAAAAUACCAAAAAAUUUAGUCAUAUUUAGUUUUAUUUAAAAUGCAGAAUUUAUUGCCAAAAUGAAGUCAAAAAUCAAAAUGAAGAAUAACUAUCUUUUUAUUAAAAAAUUUGCAUAGUGUUUAAUUUUAUUUUAUAAAAUAAUAAAUUAAAACCCAAAAGUUUUUGGAACACGAGGGGAACAACACCCCCGAAAUGACGGGCCUCCACAGUUGGCUGGGCUGUGGCCACACCCAGUCAGCUGCGGCCUGUAGGCAGCCAUUUUAAUGGUGACUUUUUGUUAGAGAAGCACAAAAACAUGUUCCCUACUUAGGUCUUGUCAAAAAUUAAAAACUUUUUAAGAAUCCUCGUCAUAUCAAAUCUUGCGGCACAUGCAUAAAACAUUAAAUAUAAAUGAAAAUAAAAACUAAUUGCACAGUUUAUUUAUAAAUUAUGAGAUAAAUCUUUUGAACCAAGUUAGUACAAUAGUUGUCAAAUAAAAACAAAAAUACUACAAUACCUGAAAAAAAAAUAGAAACUAAACAAGGCCUUAUUUUGACCACUUGGAAUAAUCAGUAGAGUAAUUUUUUUAAGAAACACUUGGAAAAGCUCUAGAAGUUAAGAUUCAAUACCCUGUUGCCAACCAUUUCAUCAUCUAGUCCGGAGAAAUUCGAGCUCUAGAGUGUUUAUUUAUUUUUCACUAACUCUUCUUAAAAAUCGAACUCCAAAUGGAUGAAACAUUUUUUAUCUCUGAUGUGCCUAUAAAUCUGUCAUGGAAUUCACGUGCUCUGUUUGGAGAUUAUUAUCAGGUGCUACAGUACAUCAAAGCGCUAUCAACGCGUCGAAGUGCAGGGCAGCUAUCAACGCGUGGACGGAUUUGAGUCAUUUUUCAUCUGGAUUUUUUCUACAAGUUUGCACGCAACGCUUGACUUGUGCGAAACUGCUACCGACCCCAAUUGACUUACCUUUUCAGUGGACUGUGGGCCCCAAGCUCAUACUUUGGCGGCACGUUAUUGGAAAACUUUAGUUUUGUUUAGUUUCCAAAAAGUUUUUUUAAAAAAAUAGAUUCUCUGUCACAUUAAAUCUUAUGGCACAUGCAUGAAAUAUUAAAUAUAGAUAAAAAUAAAACUAAUUACACAGUUUAUCUGUAAUUUAUGAGACGAAUCUUUUAAACCUAGUUAGUCCAUAAUUAGAUAAUAUUUGUCAAAUAUAAACGAAAAUACUACAAUGCCUGAAAUUCUAAAAUUUUGCCAACUGAACAAGGCCAAAGGGCUGCUAAGGACAACAAUUGUUUUUGUGAUAACAGUUUGUCUUCGCUAGCUGCUUCACCACUCACGCCUUGUUUCCUUCGUCCCAAAAUUCAAAAACUUUUUAAUAUUUCUUGUCAUAUCAAAUCUUAUGACACAAGCAUGGAGCACUAAAUAUAGAUAAAAACAAAAACUAAUUGCACAGUUUGUCUGUAAUUUAAGAGACGAAUCUUUUGAGCGUAAUUAGUCUAUAGUUGGACAAUAAUUGUCAACUACAAACAAAAGUGCUACAGUGUCAAAAUCCAAAAACUUUUCACAACUAAACAAGGCCUCAGUCCUAUAAUUAUAUAAAAGAAUAAAAGAUUCUCAUAUUUCUAAGAAAAAAAUUAUACACAAGUAAAAUAAACGCAUGGACCCUAUACUUUUUUUUUAUCGUGGUUGGAUAUAAUCAAGAACAACGAGGUACUUUAUUAUAUAUUUACAUGACAUAGAUUGAAUUUAUCAGCCGAAUCUGUCAGUCAUCCAGUAAUAUUUUUUUUUUCAUAAAAAAUCAGCCAUCAGUACUACCAUGAUUUAUCACCUAAACGAAUAGGACGGCUGAACUACUAUACAAAUUUCAUCUGGGUCGACGGACCCUGACACGCGUUGGCUCCAAUCAGCUGUGAUGGCUGCAGCUGUGUUGCAACUGGAACUACUAUACACCGCUUGGAGUUGGCGAGCAGCUACUGUUGCAUUGUGGUCGACAGUGGCAGUCGUUGCAUUUUAGGAGACGUAUUUUUUUUAUUUUUAGCUCAAAUUUGAAACAUAUUUCAAAUUUGAUCUGUUUAUGAAAAUAUUUUCAAAACACGGCCAUUUGGACCCGCCACCAUGUAUGGCAGGGUAAAUGCACAGAACCCCGCCAUGCAUGGCGGCGGGAUACUACUGCUGACGUGGCAUGGUUCAGAGGACACCUGCUGACGUGGCUAACACGUGGCGGGGUACCUGGCAAGGAGUACACCGCCACGCAUCAUGGCGGGAUGCAACCCCGCCGCGCAUCAUGGCGGGGUGCUCCCUGUCUGACAAAACAGCCCACCUCCUGCUUUCUUUGCGUUCCCUGGUGGCACUUUCGUUAAUUUGUGGUAAUUAUUGUCUGUAAAUUGCACUAAUUAUACAGUUUACCUGUAAAUCACCAGACGAAUAUUUUAAGCCUAGUUACUUUAUAAUUAGAAAAUUUUUAUUAAAUAAAAACGAAAUUGCUACAGUAUUAAAAUCUAAAAAGUUUUUGGAUCUAAACAUACCAUAGUGUGUAUGUGUGGAGAGAGAGGCUACGCUUGCAUGGGCAACAUCAGUAGUCUAGGGUGUUGGGCCUUGUUAAGUUCCAAAAAAUUUUGUAAAAUUUUUCAGAUUCUCCGUCACAUAAAAUCUUUAGAUGUAUAUUUCUAACUUCAAAUAAAUUUAUUCAAAAAUUAGAUUUAAAUAUCUAUCUAAUUAUACUAAUUUUAUAUUAUAAAUAUUUAAUCAAAAAAAUUUUAUAAGAAGCGAAAACGACAAAUAUUUAGGAAUAAAAAGGUAGCAGUACAACUAGACUACAGUGUGCUGCUCCAGGGCACAGCAGCGCAAGUGUGUUGUACUGUGCUAUCUCUUUAUUGUUAAAUAUUUGUCAUUUUCGCUUCUUAUAAAAUUUUUUUGAUUAAAUAUUUAUUAAAAAUAUUAAUAUUUAUAAUAUAAAAUUAGUAUCAUUAGAUAGAUAUUUAAAUCUAUUUUUUGAAUAAAUUUAUUUGAAGUUAAAAAUAUACGUCUAAAGAUUUUAUGUGACGGAGAAUCUGAAAAAUUUUGUAAAAUUUUUUAGGAACUAAACAAGGCCGAACACCCUAGACUACUGAUUGUUGCCCAUGGAGCGCAGCGUGCACACUAUGGCCUAGCCUUGUUUAGAUCAAAAACUUUUAAAAUUUUAACACUGUAGCAAUUUUGUUUUUAUUUAAUAAAAAUUAUCAACUAAGCUUAAAAGAUUCGUCUCGUAAUUUACAGGUAAACUGUAUAAUUAGUGCAAUUUACAGACAAUAAUUACCACAAAUUAACGAAAGUGCCACCAGGGAACACCGAGAAAGUAGGGGGUGGCCUGUUUUGUCAGGCUGGGAGCACCCGCGGCGGGGUUGCAUCCCGCCAUGAUGCGUGGCGGUAUAGAUGGCCAUGCAGCCCGUGGCCCGUUGGCCCGGCCCACGGCCCACGGCCCGGCAUUUUGGCCCGGCCCGAGCACGGCAUGGCCCAACAACUACCGGGUCGUGCCUGGGCCGUCACCGUGGCCCGUGGCACGGCUCAGGCAUGGCCCGACGGCCCGAUGUUUAAUGUCCCAGUAAAAAAUAUAGCUUUUUAAUUAAAAAAAGAAAAUGUAGGUCUGUUGGUCCAUCCAUCCAUCCUAAUUGGCCUGUUAAGAAAUGUAGCUUGCUAAUUCUAAACAAAAAAAGAAAAUAUAGGCCUGCUACUGGCCUGACACGACCUUGGCCCGGUGGCCCGCCGUGCCUUCGGGCCGGGCCGUGCCUGGGGCCAUACCCCCGGCACGAGGCACGGUGAUGGCACGGCCCGGCCGGCACGACGGCACGGCGCGGCCCGGGGCAGGCACGGCACGGCCCGAUGGCCAUCUAUAGUGGCGGGGUACUCUUUGCCACGUGUUAGCCACGUCAACAGGUGUCCCCUAAACCAUGCCAUGUCAGCAGUGGUACCCCGUCGCCAUGCAUGGCGGGGUUCUGUGCAUUUGCCCCGCCAUGCAUGGUGGCGGGUCCAAAUGGCCAAAAUAUUUUCAUAAGCGGGUCAAAUUUGAAAUAUGUUUCAAAUUUAGGCUAAAAAUAAAAAAAAACUCUAAAAUUUGCACCACUUGAUUUGUAUUCAAAGAGCCUCCGAGAUGAUACUGAUUUCUUUAAAAUAACAACAUAUUAUAAGAGAAAUUAAGAGUCAAAAUAGAUUUUGCUUGAAUUUUACCUAAUCGAAUACGCUUACCAUUUGGGGACAAAGAGAGCCAAAAACUCACUCAAAUCCGUCGUCCAUGAGUAGAUCAAUACAAACUAGAGUUGGUCCUUGGUACUUGCUUAAUUGUUUAUAUCAGUUGUCUGUUCAAAUGUCACAGCUAGCAAAAUAGGCCAACCGUUAAUCAUUAUGCUCCCUGAAAAAAAUUAUGUGAUGAAAGUACAGACACACAUAGGUGUAAAAGAAGACUUUUUAUGCUAAAUAUAUCAAAUGUUUGGUCAGACAUAAGCAGCUGUCGAUGUAUCCAACGCUCCAACCUGUGCAUGCUGCUAGGAUGUUCCAAUCGAUUUUGUUUCCGUUUUAGCUUAUUAGUGUCUUAAUCAUUAUUGACAGCCGACAGAUGGCAAGUUAGCCUGUUCUGUCGCUCAAUAAUGAGAGCCUUGACAAAGAAAUCAAGGCAUUUUUUUUUAAAAAAAAAGAAGUAGAAGCAGCUGCAUUUUGUAAGAUAUAAAAGUUUUUUACUCGAAAAAAAGAAAAGUUUACUUUUUUGAAAAAAUUAUAAUAUAAUAUAAUAAUAAGGAAAAAUAAAGUAGCUUCCCAUUAUGUCAUGUCCUUGCUUGGACGUCAGACAGUAGUGUACAAUGCUGGGCCAUUGCUUGAAGCUAAAUUAAAUCCCAUCCUUGACCUCCAGACAGUAGUGUACGAUGUCUGUCACUUUAAUUGCAGUUCAUGAAGCAGAUCUUGCACCAAGAUCACCCACCUUAAUUUCCCUGUACGAAAUUGUUAGAUCUCCCUAGAUUAGGGGGUGCUCGAUCUGUAUGGAUAAGACAAGAACUUCAAGUGUGGUUGACCAAGCAAUAAAUCGUCGGUUGGUGACGCAUUUUUGUCCAGUGAGCUGCUCCACUCCAAUAAUGCUAGCUUGUGCGUGAUUAUUAUGUCCGGAUCACUCCUUUGUAAGCGUCAGCUAACGUGUUCAAUUGUCAACCUCUUGUUAGUAGCAUUCAAAGCUAAGAACACACAUGACACUGGAAAUGCUAAUAAACUAUUUCCUGCCUACUUUUGUUCUCUUGGGCCCUCCUGAAUUUUCUUGACAAAAAUAUUACCAUGAUGACAAACCUAAAAAUAAAAUAAAAAAACGAUAAGUACAAAGUUUUAGUUAGAGCAUUCAUUCAUCUUCUAGAUGACCUCUCAAGAUUGCAGAGUGGCACAGAUGGAUGGGGAAAUCAUUAACACGUAAUGCUUUACACAAGAGCAAUAGUACUGGGGGUGGCAAAUCACACCAACAACAGCUUUGCACCUUUCCUUCUGGAAUGCUUACACCUGGAAAAUCCAAAUGGUCCUAGCUUGCAGCGGUCAGUACGGACCUCCUCCCUCUCUCCUUUUUUUUUUUGUCAACAAAAAGAGGUUUCAGAAAAGCAAAAAAGCAGCAUACACAGGCAAGUCAUGGCAAGCGAACUUGUGCACGCUAAAAGCCAACCCUGCCAUCCUAAUCCACCCUUUACAACAAUGCGCGGUUGUUCACUUCCUUUUGUCAAUCUUUGCUUUCAACCCUUCAGACUCUCAGCGACAAAGCUCACCGGUCGCUAUCAGACGCCGCAUUUUCCUUCCUGCACCAUCUUUCAAUCAUACUACAUGCCACAGCUCACAAGAAAGAUGAACAACUUGGCAGCAGUCCCCACAAUAGCAUCUGUAACAGCGUGUAGCUCAAGAAGAGGGGCCAAGCAGCUCAUCAAAUUCUCAAAUGGAUCCAUGUUCAUCGCUGCUGCAUUCGAAAUUCAAAGGCCUCGGAUCCUAACAUGACCAGCUAGGUCAUCCUUCAGCAAAGGCAUGGCCCAGGCGCUUCCUGAAUGGAGCGACAGUUUACUGAUCCUCUAGGUCUGGGCAGCCUGUGCUGGCAACUGGUUAUGGUUGUGCUCGCCUUCGUAUGUCACGAUUAGCAUCGCUGGGUCAUCUACGCAUCGCUCAACAUGCUUCCUUGCCGGGCAGCCCCUGACGCUGCUGCAUUUGUAGUAACCCCUGCAUUGGAUUGAAGUCAAAGAGAAUAUGAGAAUAUGUGAAAUUGGGGGGAACAAUCAGCCCCAUGUGCUUGCCUUCAUGGUAUAGCUACAUUUUCCUAUCAUCUCGGGCAGACAUUAAAGGUUGAUAUGGGGUAGGGGAAUGAGCGCAAUCAAGAUUAGGAUGUAGAUAGCCUAACAUGGCAUUCAAAUUCAUGUAGCAAUAAUAAUUUACCUACUUUAGGUCCCCCAUGAUAGAUCAUUGCUUUCUCAGUAAAUGGGCACAAAAAGAGUUGAACCCUGAGAUUAUCCACUAACUAAAUAUUUAAUUGCGCUAGCUACUAUGUUAUCGACAUGCCUUAGUUGCAGAAGCACUUGGGAGGAAGGAAAAGGUAAAGUGGAGAGGAGGAUCAACCAACAAUUAUUCUACAGAUAAAGGGGCACCCUGAGAGCCUGAUGCAGAUAUGCCACCUCUCAUGGUGCAACAAGGGGAAUAAUGCAUCAAUCAUUAUGACUGAAAAGGAUUUGAUACACAUUUUCAUGUUAGUUGAAUAUUUCUUGUUCAGUUCAUAUUAUACCUCGGGUGGGGGGAACCCUUAAUUGGCUUUUGCCCGUACUUGCGCCACGAGUACUCAUCAGGAGGUAUAUCAGCGAUUUUGUUGCUAAUGGCUGGCACUUUAAUUGAUCUCUUAAUCCGCAGUUUCCUGUCAAACAGAGCAAGCACGAUUCAAGGGAGUUAAUAUUGCACCCAACAAGACAUAACAACAAGCAUAAGAAUGGCCCUGAGAACACUAACUUACCUUCUCUUUGAGCAAUGGCACCUGCCGGUAGUGGCACACUUGCCUCUUCCAUCCUCCCCUCUACCCGUGCACCGCCGUUUGGGUGCGCGGUGGGCAUCAGCUGGGUCGCUCGCCACCGGGGUGCCAACCAAAUGGAAUGGCCGCUUCCCAUCCAAGCUAGCCAUGCUCCCAUCCAUGCUCAAGGACGACAUGAAUGAUCUCGCAGACGACAUCGUGCCAGCAGCGCCGCCACUGGGGCUGGGGCUCUCGAACUUGAGGCUGAUCCCACUGUUGCUCCUCUUGAACAUCUCGGCCUGCAGCUUCUGCCGCGACGGGGGCUGCUGGUGGAACGGGUACCUAUGCGCAACAUUCCCAAUCUGGAACUGCACAGAAAGCGGCUGGACCAGCUUGGGGGCUCCGAACGGAUGAGGGCCGCCACUCUUGCUGCUGGAGCAGGCCAAAUCCAGCCCUCGUGAGUCUGGCACACCGUUAAGCCGAGCUCGCAUUUGUGCGUAGCUAGUCGAUGGAGACGGAGCCGCCACCGCAGCAGCAGCAGCAGCGGUGCUGGGCAUCAUCUCCAGCGGGCUGCCGCCGCCACCACUGCCGCUCCCCAAGGGACUCUUCUGGUUCACGAGACCCAUAGGCCGGACUCGUCUGGAGAACCUGCCUCUAGCAUGGCCGCAGCCGCCGCCACCGCCACUGCCACUGCCGAGGAGGGCGGCUACUUUCCUGAACUUGGCGCAGGCUUCGGCCGUCUCUGAAGCUAUGCUCUUGAGCAGGGCCGGGUCCUGCUGCUGCGAGAGCAAGGCCAGCACCCGGUGGCAGCUCUCCACCGCGGCCCUGUUGGCCACCUCCACCUCCUCCAUGGCUGGCUGGACUGGAAGCCGACCGACCUGGAAUGGAGAAGCUAGCAGCGGCGGCCGCCGAGUGGACAAAGAAAGGAUUGUUCUUUCGUCCAGCCACGAACUCCUCUUCUUCCACCUCGGACGUACCUCAGGCUCCUGCCAGCGCUCACGGGCAGCAGCGUCUGCACAUCGGAACCAGAGAGCCCGCACGGAUUAAGCAGAUCUCCGGGGAAUCUCAAAAGGGCUCGGAAGCAAACUGCACAGGAACGAAAGAAACGGCCCAUCAGGAUUCAGGAAGGGUGGAUUAUUCCAAUCCUCGGCUCAUGGAAAGAGCACGGUACCGGAUUGCGCACCUGGACUGGAGGAGGAGGAGGAGGCAACACGCCGCGCGCAGCACGAGGCUCCGGCACACGGACAGGCGGCGGCGGGCCAAGAACGCACCGAACGAAUCCGCCCGCUCCAGAACCACAGGCACGGCGCGGGGGAGAACGGCCGGCGGCGGCGGCGCGGUCCGGCAGGGCCGGCGUGGAGGGGAUCGAGGAGGGAGGAUGGAUGAGAGCAGGAGCAGGAGCAGGAGCAGGAAGAGAGAGGAAUGGGGGGAAGCGCGCGGCGGAGGUAUAUGAGGGGCUAAUUUGCCGGAUCCGGAGGGGUGUUUUCGGGAAAGCGUCGCUUUCGGUUGGGACUCGGAGUCAACAAUGUCAAAGACAGCGGUCAGUGGGGACAUGGUCAUGCAUGGGUAGUACAAAGCUUGAAAAAGAAUACUACUAAAGAAAAAUCAUGCCUACGGUCUCGUAUGCAUUAAUUAAUUAUUAAUACAUGUGACUUUUAUUUUAAUUAUGGAGUAAUAAUAUAUUUGUAUUUUCAGAUCAGAUUAGAAAAAGAGAGAGGUAGCAAGAGGAACACCGCUGCGACCUUGAGAGGCACGGAACUGAAAUUGUUCGUCCUUGGAAUUACAGGGUGUUUUUUUUUUUUUUUGGUUGCCAGCUGAGGAGUCUACAGUCUAGUCAAGCCGGAGGCGCAGGUAGCCCACACAGGCUUGAAUUUAAAACGAGGCCGGCCCCGUCCGGCCCAGUAGUCCUCCACGGCGGCCAGUGGGACCGCUCUUCGCGGGGUCAGUGAAGGGCCCACCACCCCUGCGAGGAAAAGCUAAAAAAUAUAACCUCUCUUUGGGCUCGGCUUUUCAAAAAAAAUUUACAAAAUUUUUCAGAUUCCAUGUCAUAUCGAAUCUUGCGGAACAUGCACAGAACUUAAAUAUAGAUAAAAGAAAUAACUAAUUACACAAUUUACCUGUAAUUUGCGAGACGAAUCUUUUGAGGCUACUUAGUUCAUGAUUGGAUAAUAUUUGUCAAAUACAAACGAAAAUACUACCGUGUCCAUUUUACAAAAUUUUUACAACUAAACAAGGCUAAUUUUAAAAAGUGUUUGAAUUCUUCUUUGAGCGGCUUUGGCUGAUGUAGUGUCAUAUCAGCCGUACUAUAAGGUACUACGUUAACCACGAAGGAGGUAGAUUGAACUUCAUCAGUGGACUUUAUAAAAAAAAUAGAUAUAGAACAAGUUUUUUAUGAGGCAUCCAAAAAAUUUUCUAAUAGUUCUGAAAUUAGAAGUCCUAAAUUCUUAGAAAUGUCAUUGAAAAAGUGUUUUCCUAAAGAAAUGAUAAUUUUAUUUAUUUAUUUCUAAGAUCAUGCUUUUAUAUUGUAGUGCCUUGAUGAGAUUUUUUUGAAUGUUAUACGGUCCUCUUUAGAUGUUUAUUUGUUAAUAUAUACUUGUAUUUAUCUAUUACGGCUUAGACCACGUAGAAGUUCAACAGAUUUCUAUUGACAAUAUAUGUAUGCAUAACCACUUCAUACACAAUCCUAUUUAUUACUCACUUCGCCCUGAAGUAUCGAAAAUAUGAAUAGAUGUGUUAGUUUUUUUUAAGGCAAUACAUGUGUUAGUUAUACACACAUAAGCCUAGACAGAAAACUUGAAGCUCGUUACCACGUUCAGCUUGUAGCUGGUUUGGCUCAGCUAUACUCGUUAUCAUAAUGAGCUGAUUUUAGCUUAUUAGCUAUAACGAGCCAACUCGAGCCAGCUCACGAGCCAAACGAGCUACAAUUUUAGAGAAAAAGUCAUCAUAACUUAUAUUAGUUUUGUAUUAUUUCAUGUCUUACACCUUACAAAUAAUUGAAAUGUUAGAGCAUCUCCAACCAUUAUGCAUUUGAAGUUAUGUAUUUUAGGCAAAUUGCAAACCCCCAAAUGAAAAUGGCAAGGCUAAAAUCGGGUGAUCUCCAACCGUUAUGCAAAAUGCUAAGUCCAUCAUCUUUUUUUUCUCGGAAAUUUUGUUUCGCGGCACUCCUUCCCGCGCGGCCAAUCGAUCCCGCGCCGAACAGCCCGCCGUCGUCUCCCGUUCACCAUUGAUGAAGAAGGCGUACCUAGCCGGCGUUGAUGAGGAAGGCGUCGUAGAUUCGUCCUAUCGCGCGCUGCGUCGUCCUAUUGUGCGCUGCUUCGUCCAAACGCGCGCGCGAAGCUGGCGAAGGAGGAUGCGCGAUGCUUCUCUUAUCGCGCGAAGUGGUGGCGGCGCGAAGGGAAACCGCGCGAAGGGAAGAAAAAAGCCUGCGAGGUGGAACCGAGAAUCCCGUGAUCUCUAUUUGCAUAGCCGGACUCCUUUGGCAUAUAUGCCAAGUUUCUCUCUCCAAAUGCAUAGCUAUGUAAAAUGCAAAGUCCAAAUGCAUAAUGAUUGGAGCGGUUUUUUUUGGAGUUGUAUGCAUUUUGGUAAAUGCCAAGUCCAUUUGCAUAAUGGUUGGAGUUGCUCUUAGCUCGUAUGAAUAUUUGCUCGACUUAAGACUAUUGGAUAUAUCAUUCUUGUAUUAUUACUAUUUUUAAGCUUUAGAUAAAUGCAAAUAUUAUAUUUUGUGUAUUUUUUAUACUUGGCUCGAGUUUAACGAGCCAACUCAAGUUCAUAAUGACCCGAGUCAGGCUCGUUAUCUAGCCUUAUACACACAUGAACAGACAUUCAUUGUUGGAGGGGCGGAGCCAAGAUUUCGACAUAGAGCACAUUUAGACCUAAACAAUCAUGUAUAACGAGAUGCAUACUCCGUCCGUCAAACAUAAAAAUAUAAAUUAUCAAUAACUUUUAAAUUGUUAAGUUUAUAAAUGUAAAAACUAUCUAAAUAGAUUUAUCUUGAAAAAUAUUUUUAUAAAAAUAUACAUAUAAUUAAUUCUAAAAUAAUGUAGAUGACAUUAGAGACCAUUUCGCAUGGUCUCUCGCGGACCUCAGGUCCUAAACAGUAUAGAUGACUGUCGUGAUCGUUUGUAAGCUUAUAGAGCAAAAUCAGACGGUUUUAAAACGUUAGAGAAGUUAAAAGAACCCGUUUUUAUUUGUUUUCUGAAUUGGGGAAGUAAAUCGGACUUGGUGAAAAGCCAUGGCCAAAUAAAGUUUGGUCUUGUUUAGUUCCGAAAAGAUUUUGGAUUUUGGUAUUGUAGUAUUUUCGUUUUUAUUUGACAAAUAUUAUUUAAUCAUGGACUAACUAGGCUUCAAAGAUUCAUUUCGUGAUUUACAGUCAAACUGUGUGAUUAGUUUUUGUUUUCAUUUAUAUUUAGUGGUUUAUACAUAUACCGUAAGAUUCGACGUAACAGAAAAUCUUGAAAAAGUGAGGCUUUUCUUGGCUUUGACGGCGGGCGACGGUCGCAAAACACCGGCCGGUGGGUCCCUGUGCCUCGGCCUCCUCCUCCCUCGUGCAGAGCGCGUGCUCUCCCACCCGUCGUGCUGUCCUUAACAGUUUAACCUUUUUUUAAAACGAGUCAAUCUUUUUGUUUGGUCGGAUCGCAAUUCCUUUCAAGUUUCAAUAGAUUUUUGUUUUUUUGAGCAAGCUCAAGUUUCAAUAGAUAUACGUACACCCGUUCACAAACCCACACACACACACAAAAAAAAAACAGAAAAAGAAAGAUACGUACACAAAUGAGUUUGGGCUGUCCCUAUAAAAAAGAGUUUGGGGCUUUGGGCAUGCCAGCGAGCAAACAACACGAGUGGGACGGGUAGAAAUGGAUACCACCGUGGUGUGUAUCGCUAUUGGGCUGGCAAGGUUCGAGGCCCAAUAAUGGCCUAUUAUUUUGGGUCCAUUCUCUUCUCCACACAAGCUUACUGUGCCUUUUUCUUAUAUGAAAAAAGUCCACAUUAGCUCCUCAACUUUUAUAAAAGUCCGUUUUUCUUCCUAAACUCUAAAACUAGAUCAAAACACUUGCCGCAAUUUUUAAAACCAUUCAUCUUACCUCUCUAACCCUAUUACAAGCGGUUUUGAAGGCGGUUUUGUCUUUGUCUUUUUUAUUUAUUUUAGCUAAAUCUUAAAAAAAUCAUAAAAAAUCAUAAGAAAUAUAAAAUAGAAAAUCUAAUUUUAUUAGAAUUUACAUGAGUAGAUCUACACAGUGCACGCAUAGAACUACUCAUAUGGAGUCCAAUAAAAUUUAAUUUUCUAUUUUAUGAUUUACUAUAAUUUUUCAAAGUUUUAGCCGAAAUAAAUAAAAAAGGAAAAGAAAAAAUCGCCUUCAAAACCGCUUAUAACCAAGCCAGGAGGUAAGGUGAAUGGUUUUAAAAGUUGAGGGAGAUGUUUUGCCCGAUUUUGGAGUUCACACAAGAAAAGCGGACUUUCACGAAAGCUGAGCAAGGUAAUGUGAUCUUUUUCCUUCUUAUAUUGAUAGCAAGUCCUUGGUUCUGGGCCUAGGUGGAUGGGUUCUAAACACAAUAGGGGGGGACUCGAUUUUACCUUCUCCAAAUUUUGUAAAGUACAACUAAAGGUCAUGUUUUUUUAUUUCCUCUAACUUUCGAAACCAUUAGAUUUUGCUCCUUGGGUGGUUUUAAAAAUAGUUUUCGUUGAUAUAGAACCACAUCAACCACGAGUCCACGAGAGAAGUAAAUCAGACUAUAUCGAUAGUUCAAGGUCAAUUAGACUUUAUAAAAUAAAUUAUAGAAAUACUUUUCAAAAAGUUGUUUAAAUAUUUUUAUCAAAAAAGAAAAAUGGGAAAAAAGAAAUUGUCAAUUAAAAAUCAUAAAUCUAAUCGAAUUUAAUCUUAGACGAUUUUCCAUUGGAAAAUUGUUUUAACUCAAAAAUAAAUAAGAAACCAGUUUCAUAUUUUCCCAAAAUCAUGCUCUAUAUUAGGGUACCUUGUUAGAAUUAUUUGAAACUUAUAUAGUACCGUCUCCUUUUGGUUAUUUGUUAUAGUAGAUGGUCACGUUAUAUUUUAUUAUAACUAGUCCAGGCUGAAUCAGACCGCAUAGAACUGACUUCAGUAUCAACAAAUGUGUGGUUUAGUCAAUUCUUUUUUAUAUGAACACAUGUGUUCACUUAUACAUGCAUGCACACUUACAAUACGGACGCACACACAUCAUCACAUUUGAUCAUAGAUCUUGAGAUGGAAGAGAGUUUAUUUCACAAUAUUUCGUCAUAAUUAAUUAACUCGAUGUAGUGUUAUGUAAGGCGGCUGACGAGAGGCCACAUCGGCUAAAACUACUUUUGAAACCAUCCAAAGAAAAAUCUGGUCUACUCUUUUAAAAGUUAGGUCUUGUUUAGUUCGCAAAAAUUUUCGUUUUUGGCUACUGUAGCACUUUCGUUUUUAUUUGACAAAUAUUGUCCAAACAAGAAGUAACUAGGCUCAAAGGAUUCAUGUCACAAAUUACAGGUAAAUUGUGCAAUUAGUUUUUAUUUUCAUCUAUAUUUAAUGCUCCAUACAUGCGACCAAAAAUUCGAUAUGACAGAGAAUCUUGAAAAUUUUUGCGAACUAAACAAGGCCUAGAGUAGGCGAAAAAAACCCGGCUAUUGUUUCGGGAGGGAGAUGGGAACAAAUAAGUCAAAUAGCACCUUCUUUUUGACAGGAAUGCAUAAUUUCAUUAAUCAAAUGAACCAAUUAAAUUAAUCGCUGGACACCAAGUACAUAAUACAAUCUGGCACCGUCAAUAUGAAUUAUGCCAUCAGAAGGGCAAUAAACACCAGUGCAAAAGACAAAAGCGACCGAACACAUGCAAGCACGGGCAUCGUAGAUCACUCCUAGUCCAAGGUAGAGGUAGGUAACGAACACAGCAGGUACCCAGCUCUUGGGAACAAGCAAUACUUGUAUGGACAUGCAUGCAUAUGGAUAAGGUUUGUACAGCAUCCGGUCAGAGAGCAGGAAUAAUAAUACGCUUAUAGCCAAGCUAACGUUGAUGUAGAGAAAAGAAGAUAUGAGAGAUAUGAUAGCUUAGCUCUCAUGCAAGUGCUAAGCUGGACACGGAUAUAUAGGUAGUGGUGGGUCAAAAUAACAAGUGUUGUGAAGAGAAAUAAAAAAGAGAAAGUGUCUUAGAGAUAAAUAUGAGACAACUCUGUAUAACUUGGUUUUAAUUAUUUAGCUUAUAAUCAAGCACUUGGUUUUAUUACUGACCUUGCUCUCAUAUACAUAUGCCAUCCAUCGUGGAAGAAGGCGCAACAGCAUACGCGAUCCACGUGGCACUUGCUUGCACAACACAUGUAAAAUCUCUCAGGCUUAGCUUCAACUAUUUAAUACAAAUUAAUUCAUACUGUCUACGUACUAAGAUUAGUUAAUCCACCGGAGAAUGAGGUACGGUGCUGAUGGGAUCCACCGGAGAAUCUACGCCGUGUGCAGUACAUAAAAACCCAUUGUAUAGAGUAUAGACUAGCUACAAGUGGCUAGCAAUCACUCCAUUCUAAACUAUUAUAAUAUAUAUUGUUUUAGCUUUUCUAGAUAUAUACACACUGGUUUAAUUAUAGAUCAUAGCAAAAACUAUGUAUCUCUAGAAAGGUCAUAAUGACUUAUAAAUUAAGAACCAAGGGAGUAGCUAACCAUGUUGUGUACAAUACAAUUAGACAAUCCUUCAAAUCCCUGCCAAGGGGAAUCUCUACGGACAUGUCCCUUCGAUUUAGAGUUGUUGGUUUCCGAGGUCAUUUAUUUUCUCUAAGUUCCUUUCGAAAGCUGCAACGAGCCUUUUAUCCAAUACGGUCUUCAACUAGUUCCGACUCUGGCUCCAAUAGUGGGUUCGACAAAGAAGUCAGAUGUUGGUAUUUAUUAAUGCACACUAAGAUCUAUGAUUAUCCGCAAGCACACAGAUAAGAUACCGAUGUAGCACUUUACCAGGAUGACCCAGCUUUAAUAUCGAACCCAAAGGAAUGGAUGGAGGGAUCUUGAUCUUAGCUUAAUCCCUGAGCACAAUCAAAGGAUGAGACGCUAGAAGGUUGAGGGAGAGAACUAGGGUGGUCUAAUUCUACUUUUAGAGAGUUUUGUACUUACUGAUCUGCUUGGGAAUUACUAUGGAAGGUUGCAAACAUAGUGUGAAUCUACCACAUAACAAAAGGUCUCCUAAGAAUAUCACCUCUAGACGGGAGGUGGACUAUAUAAGACUCAACAAAGCUAUCACCUUCGUGAUCUACCACCGAUCCAGACUAUAGGGCGCAUCUAUGAGUAACCCGAGCCUAAGCACCGCGCUUACACUACAAAUUGUAUUUUAACCUAGUGCACUAGAUCAAAGUACUCAAAUGAAACUCAUAAACCAAAAGAACAAUAAACUUACUGACUAAUAGAAGUUGAUGACCGAAGAAAUCUCUGAUCCAAGCUCCUGAAGAACUCGAAUCCGCAGAUACAAGCUGAAGAAGGAGUAUCGACAGGCCCAGGGCUUCCUCUAGAUCUUCUCUCUCUCUCUCUCUCUCUCUCUCUCUCUCUCUCUCUUCUAGUUCUAGUUCUAAGACUAGAUCUAAACCUAACUAGAGGUAUACUAGUCUUCUUCUUGAUUGCUAGGCUCUAGAGAGGUUCUAGGGAACCCCUCUCUUGAUCUUGACUGGAGAUAAUGAAUUAAAGUCUUCAAGAUGUCUCAGCGGGUCUGCCUCUGCUUAUAUAGCCUAGUGGGAUGAAUUGUAGCCCUUGGAUCAAACCAACUUAAAACAACGGUCAAGAUACAUCGAAGAGGUCGAUUGGGAACCGUUGUGCGAAGCUAGAUGACAGGAGGGUCCCACCUGGGCCGACCGGCCCCACCUGGUAGGCUGGCCCGCCUAGCUCAGGGCUAGGUCGACUUCUCCUUUGCUGUGGUGUCUUCUAGAACUUUACCGUCAAUUCUUACGAAAUUCCAAUGUGAUUUGAUUUGGUUCCUUGACUCCUACUCUUUCUCAUCUUAUUUCUGAUUUAAUUAAUCCCUGAAAAAUCAUGAUUCACCAAAGCUGUGGAAUUGGUUAGAUUAGUCCCUAAAACUAUUGCUUGGUGAUGGUUCCGAUGUCUUCUAGAGUGUUCCAAAGCGUAUCCAAUGAGGACUCUCAUCGCGACUUCAAUUAUAAUGAAUGAUAUAUCCGUUUCGAUCAUCUCGACAAGCUCUUCGCAAUGGUGUGCUCUAGUUCAUCAUUUGAGAUGCUUUUAUGUAUAGAAUAUCAAAUAUCUAAAAACAAGUGAGAACACCAAAACUCGUGAAACUCAUUAGGUUAAAUCAAAUCAAAGGGCACUUUGGUUCAUUUUAGUUAGUUCUUGGGCCUUAGUUGAUGGUUUAUAAUUGGAGUUAAUUACUGUCAAUAUCAGAGGAGCCAUACUGUCAGAUAUAUGGGCCAGGGGUACCUGCAACGUCCGUAUAUGCGACCAUGUCUAGGCUAUUAGCCUAGCAAUAGUAAAGGAAGAGGCCCACGAAGGGCUGAGGCAAUCGAUGACCAACGUGGAGAUCAAGGCAAGCCAGAAAUAUCUAAGAUAGGCGUAUCUAGACGAUAGCUUGGAUUAUUAAUCUGUUGCCCAUUCUAUGUAACAAACUAAGAAUCCAAUCUGUUAGUCCGAUCGUCCUCAUUAUAACCCUACCCCCUUUGCCUAUAUAAAGGAGGGUAGGGACCUCGGGCUCAUGAUCAAACUUCUCUCAUUCUAAUCUACUACGUAGUUAGGAGCAACAACCCCUAUAAUUGAGCAUACGAAUACAAGAGCAACUGCAACACCAUAUAUUGGAGUAGGGUUUAGUGCGCACCGCGCUCAAAACCAGUAUAAAUCUUUGUGUCUUGUGUGCUACUAUAUUAUUCCGUCUACAUGAUCACUUUGCUAGGCAUUGUUGCUAGAUCUAAUUCAUCUGACACAUACCAAACACCUUUAGAGGAGAAGCCGUAUUUUAUGCUUGUAAAAGAGAAGCUAGAGUCAUUUUUUGUGUAGAAGCCAAAGCACAAUUUAUGGCUCCUCCCUUCGGCGGAACCCUAUAUAUCAAACAAGCACAAGUAGUUACACACAACUUUGUCAAGUUUGGUCCUUUUCAAAUAGUCUCAAGAUAUGUAAAUAGGCAACAAUCAAUUUUUUUGUGCAUUGCAAUGAGACGUUUGGCUUUGUUGCGUGAUUAUUUGGACGAUUUGUAGUUUGGAGAUUUAUAUACUAACUAUGUCAUGCAUUUCAAUUUAUUUGGUAAUCGAUCACCAUUUCUCAUAAGCCUGUCUUUUUCUUGUUGAAAGUGUGUUGCUCUAACUAGUAUGCAUGUGUAUGGGGUUUAGAGAUGUUUUUGAUGAUUGCGUUAUGCAUUCCAAGUCAUGUCGCUCUGCACCAUACUUGAACACAUAACUCUUGUGAUGCAUGAGAGAGAAUAACGGUGGACCAUGCACGGAAACACUUCAAUUCCAGUUCAUUUUGGAAUUGGACUUCAUAUUGUGUUUAGACACAUUAUUACUCUAACUCGUACAGAUAUGGAAGGAUCUUACUGGGAUGGUUGUGAGCAACGACCAUGAAUGACGAAUAAAGCUUACCCUCUUUAUUAAUAUUACAAUGAGCAGAUAGUUUUACAAUGCUAUAAAACAUCGAGGAUUGGAUAGGGUUGGUUGUGAGCAACGACCAUGAAUGACGAAUAAAGCUUACCCUCUUUAUUAAUAUUACAACGAGCAGAUAUAGAUUUACAACACAAUAAAACAUCGAGGAUUGGAUAGGGUUGGUUGUGAGCAACGACCAUGAAUGACGAAUAAAGCUUUCCCUCUUUAUUAAUAUUACAACGAGCGGAUAGAUUUCACAACGCAAUAAAACAUCGAGGAUUGGAUAGGGUUGUAUACUACUCCCUCCAAUACAAAUUCUAAAACAUUUUUGUUUUUUAAAUAUAUAGCUUUUCCUAUGCACAGAUAUACAGUCUCUCUGUUUGUGGGGAUUGGAUGCUGUUGUCUGCUCAUAUAAAUUUGAGUCAUAUAUCUAUCCGGCCGUGUAUGUGGAUAUGAUCAUACCCUGUUCCAGCAUACGCAUGUACAUGCUGACAUGAGCCUUGAUGCAAAGCAGCAGCUGUUUGCAAAUGGUAGGGCAGGCCGACCAGCCAGCUAUAUAUAUAUAGGGCAACUAUAUAUAGCAAGGACGAAACCUGCUGGGUCUUUGGGAAGCAGCAGCUAGCGCGCAUGUAUAUCUUUUACCUAGAGUCUAGAGAUAUUUGCAGCCAUAUGGUCGUCGUCUUCUAUACCUAGAUUUAGCCUACUGAUGUGGUAUAGCACUCCAUGCAUGUGGUAGUUUCCUGCAGGGCUCCAUGGAUGAUGAAUUGAUGAUCUGAUGGAUAUGGAUGUCUGUAGCGUUAGAUAUUUCAAGAACUACUACUGCCAUUUUAUGCAGCAGCAAGCAAAUCAAAGUGCCACCGAUCGAUCGAAUAGCCCAGAACAUGCACCGAUCCAAAGACCUCUGUCGUCAUCUGUACCGUCGUUGAAUAUUCUUCGCCACUCCGAACAUGAAUCCAUCCAAAGAUCCCUGUUAGUUGUCUGCACCGUCGUUGAAUAUUCUUCGCCUCUCUCCCCAUUAGAUAUAUGUAUGUAUGUAUGUACAGGUACGUGAGAACACAGACGACGCAGCACUAUGUACGUCGUACAUGUUAGAUUAGGAAGUAUUCCCAUAGCAGCAGACCGGACUGCAGGCUGCUAGCUUUUAUAUGGAGAGGACGACGAUGAAGAAUAAUGGCCAGGGUUCAGGAGGAGGCCGCUCAACGCUCUGCUACUCCAUCGUCGUCGAUCCCGGCGAGGCCAGCAGCACCGCCGGCUUUCAAGACUUCCUCGAGAUGUUCGGAGCUCGCCACUCCUCGUACGUCAUGACGGCCUAGCUAGCUAAUAACACUGUCUCCAAAGAAGCUAUAUCUAUCUGCGCAUGCAUAGUUGGUUUGGUGUGCAUCGAUAAAAAAAAGUUUAUCCAAUGUUCUCCACAUUGUUCCUCUCGAAUGCACACACAUUUGUGUAUAUAAUAUUUCUAGCUAAUAAACACACACAUUCAUCACAUAAAAUUACUCUAGGAAAAAGAUUAUAUAACUUUUUGAUGCAUGUUUAUCUCAACUCAAUCUAUGGGAUAUCGCAGCGGUGAUCUCUUUGAUUUGGUGCGGCAAGGAGGAGGAGACAGCAGCAUGGAGGUGCAACCUUGCCUCCGGUUGCCGUCGUCGCCGCUGGUCACCCUUCCGCCUUCGGAGGACGACAUGGCGGCGUGGCUCUACCCGAUUGUCAGCGGCCAAGAAACUGCUAUCGUCGCUGGCCAUGACGACCACCAGCCAAGCGACGACCCUGCCGCUGCCGGCGGACUCGCGGCGGUGGAUGAUGCUCCGGUGGAUCACAAGAGGGAGAAGGCUCCAAACAUGCAAGAGAAGUGCCGCAGUGGUGGUGCUGAGGUAUGUGUAUUUUAGGCUCUUUAUUUUUUGCUAUAUUUAUUGAUAGCCAUGAACAAUUAAGAAUAUAGAUUCAAUAUAAUAGGUGAAAGUUUUUAAGUUAGCGAGAAUAUAAGAGUUUUCUUUUUUUAUAUAAAAAAUUGCUCUCACCGUCCCAAAUUAUAAGUCAUUUCAAGAAUCUUAGAGAGUCAAACUAUCCUAAAUUUGAUCAAAUUUAUACGAUAAAAUAAUUAUUAUUAUGAUACCAACUAAGCAUCAUUAUAUUCGUCUUUAAUUAUAUUUUUAUAGUAUACUUACUUUAUGUUACAAAUCUUAGUAUUUCUUUCUAUAAUUUUAGUCAAACUUGAAAUAUUUUGACUCUCCAAGAUUCUUAGAAAUGACUUAUAAUUUGGAAUGGAGGGAGUACCUAUGAGUCCUUCAUUUUUUGAAAAAUACACUAACAAUUUUAUUUGUGUUAUUUUUUUUUUCCAAAAUAUGAAAUCAAACUACUAAUUUUUUUUAUAAUCUUCACCAUUGAAUUUAUAUAGUUUACUAACUAUGAGGUUUAUGGACUAUUUAUUCAGGUAUCUUUCCUUCAUUCAUAAUGUUUACUAAGUGUGUUUUAAGUGGUUAGGUAUUUUUUGUUCCAAUUUGUAUGGAAAUCAAUUUGAUUGAUUGUUUUGAAGAUAAGUUAUUAGUUCUCUAAUAGUUAUAUUAAGUAUGGACUCUUUGAUUUAAUUGAAGCCAUAUCUCUCCUCACAAGAUCGAGUAGUAUAUGUUUUCUUUUCUAGAUAAAUGUGAUAAUUACUAUUUUCUCAUGGUGAGCCAUGUUGUUUUUUUAAUCUACCAUAAUAAUAUGCACCCUCUAUUUCAAGUUAUAAUGCGUUUGGAUUUUCUAGGCACAUGGCUUUUUUGGUGCUAUACACUUAGGUAUAUAUUGUCAAUAUAUAGUUAAAGUAAUAUAGAAAAACUAAAACAUCCUAUAAAUUAGAACAAAGGGAGUAAUAGAUUAUGAGAUACUCCCUCCAUCCAGGAAAGAAUAGAAUUUUUGUUUUUCAAGAAGUUAAACAAUUUGAACUUUAACUAAAUUUAUAUAAAAAUCUACUAUCAUUCAUGAUAUAAAAUAAGUAUCAUUAAUUAGUUAUAGAAUAUUUUAUUAUCAUAAAUUUUGUUUGAAGAUAUAAAUGCUAAUAUUAUUUACUAUAAACUCGAUCAAAUUUGAGUUACUUUGACUACCAUGAAUCCUAUAAUUGUAUUCUUUUCUGAGCAGAUGGAGUACAAUGCAGCUUUUAAUUUAAAAGUCGAGCUACUUAAAACUUGCAAGAGCGCUAGACGCCUCACUUUCUCACGGACUGGAAGCCACUAUCACAUGCUAUCAGGAGAUGGAAACUUGUGACCAGUUCGUCGCAUGCUGUUACACACUGACCUGCAGAUCUAGUGGGUGGCGCUUGCCGUGCAGCAAUCGUUCUGCCCUGUCGUCCUUCGGCUGUCCUGCCAUUAUAUUCUUUUCGAUCAAAAAAAGGCACAUACAUAAGAGUCGAUACGUGCAAACGUAAAUACUAACUAGUAGUACUAAUACUAGGGAUACCACAGCAAACUCCUAUCAGCUUACAAACGAGACCUAAAGCAGUCGACGCAGCAAAACAGACGACACUGAGAACAAACCAGGCAGCUCGAUGAGAAACUACAGGCCGGAGGUCUUCACAGUAAGUAGAAUGGUUCACCAAAAGUGAAGUAGAAAGUAGAAACUCCACCCAAGCCCGGCCUGACGUGUGCAGACUGCCCGUCAAGCCUUGCUGUGUCUUCCGCCCAGAGCAGCUAGCACAUCAUGCUUGCUUCUGUAAAAGUGCCGCCAAAACGAAGUUUUUACGUACACAACUAAUAAUCUCAGUAUUCGAAUUAAUUAUUAGAUAAUUUGCGUGUUCGAUCGAUCGCUUGCCAUCUCUUGUUAGGAUUCCAAAAGACCGCAAAUUUGAUGAAAGGUCUGACGGAUCGUCAUGCGUUGUUCGUUGUUUGAAUAAGUCCUUGAGCAUCUAAUUAUAGAAUGUAGAGGCGCCUAACGCUAUUAGAGGCAGGCCAUGGAUUGCGGCAUGGCCCAGGUGGUUGGGAUGGCAACCACUGAUCACGAGUAUGCCGGGAUUAGCAGGUCAUUUUAUUUCCUUGUAACACAUCAUGUAUUUCCUUUAUAUAGUGAAUACAAUCAAUGGAAAACGCUGUCGCUUUACAGCAACCAACUCUCUGCGUUCGUGUGUGUGUUCAUCCUCAUCGGAUUUGUGUCAAUUGGUAUCAAAGCCUGGUUUCUUCACCGCCGCCAUGACAUCUCAGUCGCCAUCUAACAAGAAGCCGAUGGAUGAUGGCAGCGGCAGGAACGAGAUCAAGCCCUCGCGUUCGCCGCCGCGACGUCGUGGCCGUUCACACAGUCGCCGCCGCUCCAGCUCACGCGUCGUCGAGCGCGUCAUCGAGCGCUCGUCCGCGAACGUCGCCUGGCCGAUGCUCACGCGGACGAACUACCCGGAGUGGGCGCUGGUGAUGGAGGUCAACUUCCAGACUCUUCGGGUCUGGGACGCCGUCGAGCUCGGGAUUGACGAGGACGCCGAUGAAGAUGACUAUCAGCACGAUCGACAGGCCAUGGCGGGUCUCCUGCGCUCGGUUCCCUCCGAGAUGUGGGGAACGCUUGCUCGCAAGCGUACCGUCAAGGAGGCGUGGGACGCCGUCAAGGUGCUCCGUAUCGGCGACGACCGCGCGCGCGACGCCAGCGCGCAGCAGCUUCGCCACGAGUUCGCGGCGCUCGUCUUCAAGGAAGCCGAGACCGUCUCCGAGUUCGGGAUCCGCAUCACGUCACUCGCCACCAACCUCCGCAUCCUCGGCGACAAUAUCACGGACGCCGAGGUGGUAAAGAAACUUUUGCAGGUGGUUCCCGAUCGUCUGUCUCAAGCCGCCGUUUCCCUCGAGAUGUUUCUCGAUCUGAACAACACGUCGAUCGAGGACGUCAUAGGGCGGCUGCGCGUGUUCGAGGAACGCGGUAAGCCGAAGGAGAUCACGGAUGGUAUGGGGCGACUCCUACUCUGCGAGGAGGACUGGGAGGCGCGUCGCAAGAGCCGUCGCGAGCAGGAGAGCUCCGGUGGCAGCGGUGGCUCCAACAGUCGCGGGAAGAACCAUGGCCGCGGCCGUGGUCGAGGUGGCCAAGGCGCGACGCGCGACGAUCAUGACAGUCACGGCACGGGCGCUGCAUGGCAACCCUGGUGGUGGGAAGCCGCCGCCUAGCACGCCCUGCAAGAAAUGCGGCAACAAGGGUCAUUGGGCCCGAGACUGCCGUAGCAAGAAAAAGAAGGCCGCGGCCCAUGUGGCCCAGGCUGAAGAGGAGGAGGAACGGGCCUUGAUGUACAUCGCCGCUGAGACGGAGGUAAUCGCGUCGCCUGCUUCCUCUCCCCUAUCGCCGCCGCCGCCGCCCGCCGCCGAUGCACGCGCGCACGUCCACCUCGCCGAGCCCAAGGUCCUCUUUCAUCUCAGGAAGGAUGAGAAGGAGGCGGUGGGGCCCUGCCGCUGGGUCCUCGACACCGGAGCUACCAACCACAUGUCGGGAUCGCGGUCGGUCUUCGCCGAGCUGAACUCAGGCAUCACCGGCACCGUCCGAUUUGGCGACGGGUCGGUGGUAAACAUCGAGGGAAAGGGCACCGUCCUCUUCGCCUGCAAGAAUGGCGAGCACCGUCGACUGGAGGGCGUGUACUACAUCCCGCGGCUCACUACCAACAUUGUGAGCAUCGGGCAGUUGGAUGAGGACGGCUCCAAGGUCCUCAUCGAGUCCGGCAUUCUGCGUCUCUUCGACUUGCAACGACAACUGCUCGCCAAGGUGGAGCGUUCCUCGAGCCGGCUCUACUUCCUCGACAUGAACAUCGUCGCCCCGGUGUGUCUCACCGCGCGCGCCGGUGAUGUCACCUGGAGGUGGCAUGAGCGAUUCGGGCACAUCAACUUCCAGUCACUCAGGAAGCUGGGGCGCAAGGACAUGGUGCUCGGACUGCCCUCCAUCGACCACGUCGAGCAAGUCUGUGAAGACUGUGUGCUGGCAAAGCAGAAGCGAACGCCGUUCCCCAAGGCGGCUAAGUUUCGGGCUGCAGAACAGCAUGAGCUGGUCCACGGCGACCUCUGCGGCCCCAUCACGCCAACGACACCGGCCGGGAAUGCCUACUUCCUUCUACUCGUCGACGACAUGAGCCGCUACAUGUGGCUCACUCUCCUGCGUUCCAAGGCGGACGCACCGGCGGCGAUCAUGUCGUUCCAGGCCCGUGUCGAGCGCGAGACGGAAAAAAAGUUGAAGGUGCUACGCACGGACAACGGUGGUGAGUUCACCUCGGUUACGUUCGGUGAAUAUUGUGCAGGAGAGGGGAUACAACGCCACCAUUCGGCUCCAUACACGCCACAACAGAACGGCGUGGUGGAACGCCGAAAUCAGACGGUCGUGGCGACGGCGAGGAGCAUCUUGCGCGCACGGGGAGUGCCCGGCUACUUCUGGGGAGAGGCAGUGCACACCGCUGUCUUUCUCCUGAACCGGGCGUCCACGAGUGCGCUCACCGACAAGACACCGUACCAGGCGUGGUACGGCAAGAAGCCCCCAGUACACUUCCUCCGUGUGUUCGGCUGCGUGGCGUACAUCAAGAACGUGCGCCCACACCUUGGGAAGCUCGAUGAUCGCGGGCGCAAGGUGGUCUUCAUCGGGUACCAAGAUGGCUCCAAAGCCUACCGCUUCUACGACCCGGUGGACGAGCGCGUCCAUGUCUCGCGCGAUGCUGUCUUCGACGAAGGAGCGCGCUGGGAAUGGGGAGCAGCCUCGGACGUCACCGAGCCCCACCCCUUCGCCAUCGCGGAGGAGUACGAGCUGCGGCGCCACCAGCUUGAGGGACCGGCCCCUGAGCCCGUCUCUCCCAAACCGCGCACGCCGGCUCCAACAGCGUCGACGUCCUCCGGUCCGCGCACGACGUCACCAGGCGCCCAGAGCGCGCCAACAAUCUUGGGAGUGCCCUCAACACCACAAGGGGCCGGAGCUCACGUCGAGUUCGCGACACCACUCUCCACCGACCCGAACCUGGACGAUGAUGACGAUGAGGUGGUACACAGGUACCGCACCCUCGACAACAUCCUCGGCACAGACGCGUCGCCUGGGCUGGAGCAUCGCGACGCAGUUGAGGCCGAGCUCCACACUGUCAGCCACGCCGUGAGUGUGGAGGAGCCCAGGUCGAUCAAAGAAGCCGAGGGCGAUCCAAACUGGGUCGGCGCGAUGGAGGAGGAGAUGAAGUCGAUCCGCGACAACCAGACAUGGUCGCUGGUCGAGCUUCCCUAGGGGCACCGCGCCAUCGGAUUGAAGUGGGUGUACAAAGUCAAACACGAUGAAAAGGGCAACAUCGCCAAGUACAAGGCAUGCCUCGUCACGAAAGGCUAUGUGCAGCGGCCCGGCGUCGACUUUGAAGAAGUGUUCGCUCCAGUUGCACGACUCGAGUCAGUGCGGCUGGUGCUCGCCAUCGCUGCCCACUUCGGCUGGGGCGUCCACCACAUGGAUGUCAAGUCGGCAUUCUUGAACGGCGAGCUCCAAGAGGAGGUCUACGUCCAUCAACCCCCUGGCUUCAUCGACGACAAGCACAAGUACAAGGUGCUGCGCCUUCACAAGGCGCUCUACGGACUCCGUCAAGCGCCGAGAGCAUGGAACCAGAAGCUCGACGCCGAGCUGCUGGCGCUCGGGUUCACGCGCUGCGUCAACGAGCACGGGAUGUAUACCCGGGGCAGAGGUGCCGAGCGCCUGAUCGUGGGAGUCUAUGUCGAUGACCUCAUCAUCACGGGUGGUGAUGCCGACGCUGUCAAGAAGUUCAAGGCGCAGAUGCUGCGCACGUUCCGCAUGAGUGACCUCGGGCUCUUGUCCUACUAUCUUGGACUCGAGGUCACCCAGGGUGCUCAUGGCAUCACGCUGCGACAGAGUGCCUACGCCGCCAAAAUCCUUGACAAGGGCGGACUGACAGGGUGCAACGCAAGUGCCACACCCAUGGAGAUGAAAUUGAAGCUUCUAAAAGAGGGCACGACGCCGGCUGUUGACGCCACCGAGUACCGCAGCCUCAUCGGCAGCCUCAGGUACCUGUGUAACUCAAGGCCGGACCUAGCAUACGCUGUUGGGUACCUCAGCAGGUUCAUGGAAGCGCCACGACAGGAGCACCUCGCGGCAGUCAAGCGAGUCCUUCGGUAUGUGGCAGGUACGGUGCACUGGGGAGUGCACUAUCGUCCGGCUGGAAGAAGAGAAACAGCGCCCCAGCUAACAGGCUACUCCGACAGCGACUUAGCUGGGGACGUAAACGAUCGCAAGAGCACUGGCGGUCUCAUCUUCUUCAUGGCUGGUGGACCGAUUGCCUGGCAAUCGUCAAAGCAGAAAGUGGUCGCUCUAUCGUCCUGCGAGGCAGAGUACAUAGCGGCGGCCGGAGCAGCGUGCGAAGGAGUCUGGCUAGCACGUCUGCUGGCAGAGCUGAUCGGAGGUGCUGUUCGUGCACCGAAGCUCAUGGUGGACAACAAAUCCGCCAUCGCACUGAUGAAGAACCCUGUUCAUCACGACCGGAGUAAGCACAUUGAUGUAAAAUAUCACUUCAUCCGGGAGUGCUGGGACAGAAGGCUGAUUGAUAUAGAGUUCGUCGGCACUGAGCAUCAGCUGGGCGACAUCCUCACAAAGGCACUCGGUCGUUCUCGGUUUCAAGAGCUCCGUAGUGAAAUCGGCAUGAAAAAGUUAGGCUAGUGGCUCCAGGACUUAGGAGGAGAAUGUUUGAAUAAGUCCUUGAGCAUCUAAUUAUAGAAUGUAGAGGCGCCUAACGCCAUUAGAGGCAGGCCAUGGAUUGCGGCAUGGCCCAGGUGGUUGGGAUGGCAACCACUGAUCACGAGUAUGCCGGGAUUAGCAGGUCAUUUUAUUUCCUUGUAACACAUCAUGUAUUUCCUUUAUAUAGUGAAUACAAUCAAUGGAAAACGCUGUCGCUUUACAGCAACCAACUCUCUGCGUUCGUGUGUGUGUUCAUCCUCAUCGGAUUUGUGUCAUUCGUGUGAUAGGAUUCAACAGAAAACUACUACUCCUGUGGCAGCAGGAAGAAAGCGACAGGAGGAGCAAGGAGGUCUCAUCCUGCAGAAACACACAACCUGACAGAGAAGGUACUGAAGGAGUACGUGUGUAGAGCCCUUCAGUAAUAGUCCUGAAUCCUGAUCUGAUGCAUGCAUAUACCUUUCAGCUACCAGUUGAUCGAUUUGCCAAAAAGUUCUUUCAGCUACGUAGCAUGUCAUAUUUAUUUAUAUACAUCUGUAUAUAUUGCAGCGACGAAGGCGCAAGAUAGACGACAAGUUGAAGACCCUUCGACAGCUCGUUCCAGGGUGCGAUGACAAGGUCGUCGUCGCACUCCGCCAUUUUACAUAUAAAUCAACAUACACAUAGGCACUUAAUUAUUAUGAUCAAUGUCUGAUCUCUGUAUGUCUCUGCUCGAUCCCAUCCUGUGACAUUUCAGAGCAACCAAGCCUCAAUUCUGGACCAGACCAUCCAGCACAUCAAGUCACUGCAGCAACAAAUCCAGGUCCAACCUAAGGCAAUCUCGUUGGGGUGCGAUGCCAUCAAGCCACCAGCAGUUUACCCAGUCGUGCUGCCACAGGGCACGGCUGUCGCUGCCGCCGGCGAGCUGCUGCCGCCUGCAGCCGCGCUUCCUCCAGCGGUGCUGGCCAUGGCGGCGAGAGGGCAUGUCCGGCCAGGGUUGGCGCCCUUGCACCACCUCCGUCGUUGGUGCCUUUCGGUCCCUUUCUUCCAGUGGUGACUCAAUUUUGAAGACACAGGCAGCAGCUGCUGCGAUCAUAUAUGGACCUCAUGGUGUACCCGGCAGCGGCGCCUGCUGCAAAUGCAUAUGCAUGUAAGGGCAGCAGGUUCCAGAGACAGAACAAAUUUAGUUCCAGGAAACAAGUUAUAUGCAUUAUAUAUAUAUGUAUAAUAUCGAUUAACUAUAUGGAGAAAAAGCUACUAGUACCCAUCCAUCCAUGCACAUAUAUAUAUAUGCAAUGACACAAUGAGUACUGAACGAAUGUUGAUCGAUGUAUGUGUAUCGAUGUAUGUGUAUAUUGCAGAGGUGUACAUGUUGGCGCCUAAAUUAAUUAGACUCUAGGUCAAUUCGGUUCUAAAUAAGUCACUUUGAAUCUUUUGGUACAUAUAUUUUGUUAUCUAGACAUAUAUUAGAUGCGUAGCAAAAUCUACGUACCAAAUAGUCAAAACGACUUGUUUAUGAAUGACUUUGCAAAUUAUAUAUGCAUGGAAUAUGUUUUUCAGAUUUUUUACUAAGUUGAGGUGGGAAAAAUGGAAGAUUUUUAAUAAAGUACGUGGAUUCCGAUCUUUUCUUUGCAAACUUGAAACACAUAUCUCAAAAUCAUUGAGAGGUCUAAAAGGUCAUGGGCUCAUGGCUUCGACCUGAGACCUUGUGGCGGAGGUUUCCUCCCGUAAUGGGCCGUUGGGGUUCCACCUUGAUAUGGUUAUUUAUGGCUGAGUUUAGUGGUUUUGUUGUUUACUGUGGUACCACUGUAUGCUUAGUCUAGACAUAUCUCUUAUAAAUAAAUUUCACUAGCUAUUUCUCUUGUCAUACAAAGUAUCCACAUCAACAUUAACUAGAAUAUCCCACUAGCAUAUAGCAUAUUCAACUAUCUCGCUAUGCAAAGUGUCCACAUUAGCAUCCCUAACACAUCAAACUAAAAUGUCAUUAUAUCUUCUGUCGGCGUCUAGACUCGUGAUCUAGGCACUAACGAGUAUAAGUCUGCGUGACUGCCCAAAUUUGGAUGGUGAUGCAAGUGAGACACAGAGAGUUUAUACUGGUUCGGGCCCAGAAUGCCCUACGUCCAGUGUGGCUGUAGAUUUUGUAUAACCUUGCACCCAAAGGUGCUUGUAGUAGGGGGUACAAGCUGGUUGCGAGAGAGGGCUAAGUCCCAGGUCUCGGUUUGGUGGUGGAAAGAGUGCGGGCUGCUGCUCUGAGAAAGAGUGUUGUGUGCGUGUGUGUUUCUCUGAGCUCCCUCUAGCUAUGAGUCCUGGCUCCCCUUUUAUAGCCUCAAGGGGAGACAAAGAUUUACAUGAGUUGAUUUCCCUGGGUGGAACGGUGAAACCACAGUCCCGACCCUGUUGGAGCUGAUCCAUCUUGUCCUUGAGGGAUGGUUGACGGUAUGGCUGCCCCUGUAGAGGGUUACCGAGCCCUGUAGGGGUCGCGGGGGUCGGAUCGCCAGUACUGCUGCACAUCCUGUCAACAGUGGGAAAAGACCUCAAAUAGUGGUGCUGAUUAACCUUUCCCAGUCCCUUCCUACUGUGCGGCAGCGCGCUACAGUGAAAGGGGUAAGGAUGUAUAGUGACAGAGGUAAGGCCACAGUGACCAGGGUGGUUGGAAUAGUUAUCGCCUUGCCCUGCCGCGGUAUGGAAGCCGUUGCGUCUGUCAUGUCGUGGGUACGGGCGCCGUGCGGUGGAAGUCUUGCUGCCCAGGCGGAGUGGGGUCCGGCGCCCGAGCCUGGACGGGGUCGGGCGAGUCGGACCUUGCGUCCGAGGCCCUGAGGGAUCGGGCGAGUCGGAACUUGCGUCCGAGGCCCUGAGGGGUCGGGCGAGUCGGAACUUGCGUCCGAGGCCCUGAGGGGUCGGGCGAGUCGGAACUUGCGUCCGAUGUCCUGAGGGGUCGGGCGAGUCGGAACUUGCGUCCGAUGCCCUGAUGAUUGUGGUUAAUACGUUUCUUUGCGUUUUUUCAUUGCUCUGAUUUGGGUAUCCCUUAUUAUGGUACCCAACAUCUUCAUUCAAGCUAUUUAGAUUAACAAACUACAUUAUUUAUUAACACAUAUCGCUGCAUUACCAACACCAUAAUAGAAUUAUUUUUUGUUUAUCCAUGAAUAAGUUGAGUUUUCAUAUCAAAUUUGAGGUCAUAAAUGACAUCAUAAGUUAUGUUAGAAAAAUAUAUUUUAUUUUUUUCUCCACUAUAAGGAAAUUUAAUGAUAAAUUAAGAUUAGAGAUGUAUUUUUCUAACAUGCAUGGAUGCCACCAGCCUCAGUGGCCGGCGAGGUGAACAAGCCUAUAGCUACCAAGUGGCGAGUACUUGCAGAGUAGAGCCACCGCGGAUCCAUGCAUGUCUAUCUUGUUGAUCUCUCCAUGUUUAUCUACCUGAUGUCCCCUGACAUCUAUAUAUGUUUUCUCUCUCUCACCUAGCUACGAUAUAUAGUGUGUGCAUGGAUUGCACUAUUGCAGCUCAUCAUAUACGACGUAGCAUGUAGCAUAUACAUACAUACACUUACAUAUUAUACAUAUAGCCCUCUUUGGAAUACAGGAUUCAAGAAAUGCAGAAAUAGGAAAAAAUUAUAGGAAUAUGAUAGGAAUGUAUAUGCAAAACAUAUAUAGCAAUUUUAUUAGAAUGAGUGUUGACAUGAGUGUAGAAAAAACGUAGGAAACAACUGUGCGUAUGAGGGGUGUUUGGUAGGGCUCCCUCCUGAGGAGCUCCUCUGGAGGAGUCGAGGCUAUUUUGGAGUUGCUAGAAUUUGUGACUCUUUUAAAAUGGCUUCGGUUCUUCUAUUUUUCGUUAAAACAACUUUUUCUAUAAAAUGUUUGGUAGGACUACUCCGAAGAAGCUAGAGUCGGAGCCGUAAAAAAAUCUUACCAAACAGAUAUUUAAUCUAUACUGCAGGUACUGACUUCUUCACCGAGGUAAGCUACUUAAUUACAUGUGGCUAGUACUGCACUGAUCGUAUCCAAUCUCUAUCAUUUUGAUGUGUGGUCAUUCAGUGAAGUUCUCUCUCUGUUGUAUUUGGCUUGCCAUAUUUACCUCGAUCUCCUACGUGCGCGUGUUGAAAAAAUGAGGUGGGAAUGGAUGUUUUCUUUCCCAUGUUUCUCCUGUGAAAUGGUUUUCAAAAGAAUUUUUCUACACCUCAAUCUUGACAAUCACAUUUUGCCUUCAAUUUCUCUAAUAUUCCUAGUUAUAGAAAAAAUGGAUCACUUAUUCUCAAUUUGCUGGAGAUAUUCUUAUAUAUAUUCAAAAUAUUGAUGCACAGUCUCAGUUGCCUAGGUAAAAAAAAUUCUUCUUCACUACAGGAAACUGAGCUUUGCCGACUGCUAGAAUCCUUUGCCACCUGCCAAAGACAGGGCAAUCGGCAAACAUACUCUUUGCCGACUGCCUCUAAAAACAGUUGGCAAAGGACUCUUUGCCGACUGCCUAAAUGUCUUGAGCUGUCGGCCACUCUAAGCAGUCGGCAAAGACGUCCUUUGCCGACUGUCUGGCAGGUGGCAAAGAAAAGCUGGUGGCAAAGGUGGCUAGGGACAAACGGCGCCCAUCGCCGUCCCUUUUGCCGUCAGGCAGUCGGCAAAGAUGAAAUUUUUUAUUUUUAAAAUUUGAAUUUAGGUUUUAGACAUUCGACGUCGUCACUUACUCCAAAUUUUCUCAAACUUUUUUCAUAGCCUCCACAUGCAAUAAGAGUGAACCUUAAAAACUUUCGUGAUUUUGUGACCCUUUUUGCUAUAUUUCGUUAAUUAAAUUCUUUUAAUUGUGUUUUCCACCGCAGAAUCCUACUUUGAACUGCAGGUGCAUCAAAUAAUGAAACUUAGCCAUUUGAAAAAUGAUAUUCAUGUUGGAGAGUCUAUUUUAAGGUCGUGUCCAGAAACUCACCCAAAAUUUUGAUGUUCUUGUCCACGAAACAUGACCAUCCAAGUGUGGUAGAGGUGCUUUUUAAUUAUAUAAAAUUCAAACGAAGUCGAAAAAUUACGGAACUUGACGAGGUGUCAUGUUAUCACAUGUGAAGCCUAUGAUAAAAGUUUGAGGAAGUUUGGAGCAAGAUGCAAUGUCGAAUAUCCAAAACCCAGACAUCUGCACAUGUGAUCACAUGUGAACACAUGCGGAGAUGUGUGGGUUUUACACAUCUGAUGUCGCAACUUUCUCCAAAAUUUUUAAAAUUUUUAUUAUAGGCUCCACAUGUGAUAACAUGACACCUCAACAAGUUUCGUAAUUUUCUGACUUCGUUUGAAUUUUAUAUAAUUAAAAAGCACUUAUACCACACUUGAAUGGUCAUGUUCCAUGGACAAGAACUUCAAAAUUUUGGAUGAAUUUCUGAACAUGGACUCAAAAUAAACUCUCCAACAUGAAUAUCAUUUUUCUAAUGCCUAAGUUUCAUUAUUUCAUGCACCUGCAGUUCAAAGUUUGAUUAUGCGACGAAAAUUCAAUUAAAAGAAAUUAAUUAACGAAAUAUAGCAAAAAAUGUCACAAAAUUACGAAAUUUGUCGUGGUGUCCCAAAAUCACAUGUGGAGGCUAUAAAAAUUUUUGAGAACUGCUAUAUCUUUACCAUGUCCUUUUAAAACUGCCAGAAGUGGAAAUUGAUGCCAUAUAUGGAGAGCUGUUUUUAUCUAUAUUGUUAUUAUUCUAUACUAUUAUGACACUCUAGCAGUGAAGCCAUGAAUUGUCUCUUUCUGGUAAGUAGCAUAUCGGACUAGCAGUUCACAUCGUGUUUAUAACCUUACUACUGUGUUUGGAUGGUUGCUAAAGUAAGUUUCAUGCCUCUUGCAGUUUUUUAUUGUCUUGGAACAAUAUGACCGAAGAGAGCAACUUUAGAAAAGUGGCCUGGUGAUAAGGACCAAUAGGCCGUGUAAGUUGUCUCAUCUUAUCUCUUCCUUCUGGUGAUAAGGACCAAUAGGCAGCCAAUAUAAUUAUAGCUUCACAUGUCGAGCUUCCAAGUACUUGCAAGUUAUAGAUUUGUAGUGCAAUGGUUAAUGCUAGUUUUUUAAAGCCGGUUAAUUGCUAGUUGCAGUACGUUUAGUAGCGCAGUAGUUGCUACUAUUUUAGCUACUCAGAUUUCUUCUAUUUAGAUAAUAGAACUGUUGUUUGCUUAGAUUUGACGCUAAAAGCAUGCUAACUGCUUUUAGCAUGCUAUAUGAAUACUAGCUAUAUUCUUGAUUGCUUGUCACUAAUUGCUACCAUAAUCAGUUAAAUACUAGUUAUGUAGAGAUUCGGCUUCAGCAUGGAGGACAAAAUGUUUUUCAUUUUUAGACAAUUUAGUUUCCCUUCUAUAGUGUGCUAGAGCAAUGAACAAUAGGCUCUAAAUUUUUAGGCAAUUUAUUUUCUCUUCUAUAGUGUCCUGCCACUUGCCAUCGAUUUAUCCAACAUUGUUAACCUUUGCCUUGUUGAAUGUCAGUUAUGACCCAGCUCGUUUGAACAAUGGGAGUGAAGGAACUUUGAAUGUUUACCAGAAGUGACCUUAUGAUUUCAGAAACUACCAUCUCAUUUUGUGGUGAGUAUGAUUUGAUUUAGUCAAUACCACUUGUCGUCUUUCAUCCACGGAAAAAUUAAUACAACCAUAUACAUAAACUGUAGCAGUUCAUGCAUCGUCCGACCACCUGUAGCAAUUAUUUUGCUUGGAGCUUUUAGUAAACUUGCUUUUGUUUUCUACUAGGCUAUUUAUUUCUAUCAUCAGGACCCCAUACUUGGACCUACACCAUGUUUCUACCAUGUCUAUAAAUAAGGAGAAAUAUUCCAGUUAACUAAUGCCUAUUUGCAAUCUUAAUUUCAGAUAUUGGAUGAUCAAGAUGUCUUCUUUGCCAAUUUGCUAGGUGGCUGUCUUGGUUGAAUUGUCAAAUCUGCAACUCGAGCUAAGGGAGAUAUGGAGGUGCAGCGACAAAGGCAAGGCUGAUGCCUGUGCUUUGUCCAAUGUUACUCAUUUUAGUAAAUGUUUAGCUAGUACUCUCAGUUCUGUGGUUGUGCAAAGAGUUUUUUAUGUUGAUACCAAAUAUUUGGAGAAGAUUUGGGUAGAUGGGUGCCAAAAGUCUGCGUGCCUUGUGUACUUUGUUGUUAUGUUGAUGCAACACAAAGACAUAUUUGUAUUUAGUGGAUUCAUGUUGGACUACUAAUAAUAUAUAUAGUCAUGUACACAUGUUCCUAUUAAGUAUAUUAAAUAUAUUUUAAAUUGUAUAGAAAAAGUUAUUUUACCUGUCAAUAAAGGCAGUCAACAAAGAGUCCUUUGUCACCUGCCAAUAAAGGCAGUCGGCAAAAAGAAUCCUUUGCCACCGGCCAAUAAAGACAGUCGCCAAAGAAUUUCUGUUCUAAAAAAAUUAAAACAACUUUGCCACCUGCCCAAAAAAAUUAAGAAAAGCCUUUGCCGACUGUCGCGUGGUAGUCGGCAAACGGGAUGCGCUCCGUCAUCUCACAACGGCGUACGUCUCCUUUGCUGACUGCCAUGCUAACAGGUGGCAAAGGCUUUGCCGACUGCUUUUCACUUGGCAGGCGCCAAAGGUUUCUUUGCCGAUAAAUUUUUUGCAACGUGUUUUUUGUCGACUGCCACGUGUAAAGCAGUCCGCAAAACCUUUACCACCUGUUUUAGAGUCUUUGCCGACUGCUUUUGGCAGUCAGCAAAGAGGGGCAUUUCAGUAGUGCUUCGAAGAGGAUAAAUUAUACUGUGGCAAUUUAAUGAACUAUAAAUAAGAUUCUUCCUCCAUGGCGCAAGACGAUGCGAGCACAGGCGUGAUAUAGGUUCAAGUACUUGGAACGUACAACAGCUUCUAAGCGUCUAGAAUGUUCUUAUCCGGCGGCGCCGUCUACGUGUUUGUUCGGAUCUAUAUAUUGUUCUGCAUCAUCCCGUUUGAUUCGUUGCAUUUGGACCAUGUGACGAACUCGUGUACGCCCAAGACCAGCAGGAGGAGACGACCAGGAAAAUGUCUGCAGGGGCUGUACUACAGUCUCCUCCACUCUACAGAACCUUCGGUCGUCGUGCUGAUGCAUGCAGCAGCAAGGAGCAAUGCAAGCAGCCGGCCGUGGGACAUGUACACAAGUUGCUGAUGCAUAGUUAUCUGUCGAUAUAGGUUUUUUGUAGUUAAAAAAUUUGUUACCUUUUUUUUUCCUAAAUACUACCUAGCAGAUAAUUAUAGCAUAACUCUCAAAGCACAAUCAAACAAAUAGGAUUCUGACAGAUUUAGUAAAAAAGAAUCUUAGCAGCGGAUAAAUAUAACAAAACUCAUCAUAUAAUAAUACUCCUACUAUAGUUAAGUGAUGUACACAUUGUAUGUACAAUGAAAGCAAUUUUUUCGGUACAUACAUUGCUGAGUAUGUGUUAUCUCAUACAGGGCUACAAAGCAUAUUCUAUAUCGGUGCUAGCUAGAUGGGACAAAUAAGUUGUACUAUGGUGGGCGACAACGUAGCGUUCAAGGUCUAGUAUGAUAAGCAGCAGGAAGGACAAUCUCCAUACCAUUUAGCCCUCAGGGGGUGCAUCGCAGGAGGAAUUCUCUUGUUUGCAGCGGGCUUUAGGAAUGAACUACACACACUAGACCAGAUUCUGGCUUCCUGCAAGCUAGCCUCUGAGCAAUGGAGAUACAAGACUGUCGAGAAAGAAGAAACACUUAGCAGAUGUGCCACAUCUUUAUGAUGGCAAGACGUACAAGGACUAGGCUGAAGUUUAUGCAACCAAAACCCCCCUAUCCUCUGUAAUCUUUUAUGUUGAUCAUCUUCUAUGUGAUCUUGUAUUUGUAAUUGUAAAUGCCCUGUGAAGAUCUUUUGGAAAGGGCCAAUUAAUAUGAAACCAGGUGGGGAACGACUUCCCCGUUGACAGUCAAAAAAAAGAUACGCGAGGUUGUUUGGAGACUUUUAAUUGGGAAAUCAGUUUGGGGAAUGCGUGUGCUACUGCUACGGAGUACUCGGCGUGGUGGACUAGCAUGCAAAGCUCCUGCAGGUCUCCUUGUUUAUUUCUGCAAAGCCUAACAAGAGGUGGAGGUGGGCCCAAUCAUGGAGGAGGCAAGUGGACUGGUCCGGCUAAUGAGAAACUGGAAGUGCUCCCUAGUAAAGAGAGAUUGCAAUCAAGUUGCUAACGCAUUAGCUUUAUUAGCUAGACAAUGUAAACAUUCUGCGACUUGGUCAGGACGAGCGCCUGCGUGUGCCUGGUCCUUCCUUAGAGUCGAUUGUAAUUUGCCGGAGACUAGCUAAUAAAGUUUUCUCUCUUUGCUCGCAAAAAAAAAAACAAGAGGUGGCGAUUAGCAAAGCAAGGAGCUGGCGGGUCCUGCAGACCAAGCAGAUUCUGAAGGUGGGUGAUGGGCAGCUGCAGAGAGCCCGCUUGCAUCUACCUUCAACCUGUUUCAUUCCUGGUUAGAGAAAAAGUGGAUCACUUAUUCUCAAUUUAGUGGGUCGCUCUUAUAUAUGUAUAUAUCUAAAAUAUUGAUGUAUUUCAUGCAUAGUCUCAGUUGCCUAGAUAAAAGGAAGUUCCUUCUUGCGAAGAGGAUAAACCAUGUCAAUCUAAUGAACUAUAUAUGAUUCCUCCUCCGUGAUGCAAGAUGCGAGCACAGGCACGAUAUACUCUCUUCAUCUCAAAUUAUAAAACAUUUUAAAAAUCUUAGAGAGUCAAAGAAUCUUAAAUUUGACUAAAUUUAUAUGAUAAAAUAAUAAUAUUCAGAAUACCAACUAAGUAUCAUUAUAUUCUUUAUUAAUUAUAUUUUUAUAGUAUACCUAUUUAAUGUUAUAAAUCUUUAUAUUUUUUUAUAAUUUUAGUCAAACUUAAGAUAUUUCGACUCUCUAAUAUUUUUAAAAUGUCUUAUAAUUUGAAGUAGAGGGAAUAGGUUCUAAUGAACUAAAUUAGAUACCUCCUCAUGGCGCAAGAUGAGAGCAUACGCACGAUAUAUAUAUAUAUAUAUAUAUAUAUAUAUAUAUAUAUAUAUAUAUAUAUAUAUAUAUAUAUAUAUAUAUAUAUAUAUAUAUAUAUAUAUAUAUUGCAUGUAGUAUGCACGUACGAUAGAUGCACCUCCCCAAGCACCAUGGUCUCAUCUUCUUCUCUACCUCUAGGUAGCUUCCAUCCGCCGUCAAUGUCUGUAGCUAGCUACCGCGCGCGGAGGAGCCGUGGACAUCUGAAACUGUUGCUGCUGUGCUGGCCGCCGGCUCGUGCUACUACAAGACAAAUGCUGCUAUAUAUAUAUAUAUAGCUGGAGAUAAGGCUAGCUCGUCAUGGCGCACACUUCGUUGAUUCACCCGUUUACCGGCCGGUGAACGCGGGUAAAUCCAGAGCAGAAAUAAUCACUCUUUUACAACAACCGAACCGAUCGCGCGCUAUAAAUAUGUACGUACGUGUACACAUGCAUGUACGUGACGCACAGCAGGCAUUGCACUCUUGCACCAUAUAUACUGGAGAGACAUUAUUAUAGGCGCUCUCUGUGGGUUGGGUUAGUACUCCUCGCCUUGCCCGGCCGUAUGGAGACCAUCAUGACGAUGAGCUGCCAGGACCUCGUCGGCGGCGGUGGCGCACAAGACUUCCUCGGCUUGUUCGGUGAUCGCCACUCCUCGUCGUACGUGUGCGGCCAGCACCCCACCACUCGUCAUGCAUUUAUCUACGCUAGCCGCGCGUGUUACAACGACUACGUGUUCUAGCUGACAUCAAAUUCUUCUCUUGGCUGAAAGCCUGAAACUGUUGUGCCUUAAUAAUCGCGCAUAGAUCGAUGUUGGAGGAAAAAAAAAUGCAAGAUUACUUGCGCUUAAUUAUAUGAUGACUUGUGCCUUAAUAAUCGCGCGCAGUGAUGAUCUCUUUGAGCUGGUAUGGCGACGAGCCGCCGGCGGCGGCGGCGGCGGCGGCCGUGGCAGCAUGGAGGGGCAGCCCAGCCUUGUCGUCGCGGCCUUGUCGUCGCAGCCAGCCGCGGCGGCGGUACCCGUACCCGAGAGACUGGCAUCACCGCCAGCGCCCCCUUCCGAGGACGAGAUGGCGUCGUGGCUCUUCCCGAUCGUCUGCGGCGCCGGCGAGGAGGUCGCUGGCGGCGGUGAUGCCGUCGUCGUUGCCGGCCGGCGCGCUUGGGUGGUGGAUGAUGAUCAGAUGGUGCCGUCAGGGAAGGGGCUGGAAUCGUCGUCGGAUCACAAGCUACAGGUGAGUGCGUGGUGACGACGGAAGGGAAGAAGUCCUCCGUGUUGGUGUCUUCAGAUAGUGCCUGACAGAUAAGUUUCAGUAUCCUCCCUCCUGCGUCGUUUUGAUAGCUGUUUGCGUCGUCUCUUCUGACAGGAGAAGAGGAAAACAUCAUCAACAGGACGAGGAAAGCGGUCUCAUCACCACGCUGAAGCGCACAGCCUGACAGAGAAGGUGCCUAUCUGUGCUGUGUGUCGAUGAUAUCAGUGUGUGUAUAUAUCAACUUAAUAUCAACUUAAUUUGCUCUGUAAUAAAUUAACUACUGUUGCUUAAUUUAACUUUCACUCACGUAGCAUGCUGCAUGCAUGUGUGCAUGUUGCAUUUACUAAUUUGCAAUUUUGCAUAUAUGCAGAGAAGACGGUUGAAGAUAAAGGAGAAGUUGAAGACCCUGCAACAGCUCGUUCCAGGAUGCCCCAACAACGUAAGAACACUACUACGACAAGUAAAUAGAUAAUAUGAAUAUGAUCCUCUCAAUCUCAGUCUCAGUCACCAACACAGUAAUACUUAUGUUGAUCGAGCGGGACAACCUUGACUGAUGAUAGUAAUUAAUAACAAGGGAUAUAUAUGCCCCUUGUGACGACUUUCAUCGAUCACGAUCAGAGUUUUUACUAAACACUAGACACCACAAAUUGUACUCUACUUUGGUCAUAAUAGAAUGGUACGUAGUAUAUGAUGUCUACUCUAUAACAUUUUAGAGCAACCAAGCUUCAACUCUGGACCAAACCAUCCGGUACAUCAAGUCACUGCAACAGCACAUUCUUCAGGUCUGAACUCUGAACAAUGAACGCGCAUAACUUUGAUUUUUCGUCAGUUAUCAACAGCAAGUGCAGGCGUACCGUCAGACGACUCCAGUAUAUACAAACAUGAUGAUUACACCAUUCGACCAUCAAGAACUUCUAGAUUUUUUUUUAAAAUAAAACAAAAGGAACUUGAAACUUGUUAAGAUUAAGCUGAUUUGUGCAACUAGAUCGUAUAUGUAAUACCAUAAUAUCACUCAUCUAUUUAGGCUUAAUGCUUGCAGGCAAUGUCUGGAAUGAAGCCAACAUCAGUGGCAGUGUGCCCCGUCGUGCAACAAGCCCCCUGCCUACCAUGCUGGCAAGGCGGCACAUCGGUGCAGAGGGAUGGCUCUUGGGCGCUCCCCAGCUAUAGUUCCGUUUUGCCCCCAUGUUUCCAUGGGUUCACCUUCACCGCCAUGCAGUCAUGAUGUUUAGAUCUUGUUUAGACGCAAAAUCUUUUUGAAUUUUGAUACGCUGUAACACUUUCAUUUGUAUUUGACAAACAUUGUUCAAUUAUGAACUAACUAGACUUAAAAGAUUUGUCUCGCAAUUUACAGAUAAAUUAUGCAAUUAGUUAUUUUUUAUCUAUACUUAAUGUUCCACACAUGUACCGUAACAUUCGAUGUGAUGGAGAAUCUUAUAAACUUUUGAAUUUUUGAUGGCAUGUAAAUAGGCCCCUUAGCCAAACAGGAGAUGACCCGCAAUGCAAGUGUCUCUGGACUACAAGUGGUGGAUGCGACAAGUCCAGUGAAUCACUACCGGAGAGCCGGCCUUUGCCGUGUGCCCGCUUGUUUGCCGUGAGCAACACACGGCAAAGCUCGGGUUUGCCGUGUGCCUAGCCCACGCACACGGCAAACACCAGGCACAUGGUAUACCUGACAUUUGCCGUGUGUUGCACACGUCAAACACCAGACACACGGCGAACUCAAACCUUUGUCGUGAGCAACACACGACAAAACCAGGGCACACGGCAAAAGCUAACCCCACGCUAACGCCCACCCCCAGCCGUCAACGUUUGCCGUGUGUGGCCGUUAGACAUGAAAAACAUCUAGGCUCCUAAUGAGUUUCGGUGAUUAAUGACAAUGUUGAUUACUAUGACUAACGCGUGUUUUGCAGAGGCAAAGUCAUUAGUGUUAGGUCAUGGUAAUGGUGAUCGAUGGACUAGAUCAUUCAUGCCGAUUUAAUGGUCGGUUUUCAAAGGAUGGUUGGACAUCGUCGGGACGAGACUAGGUCUAAGUGCCAUAUGGUGAAGAAGGGCACUUAGAGUAGUUUAGGACUUUGUUUUCCUUUGACCGUACUAUUAAGAGAGACAUUGAAUGGGUAGCUUGACCUAGGCAAGGCUUUAGGUUUAGAUGUGGUGCACACAUGGUAAACCUAGCACUAGGCAACUCUGAGAAAGUCCUUAGAUCGAGAGGAACAAACUUCGUUUUGGAAAGAUCGAGUUUCGACGAAGUUUGGGUGCCUAAGUAGGCACCGGACGCUGCACCGAACGCUAUGUGAGUACGUCCGGUGAGGUUGACUUGAGUCAGAGUGACUGGGUGCCUAGGGUUAGGCACCGGACGCUCGCACCGGACUCGUCGGGGAGCGUCCGGUCCCAUAACCAGAGAGGUCUGCAGUUGACUAGGGCACUGGAUACUAGCACCGGACUCACCGAGGAGCGUCCGGUCCCAUACCUAGGGAGAGUGUAAGUUUCCCCUCACACCGGACGAUGGCACCGGACCCACUGAGGAUGCGUCUGGUACUCUAUCAGAGGCAGUACAGUUAGCCGUUAAUGUGUCACUAGACGCUCUGUGCAGUGCGUCCAGAGCAACAUUAUGUGCGCCCGGUGCUCCUGUUUCAGUGAAAAAUGGUUGGCCGGCACUUGGACUUGAUGGGGAGUAUUUAUACUCCUCUACCUCGUCCAUGGGAGGUCUCUUGCCCAUUUGAUCAGUUAAGAAUUACCUUGUGGUGCAAGAGCGAAACAAGAGCUUAGAGAGGAUUGAGAAUUGAGAGAUUUCUCGAGUGAAUCCUUCUCUAGUUGAGUUCCAAGAGUUAAGUGUGCAUUCACCACUCUCUAGUGCCUUGUUUGGGUCAAGUGAGAGUUCUUUGCUUGUUACUAUUGGUGAUCGCCACCACCUAGACGGUUCGGUGGUGAUUGGAGGCAUGAAGACCGUCCGGAGUUCUUGUGGGUGGCUCUUGUCAAGCUUGUGAGCGGUUUUGGGCGAUUCACCGCGACGGAGUGUUUGAAAGCCCUAGUUUGGUUUUGGAUAAUUGAUGAAACCCUAGUACUAACCUCUAUACUAAGAGUGUGUAGACUUAAUGAGGUUGGUACAUGCCAAGUGAUGGAGCAAGUGAUGAUCAUGGUGAUGACCACAAGAUGAUCAAGUGCUCAACUUGGAAAAGAAGAAAGAGAAAAACAAAACCCUAUGGAGAUCAUGGCAAAGGUAUUGCUUAGGGUUUUGGUUUUGGUGAUCAAGACACCAUAGAGGGUGUGAUCACAUUUAGGAUAGAUAGCUGUACUAUUAAGAGGGGUAAUCUCGUUGUGAAAACGAUUGUCUAAGUGCCACUAGGUGAUUUGAUUCCUUGCAUAUGCAUUAGGACCUAGUGAACUAUUUAAGUAACCCUUGAAAAAUGUUUUUGAAAUAUGCUAACACACGUGCACAAGUGUUGAGACACUUUGGUGUUGGCACAUGAAAGCAAGGGAAGAAGUUGAGGAUCAUUUCGUGCAGCGCUUUCAAGCCGGACGCGUCCGGUAUGAGGUCGGAUGUGUCCGAGUUGAGGCACCGGACUCAGGAACAGUUUUCUCCUAGAGUCCGGUGUGUUUCGUCCGAUGAGUUCGCUUUCUCGGUGAAGCUCUCUGAGUUUGCGUCAGGUGCACACCGGACGCGUCCGAGUUAGCGUCCGGUGCAAGUUCUUCGUGCGAAGCUCCCUGAGUUUUCGUCCGGUGUGUGCGUCCGGUGUGGCGACCGGUGUUGGCUCAAGUUUGCGAACCUUCCUGAGUUUUCGUCCUGUCGCUCGUGAGACCGUCCGGUGCGUGAAAAAGCUAGAGUCCGGUGCCCUGUCAGUGUCAGAGGCAACGACUACUUUCUAACGGUCAGGAGCACCGGACGCUGGUCUGGCUCACAUCGGACGCGUCCAGUGUGAACUAGGACGCGUCCGGUGUGGACGCAGACAGUGGGGUAAACUGCCAACGGCUAGUUGAAGCUUGGGACUUCUAUUUAUAUGCCUUGGCCGGUUCAUGCUCAGUCUCUUGACUCUCUAACUUGUUGAUACAUCUUGUGAGCAUACUCCCACACAUCCCACUCACCUUGUUCAAGUUUUGUUCAUCCAAAGUGAGAUUGGGAGAGAUCCUAGUUGCAUUUGCUUAGAGUUUGAGCAUCUAGUGGCACUAGUGAUCGUUGAGCAGCGAGUUUGCUUGUUACCCUUGGUGGUUGCCGCCACCUAGACGGCUUGGAGCUGCGGAGGAGCUUUGGCACGAGUUGGUGAUUGUUCGUGGCCAUCUCCCGGUGAUUGUGAGGGGUUUGUGCCUACCUCGACGGAGAGCCAAAGGCAACAUUAGUGGAUUGCUCGUGUCUUUGAGCUACCUCACUUGUGGGUAGGUUCUUGUAGUGUAGUGAGGACGAGGUUCGUGCUACACCUCCUAGCCACCGAACCAAAAAGUGUUGGUUGACACAACGUGGACAUAGCGUGCCGGCAAGCACGUGAACCUCGGGAGAAAAAUUGUUUGUCUCCAUUGUGUUUGUUCAUUGGAUUUCUCCCGAUGAUUGGACUUCAUAUUAUUGAUUGGUUCAUCCCCUCUACGCGGCGGUAUAAAGAUCAAACCAUCUCUCUUACAUUACCUCAAACUAGUGUAAUUAGUUUAGUUGUUUACUUUGCCUUGUGUAGUAUAGUUCACUAGUGUAACUUGUAGAGACUUAGUUCUUGUGUGCAUAGUGAUCAUAGCUACUAGAAUUGUUGGGUAGGUGGCUUGCAAACACCCCUUUAGAGCUAGAGCAAAAAGCUUCGCUUUGUUAUUUACUAACCUCUUGCUCUAGUGAGUUUGUAGAUUUUUUAAAUAGGUUAUUCACCCCCCUCUAGCCAAUAGGACCUUUCAGUGUUGAAGAAUCAGCCCGUAGAGAGCACUUGGUCCUUGCGUGGGGAGCAAGACCCUUGCGCGGGUGCUUCAACGAGGACUAGUGGGGAGUGGCGACUCUCUGGUACCAUGGCAAAACAUCACCGCGUUUCUCUUGCUCUACUCUUUUACUUUCUAGCAUUUAUAUUCUUAGAAUUGCUAUGCUAGAAUAGGAUUGGAACUAGGUUGCAAAACUUUUAUCCGGAAACUUUUAUCCGGUAGCUCUCUAGAACACACUAGGCACAAGGGGUUGAAUUGGAGCAUAUAGGUUGCUUAAAUUUUUAGAGAAGCCCAAUUCACCCCCUCUUGGGCAUCUUGAUCCUUUCAAGGCAUACGACAAAGCCUGGGUUUGCCGUGUGCUUGAGGCUGGCACACGGCAAACACAAACUUUGUCGUGUGCCAGGGGUGCAACACACGACAAACAAUUUAUCUUUUCUUCAAAUUUGGUCCUCCAAAUUUUUUCUUCUCUACACACUCACCAUUUGUAACUCUAUACUCAAAUUUCAUAAAAUUUGAAACAUGUUUGCUAUAUUUUUGCAAUUAACAUCAUUUAUUUUCAUUUUUCCGGAUGCGGUCAAAUUUGAACUAUGAGUUAGUGAAAUAGUUAGAAAAAAAUAUCGGAAAAAUGAUAUUCAUGUUACCCAACCCUGUUUGAGAACACACAUUCGAAACAUAAAUGACUUUCGAAUGCCGUGGUUAGGAGACACGACGCCGAAAAUGGGUACUUUUCAAAAAUUCUAAUAAAUGCUAUUUUAUUCUGUAAUUCCUAAAACUUGUACAUAUAUCAUGUUAUCAUACAUAGAGGCCAUAGAAAAAGUUUGGAAAGAUUUCAAACAAGUUGUCAUGUAGGAUGUGUAGAAACCGGACAAUCUUCGGAGAAGUUUCACACAAUUAUAAGUGAAGGAGUAUGAGUUGGAGUAGGAUUCGACUUUCAUAUUUGAGUUUGAUUUCGAAACAUAGGUUGUGUCGUGUUCAAAUUUGGGAAUUUUUCGGAAUCGUUUGCUAUUUCUUCAUUAUUUGCAGUAUUUUAAAUGAAAAUUUUGAAUUUUGAAUUUUUUAAAUAACCUCAGAUGGAAAAACUCUCUAAAUAAACUUUGUAGAUCUCAAAAAGUUAUGAAACUUUGUAGUUGACAAUUUUUUGUUUUGGAAUCAUCUUGUCAUGUAAAAACUACGUUUGAAUUUCUCAAAUUUGAAAUUCAAAUUUUGUAAACGACCUCAGAUGGAGAAACUCUCUAAAUGAAAAUUAUAGAUCCCAAAAAGUUAUAAAACUUUGUAGUUGAUAACUUUUUGAAUUAAAAUCAUUUAGGAUCUCAAAUAAUUAAUUUACAUAUAAUUUGGUAUAAUAUUUGAGGAACCGAAAUGCAAUAUAAACACAAGUUAUAGUGUGGUGCAGUGGUUAAGAGCAGCACGCGAGAGAGGUCACGAGUUCAAAUCCCCUGGGCCGCAAAGAUGCAAAUGCCAAACUUGGGAAGGGGGUUUGCCGUGUGCCCAACCCUGACACACGGCAAACAUUGAGACUUUGCCGUGUGCCUGCAUGGUGACACACGGCAAACCCUGCCGUCAAGCUGUCCGUGUGUCAAGAUUGACUCACGGCAAAGUUUUGUCGUGUGCCAACAUUUGGCCAUGAGUAAAAGUAAGGUUCACCGUGGGAGAGUUUGCCGUGUGUUCUUCGCCGUGAGCAACACACGGCAAAGCCUUCACCGUGUGCAAUUUGAGCUUUGCCGUGUGCGCCAGGCAUACGGCGAACCCCUCCCAUCCGGUAGUGAAUGGAACUAUAAGUGAAUGCGACAAGUCCAGAGGGAGAUCAAUUUUUGUUAUUUUUUAUUGUAGUCAAACCAUGAGUUAUAGUUGUUAUUGCUUGUUGCACAUUUGUUUGAAGUACUAGUGAGCGCUAAUUGGAGCAGCAGGUCUUACAGAUGAGAUGACUUGGUUGUAUUAUGAUAAUAUUAUAACUAUAAAUGUAUGCAUUAUAUUUGUGGUUAUAGAUUGGAUGAGUUCUUAAUUAUGUGUUUAUGUGUGAUUUGAAUUAAAAAUAUUGUUGUAAUUAAAUACAAAUAUAAAAUAAUAUUUGAAUUCAAAUAUAAAUCUAUGCGAAAGAUUUGAAUGGAAUACUGUUAAUCUUUUCCUACAGUUUUAACUUCUAGGGAAAGAUUUCUAAGAAAAUUACCUUUCAAGGAUUAGAUGCUGCCAGCUGAGGAAGUUUCCCUAGAGGAUACACCCCUAAGAAAAGAAUUUUUUCCUGCGGUUUUCACCAAAACCGCAGGGGAUGUCUUCCUUUUCCGUCGAAUUCCUCUCUAAGGGUCUUUUCUUAGGAAAUACCCUAGGGAAACAGUUUCUCUACGGUUUUUGAGCCUUUCCUUAGGAUAAUAAACUCUAGGGAAACUUGUUCAUUCUUUUUUUUUUUGAAACUGAAACUUGUUCAUUCUAGUAGACCCAUGAUGCCAUACAUUGAGAUUUGUUUUUGUACAAUAUGUAAUAAAACUCUUGCAAUCCACCCUGUGUUGUCAGUGCUUUUGAUGCCGUUUCCUUCCUGAAGGCACUGCUAGGAUUUUCCAGCCCCACUGUUGCACUCUUGUCGCCAUUGUGGUGCUCCAAGGUGUGUUGUUGUUGGUGCUCCUAACACGUCAAAUUUGCUAGUUGUAUUCAGUGGUGUUCAACAACGCAUCAAAGUUUGUUAGUUGUGCUUGGUAUUAGUUGCCAUAGAAAAUUGUUUUCCCUGUUGGUUCUUGGGUUGAGGUGCUCUGAGUUGCUUUAGUUUUUAGCCAAAUGUUAGUGCGGUUGAGUUUUUACUAGUUGGGCCCUUACGACUAAGUUUAGAGUGAGCAAAUAUUACGACGUGAAGUUGUUAGUUAUUCAACCAGCCGGUGUGGUGGAAUUGUGCAUGAUGAGUUGCGACGGUCUAGUUUUCACUAAAAUCAGUAUUCAUCAGCUCAGCAUCAGCAAGAGACAGAAUCAAACAUUGCUUGCUUCUUCUCUUAUAUGAUAUAUGCUAGCAAAAGCCCUGCUGAUUUCUCAAAAAAAAAAAAAAAGGUGCAGGGAGCGCCGAUGCUGCAGUAUCCAGCAGUUGCUGCUGCUCCUAGCAGUGUGUGCCUCCAGAACCGGUUGUCAGUGCAGCCGACGCUAGAAAGUAUAAGCGUGUCCAGGUAUGUAUAAAUAAAUCCAUAAACAAGUAAGGAUUUCAUGAUAAGUAAGAGCAUGUGUGAUUACUACUAUAGAAAAUGUUUUUAGAUGUGUCUUUGAAGGACCGAAAUAAUGAUCACACAGGGGAGACGAAUGGGAGCCGAUUUAAAUUCUUGACCGAUUAUAAUUCAACACGAAUUGCCAAGGGCAUAUACGUCAAAUAGUGAUAUGUUGAUCCUAGAAACAGUUAGGAAUUUUUCAAAGCAGCAUGGAAGCAAAAGUACAAUUCACAAAAUUCUCAAGGACUUGCUGUAAACUAUGACUGACCAGCUCACAAAAAUUCAGCAGCAAAGAGCAGAUACAUGUUGACUUGAUCAUGCAAUAGGAAUAAACUAAUUCUUUAAAUUACUUGAAUAGUGUAUUGAUUAUUGCAUGAAAGUGACACUUCAGUACUUCACAAAUUUAAGGCAUGCUGCUGCAUUAUCCGACUUGCACAAACAGCAUAGUAUUCAGAAACUGAAACACUGAAUAUUUGCUACCACCGAGUGACCGAACUGGCUUUCUGAAAACUGAACCAUAUUGCAAUACAAAAUUUCACUUACUGACGUCAGCCUGUAGCUACUACUGAGAACUGAAAAUUGCAGUGUAUCCCUCCCAACAAAAAUUGUCUCUGCAGAAAACUAGAGUAGACCGAUCUGCAAAAAAAAUGAAACUUUCCAACGAAAAUUACUGAACUGACACAACGCACAGACAGACAGACUGAACUGAAGAACUGAUGCAACAAAGAGAUCACAAUCAGACUGAGUUCAAGAAAAUAAGAAAGAAAAGGACUGAGGUGAUGUUGAAAUUCUGAACUAUAUUGCAGUUGAUGAGCCACUACGUACUCUGAAAAACACAACUACACAGUAUUUGGACUGCCAAUGGAGCAGCACACACAAUCACCAUGUAUGAUCUGGAUCAAUACCAACUGAACUAAAAAUUGAAUCACAACCUCACAUCAUCUUAGUGACACCAAACCAAACUGAAGCAUAGAAGGAAAUUGAAGCUUUUCCACGAAAUUCAGAAAAUCAGGAAAACCUAAGAGGAGGGAAAUUUAAGGAAAACUCGUAAUCAAAAGUGCUUGUGAAGGAUUCAAUCCAUUGGACCAAAAUACCUUCUAACAUGUCCUAGUAUUGACUUUCCCAAAAAAUCUGCCCCAAAUCACAGUAAAAAAGCGAAGAACAAAAUUCCACAUAAAUAGCUUGUGACAAUUCAAAAAAAAGGAAAAAAAAUGCAACAACAGAGAACGAAAUUUACUUGGAUUCAAAGCAAUGAAGACAUGGAUUGCAUCACAAUAUCAUGUAUGAAAGCAUGGCUAACCACCUCCCCUUCAUCCUCACUAAAAAGUGAAGAAAUUAGAACAAGAGGUGCCCAACUCUCUCUCUCUCUCUCUCUCGAUCUCUUUCUCCUUAAGCACUUGCCUAAGCCUAUAUAUAGAAAUGAAAUUAGGAUGGUAAGAUACCACUAACGACACCAGCCACAUCUUAUAUAUAGUGACACUAUUGAUUACUAAAUCACCCCUACUAUAGAUACACACCUGAGGGGCAAAACCGUCCAACUCUUCCCUCGUGCAUCCGACUAUCCCGAUGUCUUCAUGACCUUGCUUUACCUCAACGCAUGCUUCGUGAUGCCACCACUUGUCCUCUGAUAUACCAAUAUACCAGCUUGUCUUUGACCUAUGGACAACCAAGUGCUCGCGCGCCUGUCUUGACUUUGGUCAACAUCAUCUUCAUCACCACCCUUCGCUUCCUUGUUGACGUGCUACUGCUAGCCAUCCACGGUCCAUCUGCUAGCCCUUGGUGCCUCGAUCCAAGCCUUUGUGUCUCCCGGUCCAUCACAUACGGGCUCCUAUUUGAGCUUGUCUAUUGUAGUGAACCGUCCCACACUCAACACCGUGCUCAUCUAUGAGCCAAGAGAUAUGUUGCCCACACAACUCACGUCUCGGUUAGUCCCUACACACUUAACCAAAGAUUUGAUUAUCUCUUUUAUAAUCACUCUCACCACUUACACAUCGACACCUCAACUAUGUGUUCACAGUCUUGUUUUUUUUUUCUAGGUGUGGUUGGAUAAAAACCCACCUCUAAAAAAUGGUUCUAAGACAUACCCCCAUUUUCAAGAAAUUAAUACCUAUAUCUCUAAAAAUCUAUUUCUAGAGGUGGUUUCAAACCUACCCCUAAAAAUUUCUGGCGGCCCAAUGGGCAGAGGCGACUGCUUCUAAAAAUCAGAUUUGACCAUGGGUGAAAAAUCAUCUUUGAAGUAGCAGAUGUUUCUGGUGAUCUAAGGCCUUUUUUAGAUCCAAAAAGUUUUUUUUUAUUUUGACACUAUAGCACAUUCGUUUUUAUUUGACAAAUAU